Molecule: long non-coding RNA, 121011 nt
Filed under: Citrus maxima (pomelo)
Lineage: Eukaryota; Viridiplantae; Streptophyta; Magnoliopsida; Sapindales; Rutaceae
Description: long non-coding RNA (CMAX_LNC001224)
Source: RNAcentral
GUUAUCAGACAUGAUUAAAACUCACCCAAUUCAAUCCAUUAGAUUCCGUAAGGAUAUAACUGGAUGUCAUACCGCCACUCCAUAUCCUCGAAAGUCCGUAGUCUUUGUCUCAACUCUGUCUGAGGCCAAUGUAAAUCCAAUUUGCGCAAGCUCUUUAUGCACCACAGCUCUUCUGGAAGCUUUCUCAAGUAAGCACAUGGGUUGACAAUUAAGCUUUCAAGUUUUGGCAUUGCUCCAGCCCCCAUCGUCCACUCAUCUAGCCAAUACAUUGAUUUCAGGUGCAAAACCCUAAGUUCCAGAAAGCAACCAGAGCCAACGCAGGCCAGCUUUCUUCCUAAAUACGAGUUCUGUUUCAGUUUCAGCACUUGAAGGCUUGGAAGCUUUUCCAGCAUUGGCAUGGGAUCCUCCAUUAGCUCAGUAUUCGAUAAGCUCAGAUGGCUCAGACUUGGAGGAAAUUGGUAUUCAGACAGGACAAUCCGUGAGCGCUUGCUCUCAUUCACCAGCUUCAAGCAUUCAAGUUUGUGGAGUUCGCAUAGGCUUUUGGAAACCCCAGAGUGAUAGCAACUCAAAUCUCCAGAUAUCCGAAGAGUUUGAACAUUAGGCAGUCUGCCCAAUAUAUCUGGAGUACAACUACUAGGGUGUAAGGCUGAUAUGAAAAUGAGAUUUUUCAGAGAGCUGCAAUAAUUUUUUGGAGGUGCAGGCAGAGUGAUGGAACCGAAGUUUAGAUGCAUGAGUUUUUGCAUCAUCCAAAUAUCCUCUGGUGAAUGAUCUAUGUAGCUUGAUGGCAUUUGUAGUGUUUGAAGGUUUAAAAGGGUGCAUAGCAUUGAAGGAAGGCAUUUGAGCGAAGGGAUAUUCAAUUUCAAAUACUUCAAAAGGAAUAAAUUUUCUAAUCCGGGUGGAAAUUGGUCGAGAACUGCAGAACCGAAGUUCAGUACCCGAAGGUGUUUGAACUUUUUACAAAAAUUCUCGCAAUCUAUAAGAGCGAGAUGAUCGCUUUCUGAACUGUGAUUCAGAAAAGAUUGGAGAUACAUGUCAGAAUAUUCUAAAGAAAGGAACUCAAUCAGAUCUUCCAAAAUGAAGCACCGUUUAACAUUUGCCAGUGAUUCCUCUUCCAUGUCAGGCGUCCAGACAAAUCUCGUCUUCUCUACUACCAAAGCCAAUAACGUAUAUACAAAACUUGGAACAUAACACGCUUUAAUUGUGCCGCCGGCGCUUCUCUUACUCACUUGAAUGAAGCCGCGAUGGAUUAGUUCUUUCAAGUAAUGUUCGGCAGUUUCUUCACCGUUGUAUGGUAUGAAACCUUCAGCUACCCACAACUGAUAUAAUUGCCUCGUUGAUAUCUCAUUGCAUGAAAGGAAGACACACAAAUAGAUGCAGCAGAUUUUCAAGUGAAAAGGUAACUCCAUCACAGAAAAAAGUUGUCUCCAAACUGUCGGAAUCGUUUCGCCUUGAAGAUAAUUUUCUAAGGGCAUACUUCCAUAGUGUAGGAUGAAAAAUUGCCAGGCCUCAUGCUUUAAUCUGAUCAAUGGUCCUCCUACGAUCACUGAAUCAAGCCGAAUCUUCUCUCCGUUUUCCAUUUCCAACAGCGUAAGGAGGUGUGGAUUAGUGACCAAUAUCAAUACUCUGCUUCCAUUCUGAUUAUCAGGAAGAACUUCUUCAAGAUCACUCCAUAUCUCACUGUCAUCGAAGACAUCAUCAAGCACAAUAAAGUACUUCCUGUUUGUUAGGUAAUCUCGAAGAAUAGAUUUCUUCAAUUGAUAAUCUUCCCCGAUAAUUACACUAACCCGAGAUGGAGGCAUCACAGACUUGAUUAUGUCAUCCAAUAUCUUGCGAAAAUCGUAGGCUACAGAAACCCUUACCCAAGCAUGACAGUCAAAAUAGAACUUGAUAUGGUUAUUAUUGUAAGUAUCUGCAGCAAAAGCAGUCUUAUCGAAGCCACUGCUGUCGAGAAUUGUAACCACUGCAAGCCGACGAUGUCCUAAAUCAAUAAAUCAAACAACUCCUCUCUGCCACUUUCAAAUUCAUUGAUAUCAAGCCGAGGUUGUCCCUCACUCAAUAGGCGAAUGAUUUUGUUUCUUUGUUCACUGACAUCAAAACCAUUGUCGCCGGGUGGAAGUUGUUGCAUCCGAUUACUAAUAUCAAUGAUUUUACUCUGGAGUCCAUCAAGAAGAGCCAUAUUAGUGCUGCUUUUACUUUCGUUUUCACUGUUUUGCUGCUGCAUGAUGUUGAUGAAGAAUCUGUCAAUGGCUUCCUCAGAUUCAUGGACAAAGCGAUUGAUGUCCUCCAGAAUUUCCAAAAUAUCUGGUCUUUUAACGUCUUCUUCAUCGCUUUCUUCUAAGUCCAACAGUUGCAAAAGAGGCAAAGAUAUUUUGGAGUCAUCGAAUUCUUCUCUAAUGAGUUGAAAGAAAUGCCGAGCCAUGUCAGAUUCAUAUUUUCCCAGCAGAGUAGUUGCAAUAAUUUCGGACUCCGUAAGAAGGUUUUGAAAAAGUGGGGUUAAAUUUGUUGAAUCAGGCAGUGUUAACGUGCCUUCUUCUCCUACUACCACCCUUUUCAACCUCUCACAAAAUAAUCGGAGGUGGGCGUCCAGCAUAUCUCCUCCUGUCUGUAGCAGCCAGAGGUAUUGUUAUUUGCUCCAAGAAAUGUUAAAAGGAUUGGUCCUACCUCAAAGUGGUUAGUGGUGUAAAAUUAAACACCAUGGGAGAAUUUGAAAGGAAGAUGCCAAGAAACUGGCAAAGUGGCUAAAUUCCACAAAUACGGCAUUAUUGCUCAUUUUUAACUCAACAAAUUGAUACGCGUUCAUUUAGAGAAAAGUCGAAGACGCGUGCCUUUUGAAAAGAACAAGUAUCCAAUAGGUAUCCAACCUUUAUCUUAUUUAAUUACUACCAUGACAUGAUUGAUGGUGCUUAAAUCAAUUGUUUCUUUUUUAAUUUAAAGAUUUUUUCAUUAAAAAAUAAUUUAAUAUCACAUUGCCUUCAAUGGCGUAACGGCCGCAAGCCCAGUAACUAGAUUAAUUAAAAUGAAAUUAUGAUUGCACUACUUUUUUAUUUAUUUAUUUAUCUAAUCACUAUAAAAUUUUAACAUAUUUUAUUUACUAUAUUUUUUUUAAAUUUGCAUCAAUUAGUCACUUUUACACUAAUACCGUUAAAUAAUUUAAACGGAAUGAUAAUUUUACCCCUAAAUAAAAUUAAAAGUUCAUUUUAUUUUAUAAAAACUUUGAAAAUAAAAAAUUAUAAUUAUAAAAUAUCCCUAAAUUUAAUAAAGAAAUAAAUCCCAAAAUUAGAAUGUUUAUUUUUAAUAAAAAUUAUUUUAAUAAAAAAUUAUAAUUAGAAAAAUAAUUACAAAAUUUUGGGAUUUAAUAAAAAUCCCCUAAAUGAUUAAAAUUUUAGGAUUUAUUUUUUAAUAAAUAAAUUCAGUUAUUUUAAUAAAAUUUUGCAAAAUUAUAAUUUUUAAUAAAUAAAUUCACUUAUUUUUAUUAUAAUUUUAAAAAAAUUUAAAUUUUUAAUAAAAAUAAUUAUUAAAAUUUUACAACAUCUAAAUUGAAUAAAAAUCAGCUGAGCACCUAUAUUUUGUAUUUAUUUUUAUUAAAUUUAGGGGUAUUUUUAUAAUUAUAAUUUUUUAUUUUUCAAAGCUUUAUAAGAUAAAAUGGUCUUUUAAUUUAUUUAGGGGUAAAAUUAUCAUUUCGUUUUAAUUAUUUAACGGUGUUAGUGCAAAAGUGGCUAAUUGAUACAAAUUUGAAAAGAAAUGUGGCGCAGAGAACAUAUUAAAAUUUUGUGGUGGUUGGAUGAACAUAAGGCAACAGAAAGGUGGUGCAAUAAUAAUUUCCCUAAUUAAAAUUUUAGAAUUUUUGGGCAUGGAUAGAGUAGUUUUAAUUAUGUUAAAGAAUUGAUAUUGACAUAAUUUUAUUUUGGUUUUCAACGAAAAAAAAUUUGUUGACAAGUAAGAAAAUAUUUUUUUUUUACUUUACAAUCGGUUAUACAUGUUUUAUCAUAUUAAAGUAAUUUUAAUAAUAAAUAGAAACAUAAUAUUACAAUAAAUAAAUUAAAGUUUAAGUUAUUUUGAAUAUUAAAAAAAUAAUUUUAAUAUUAUUAAUAGGGAGGCAUUUUGUUAAUUGUAAAAUCUUGUUAACCCAAAGGUUAUUUAAAAUCUUUCUAAUAAAUACAAAUAUAAAAUUAAAUAUCAUAAUUUAAAAUAUUUAAUACUAUAUUCAAUGUAAAAAUAUUUUAAUGUUGUUAAUAUACUACAUAGAUUAUAUUACUUAUAUUAUAUUUAUAUUGAUUAAAAAUUUUUAAAAUUAAUUUUCUAGUUACUAUAUUCAUAAGGUAUUCUGGUUAAAGAAAAUAUCUUGAUAUUACUUUUUGAAAAUUUGAGAGCCUGCAUGACAAUUUUUUCAAAUUUUAAGGAUGUAAUUAUCCUUUUUUCCAUAAUUUAUUUCAAUUUUGAGGGAAUCCAAUAAGAAAUAUGGCAGGAGAAUGUCAAUAGGCGAAUGAUUUUGUUACUUUGUUCACUGAUCUCAAAACCAUCGUCGCCGGGUGGAAGUUGUUGCAUCCGAUUACUAAUAUCAAUGAUUUUACUGUGGAGUCCAUCAAGAAGAGCCAUAUUAGUACUGCUUUCACUUUCGUUUUCACUGGUUUGCUGCUGCUUGUUGUUGAUGAAGAAUGUGUCAAUGGACAAAGUUAUUGAUGUCCUCCAGAAUUCCAAAAAUAUCUGCUGUUUCAACGUCUUCUUCAUCGCUUUCUUCUAAGUCCAACAGUUGCAAAAAAGGCAAAGAUAUUUUGGAGUCAUCGAAUUCUUCUCUAAUGAGUUGAAACAAAAGCCGAGCCAUGUCAGCUUCAUAGUUUCCCACCAGAGUAGUAGCAAUGAUUUCUGACUCCGUAAGAAGGUUUUGAAAAAGUGGUGUCAAAUUUGUUGAAUCUGGCAACGGCAACGCGCCUUCUUCACCUGCCAACACCCUUUUCAACCUCUCACAAAACAGUCGGAGGUGGAAUUCCAGCAUAUCUCCUUCUCUCCGUAGCACUCAGAGGUAUAGUUGAAAGAUUAAACACCAUGGAAGAAUUUGAAAGGAAUAUGCCAAGAAACUGUGUAAGUGGCUAAAUUCCACAAAUAUGACAUUAUUGCUCUUUUUUGAACUCAAAAAAAUGGUACGCGUUCAUUUAGAGAAAAGAACAGGUAUCCCAAUCGAUAUCCAACCUUUAUCUUAUUUAAUUACUACCAUGACAUGAUUGAUGAUGCUUAAAUCAAUUGUUUCUUUUUUAAUUUAAAGAAUUUUUCAUUAAAAAAAUAUUUUGAUAUCUAAUACCCUUCAAUGGCAUAUCUGCCGCAAGCCCAGAACAGGAUUAAUGAAUUUUUUUUUUAAUUUUUUGGGCAUGGAAAGAGCAGUAUUAAACAUCAGAAAGCUAAGGUUGUUCUGUUAAAAAAUUGAUAUUGACAUAAUUUUAUUUUGGUUUCGGGGAAAAAAAUAUUUUCUGAAAAGCAAGAAAAUAUUUUUAUAUUUUACAAUUUAUUAUACAUAUUUUAUCGUAUUAAAUUAAUUUUAAUAAUAAAUAGAAACAAAAUAUUACGAUAAAUAAAUUAAAGUUUAAAUUGUUUUGAAUAUUAUAAAAAAUAAUUAUAAUAUUAUUAAUAGGAAGACAUUUUGUUAAUUUUAAAUUUUUUUAACCCAAAGGUUUAUUUAAAAUCUUUAUUAUAAAUACAAAUAUAAAAUUAAAUAUCAUAAUUUAAAAAAUUUAAUAUUAUUUUAAGUAUUAAAAAUAAUUUAAUGUUAUUAGUCUACUAUAUAGAUCACAUUACUUAUAUUAUAUUUGUAAUGAUUAAAAAAUUUUUAAAUCAAUUUUCUAGUUAAUAUAUUCACGAGGUAUUAUGGUUAAAGAAAAGACCUUGGUGUUACUUUUUAAAAAUUUGAGCGCAUGCAUGAUAAUUUUUUCAAAAUUUAAGAAUGUAUGUGUCCUUUUCUCCAAUAAUUUAUUUCACUUUUGAGGGGAAUCCAAUGAGAAAUAUGAUAAGAGAAUGUCAAUUACUUGUCAUUUUCUAUUUUUUCUGUAAGGUAUUUAUUUUGAGCAUUGGUGAUCUUGUCUGGACUACUCCAAUUAUUGAUGGAACUCCAAUGGCUGCAUCCACAGUUGAAUAUAUGAUGGUGUUAGCUCUUACUUGAGAAUUCAGAGGGAUCUUUCUAUGUUUCUCAAUUGCAAUGUGCUAGUAUAAAUUUCUUUACCUUACAGUUUAUAUAGUCUUGCUGUUAAUGAACUCACUGAGGCAUUAUUGAUUCAAUUUCAGUGGAGCAAUCGCGGGUGAAGGAUAAAUAAAGGAUAACAGAACAGAGCUGAAGUGCUAAAUUGGCUAUUGAAGAAGGUUUUCACAUGAUCACAAUUAUGUAAAAUAAUCAUUUUUCUGAAAUUGUGUUUCCUAAAAUUAAUAAAUUUCCUUUUUUUUAAAAAAAAAAAAAAACUCUUCUACGACGUGGUUGCACAGCAAAUUAGAGAAUUAUAGGGUCUCUAAUCAAUACUCCAACCAAUAAUGAUAUGUGCACAAAAAAUAGUAUCAAUCACAACAAGAUUAAAAUUAAAAAAAGUAACUAUAAGAUGGAAAAAAAAAUUAUUACAAGAAAAUAAUUUUUUUGUCUUUUCUAUCUUUUAUACUAUUUUUGUUUAUAUGUACUCUAAAUUCAGCCAAACCAUACAUGCAUGAACAAAAAUUAAACCGUCGUUCUAAUCACAACAGUAAUUGAAGCUACAAAAGCCAGCAAAUCUGAACGAAGACUUAAAAGAAAGAUCUUAUUCAAGUUUGUCCCCAAAAGACAGCUGAAAUGAAAAAUAUUGACUAUUGAAUGGGUCAAUGCCGAAUUACAUUUCAAAUGGAAAGCUUGGCAGCAGUUACAAUGUUUCCCCCUCUGAUUUUCCUCCAAAACAAAUUCAGUUGUAAACAAUAACCGAAGUAGUAAUAAUUUAUUCAUCAAAGAAAAUACCCCCAAGUUUUCAACUAAAAAAUCCUCUUGUCCAAACUAAAAGAACUCAUAUCUCUAAAAUCUAUCUGCAAAAUGUUGGGAAUGAGGAGUGAUCUGUCAACUCCGUAAAUAAACUCAUGCAUAAUGUUAACAAUAAUGAUAAAUUACAUAAUAAUUAUUAUAAAGAAUCAUAAAUUGGAAACACUAAUCAUUCUACAAUCUAUUAUAUAAGCAAGAUAAAUCUCAUAAUAAGUUAAGUUAUAAUGUAAUAAAUAUUUUCAAUAUAUAAUUAUUUAAGAAGUCAUUUAACAAUAAAAUAAUUUUUUUAAAUCAGUUGAUCAUACAGCGUUAUCUAAACUCCUGACGAUAUUAUUAUUACUCACUUUUCUCAAAAAAAUAUGAUUAAUGUUUAGAGAAAAGUCAUGCAUUUUAGAAAAAAUAUGUAUACUAGCUAUCCGUACUUUAUCUUACCGUGACAAAAUUGAUGGUGAUUAAAUCUAUUUUUAAAAUAGAUUUAAUUCACAAAUAUGGUGACUUUUGGCAAAAAUUAUUUUCAGAAGAUAUAGUGGCAGAAAAUAGUGAUAAUUAUUGUUUAAAUGUGUAAAUAGCCUAAGUAUAGCCCAUAAUACCAAUAUCCAUUUGCACCUUCAUUUGGUUUAUCACAUUUCAUGAUAUUCUUUCAUUCAUGACCAUUGUUCAAGAUUUUAAUUUGAUUAUAAAUUAAGUUGCAAGGGAGCUUACUUCAGUCUCUAAGCUUUUCAAUCGUGAUUCCUGCAUGCCAACGUAACUGACCUUAUAAUUGGUCUGUAUAAGAAAUCAAGCCCUUUCAGGAUCGUUUUCUUUUUCUCCCUAUUGUAGUAGUCAACUAAAUAAAGAAUGAACAACUAAACUUGGUCUAUUUCGAGGAAGACUAAGGCUUCCAAUACUAGAUGAACUUUGAAGAAAAUUAAUCCGUUGUUUUUAUUCAUCUUUGGACUAUGAAUAUAUACAAAGACUUUAACAGAAAAUAACAAAGACACAGCUAAAUGCACUACUAAAAAAAUGAGUUUUACUGACACUAAUUUAGCGUCAGUAAUUACUUUUAUUGACACUUGUUAAUUGUGUCAGUGUUGCUCAAGCCAGAACACACUGACACUAAUUUUUGAUGUCAAUAAUUUUUGUGUCAGUAAUUUGUUUCACUAUAGUAUCACUAAAAUAAUGACACGAUGAUGUUGGUAUUUAAUAAUACUAUUUACACGUCAGUAAUUUAUGUGACUAUAGUAUCAAAAACUGACUCGAUAAUAUAAAAAAUUCUUAUUGUUAUUUUAAAUAUGUAGUGUCAGUAUUUAGUAAUGUUAUGCUGCUUUUGGUUAAUAGUAUAUUUUUUAUUUUAAUUAUAUUUUUCGUGUUUGUUGUACAACCAAAAGAAAACUCGAAAUAUAUUUAUUAUUAAAUAUCUUGCAACACAAUUCAUAUAAUAAACAUCUCAAAUACAUCACUUAAAUUCACACAAUUCAACUACAUCACUAUGUGUAAAAGACUUAACAUAAGUAUCAAAUUAAAUUUUCAACAAUCUCUAAACAACAAGUGCUAACUACUACUCAAUUAAGUUUCCAACCCAAAAGAAAAAAAAAAAAGCACAAGGUCACUCAAUAUCCAUCCACGGCUUCAUUUUGUUCCCACCUACAAAUGCAUAAAAUCAAUUAGUAUACUGUGAAAAAUAAAUCUUAGUUAUUUUGAAGCAAAAAUACUCAUAAAUUACUUCAACAUGGAAGAGUAGGAUUAAAAGAAGCAAGUUAAGGAAUCAGAAAAAGAAAUUGUAGAAUCUACACGUUCCCAAGUUAAUUACAGCCUGCAAUCAUGAUACCACAAAUUGCUUCACCAAAAGUAUUCUAUCAAGUAUUAAAGAGAACACUUAAUAAGUACAUCAAUAUUUAGUAAUGAUGACAUGAACAAUGGUGUCUACAACUUGACAAGCAUAAGUUAUUUUUUUUGUAAUCUAUUUCAUUGUCUAAAUUUAAAGUAAACAAUGCUAUAAUAUAUGAUCAAGUACAUUAAGUUAACAAGCACUAUAACAUUUAUUUAGCCCACAUUCAACGAUGAUCAGUUGGACCGAAAGCCAUAAAUUGAAAAACAAAAGAUAUUUAAUGAGCUUAAAGAGGAAAAAUAAAAGUUAACAAAAUUUAAACGACUAAUGAAGAAAUUAACCAAGCCGAGAUGAAAAACAGAAAUAGAAGGCCACUAUAAGCCAAACAUUACAAAUCAGGUUGCUUUUUAAGACACGAACCCAGUUUCCAAUUACAGUACUUUGCAAUUCUUUAAAAAAAAAAGGGUUUCCCAAUUACUAAAUCUUUUUAGGUUUGAAGUGGAUUGAUAAUUAAAUUGAUGAAAGAAAGGAAAGUGAAGCAAAAAUUAGAUUCAAGUAUGGGUCAAGUAAAAAAGUAAAAGAUAAAAAUCAGAUUCAGUGCAAACCUGGGUUUCAAAUGAUUAGCAAAGGAACAACUUCUUCUUUCUUCAAUCUAAUAUUCUUCUUCGAACAUGGAAUACUAACAAAAUACAAUUAGUAAUUCAUAAACAUAUAGUAAAAUGAGAUAGGUAUUUUUUGAGAGGAGAUUGAGAAAUACAUAUUUGAUUGAAGAAAGAAAACACAACAAAAAAAAAGGACCAGGUCUCCUCAAAGAAAAGCAAAAUGGGAAAAUAGGGGAAUAGUCUAUACAAAAGCCAACCCACCACCCUUGGAGGACCAUCCUUCUUCUGAGCAAAAAUCUAUACAAGAUUAGCCCAAACCUCCAAUAUAGUAAAAUGGGUUCGACAGACUAUUUCUAAUCUGUCAUUUGCAAAGUAAAGCUAAAAUUAGAAUUGUCUACUAACAACCUUCCUAUAGUUUGUCCACUAUAUUAUUACUAUAUUAUUAGAUGUAAAAUGCCCACUAUAAAAGGUAAUUAAUAGAGAAACUUCUCUGUAGUAUUUUCAUACCUGUGCCAAAACAGAGAAGAGAAAGAAAUGGUGUCUGACCUCGGUGGUAAAGGAACCGCUAUGGUAAAGGAUCGAACAUGGAUGAAAAAUAAACUUGUGCAAAUGGAGCCACCAGCAUUUUGCAAGAAUUAAAGAUUUUGGGUGAAAUCCUCUCUUAUAAACACUUAUUUGUAUUGGGAGCAUGCAUACUUCCGAGUAUGAUAUAAUUCUAUAAAAUUUAGACUCCUGAUAGAUAGAUAGAUAACACGUAUUAGCAUUAAUUAAAUGGAAGCAUCAACAAUAAUCAAUAAAUCAUUAUAGAAAAAAAAUUAAAAAUGAAAGGAGCUGAGGCACACCAUUGUGAUGCAAGAUUGACAAUCAAAAGAACCUUUCCUUUGUAGAUGCUAAGAUCAACAUCCUGUCCCUUCGCAUCCUGCAAAUAAGAUAAAUUUUUAUAAAAAUUAAAAAAUAUAUCUGUCAAAUCCCAAAUUGAAUUAAAAAUCAAAACAAGGGAAAGAAAAUGAAAGGAACAUGUCAUCAAAUUGUAGGUGGCUGGUGGUGCUUUUUAGUGAAGUGUUUGUAGAACUGUUAGAUGUAACCAUUCUUUACGCAUCAACUUCGCUAGUGAUUUGAUUUGAUGAAGAGGAUCUUUCCUUAUCUAGUUAUCUUCUUGUGUAGAUCCAUGUAGGAUUCCUUCACGAUUUCUUUUUUUUUUUUUUGGGGGGGGGGGGGGGGAGGUUUAAUUAACAAAACAAUAAGAGUAAAUGAGGAAUCAAUCCCUAAUUUAAGGCCUUCUAAGAUUGCUGAAGCUCUGCAUAAUCAAUGUCUCCAAGAAAAAGGUUUAUUUGCAGGCUGUAGCAGCAAUUUUCUUCCCCAUGAAAUCCAACUGAUCCAUUUGUAUUGAAUUUAAGCACACGCCUGAGGCUGGAAAAGACAAAGAAAUUAAUGAAAACAGGCUAUGUAUCUUUUUUACUUAUCAUUGCUCUAUGAAUUAAUUAUGCUACUAAUCACGACGCCGUUUAAAUCUUAGAACAAUAAUAAUCUUUUAGCAACAAAUAUGACGGUUCAAUAAUAUGUUCCGACUAGGGAUGUCAUAUUGUGAGGGCUGUUAAGUUUAAGAAACGAUCAAAUCUAAUUUUGUGUUCCAAAAACUCAUUGGCUUAACAGAUUAACUCCUCUGUAGUAUUUUCAUACCUGUGCCAAAAGAGAGAAGAGAAAGAAAUGGUUCUUGAUCUCGACGGUAAAGGAGCGGUGGCUGGCUGGGCUGAAGUUGAUGUGACGGCAUAAAAGCGGUAGCAGCGACAUACUGAAAGGUGGCUAGCUAGUCGUAGGUGGCUGAAGCUUGACAACAGUAGAGCAAAGGCGGCAGUGACGUCAAGGAACGGCGGCCGACAGCAGUGAAAGUCGAGGAGCAGCGGCCGGCAGCAGUGAAAGUCGAGGAGCAGCGGCCGGCAGCAGUGAAAGCCGAGGAGCAGCGGCCGGCAGUAGUGAAAGUCGAGGAGCAGGGGAGCGGUCGGCAGCAGUGAAAGUCGAGGAGCAGGGGAGCGGCGGCAGCAACUUAAGAAGUGGUGUGUUUGAUUCGGUUAGAUUUAGGGUUUCUUAUUUUCAUUUUAUACUUUGAAAAAUUAUACAGUGUAAUUGUUCGCAUUGUAAUUUAAUAAAACAACAAACUACAAGUCAACAUGUGGUCAAGUAAAAUUAUUAUUAUUAACAACGAAUUACAAGUUGACAUGUGGCAAAAUAAAAAAUAUUAUUCUCAAAACUAUUAUUAUUAUUAUUAUUAUUAUUAUUAUUAUUAUUAUUAUUAUUAUUAUUAUUAUUAUUAUUGUCCACAAAGUAAUUGUGUAAAAUUUAAUUAAAUAAAAAAAUUAAUCAAAUUGAAAAUUUAAAAACACAUGCAUCAAUGGUUUGCACUCUAAACUUACAAAUUUUAAGUUUAGAGAUCUUGAGUUCGAGUUCAAAUUAAAACAAAAUUAAUAUUAUUAUUUUUUUAUCACUGAUGCUUUAGUAUCAAUAAUCAUUGAAUUUUAAGCUACUGACACCUUAGUAUCAAUGAUUUAUGAUACAUACUUGUUAAAGGCGGAAAAUGGUCCAAACGUACACCAUUUCUGACACUUUUUACUAAGUGUCAGAAACAAAGUGUCAGUAAAUGUCAUUUUUGUAGUAGUGAUGAUAGCAAUAAGUGCUGACUUAGACACUUAGUGGACCGCUUCUACAAGUAAAUAAAAACUAAAUAUUUAUUUUGACUAUAACAACAACUACGCUGAUGAAUAGGAUUUCACAGCAGCCACGUGAGAACUAAUUUCUCCUUAAUAUUAUUAUUAGUAGAAGUAGAUUUUCAAACUAGUCUUGAUAUAUUUCAAAGUUGUAUUAUCAAUGUAUAUGUGUCUAGAUUGUAACUAUACUUUAAAAAAUAUAAAAUUUUUAAUUAUUGCACAAUAUAUGUAGAAAAAUAUCUAUAAAAUGAUAUUAUUAGGACUAAGAAUUUUUUAUUUUAUUUUAGAUAAGUUAUUUAUUUAUUAUCGAAUGAAUAAUUUAUUAAUUUAUUGAUAAAUGAAUAUUUAUUAAUUUAAAGAGAGAUUUUUUUGGUUUUAACAAGAGUUUGUUUGGUAAAUGUACACACUUAUAAAGAAACAUAAAAAGUGGUUCCUCAAGUCAAUAGUGUUUGCUUCAAUCGCAACGGUUCAUAAUAAUAUAGCUUAGUUAGGAAAUUUGUAAUUAUACUAUAACUUUGUUUGGUACAACUUUUCAAGUAAAACUUAUUUAAGUAGAGUUGUUAUUAGUAGAGCUUUUAUAAAUAAAGCUUUUACUAAAAAAAAUUUAAUUGUUUGGUUGUCAAUGUCCAAAUUGAUAAACUUUUGUUCUUUUGUUAAGAUAUGUUUGUUUUACUUAAUAAUAGCAUCGGCAAGAGUUUUCGAUUGUUGCAACUUGCAAUGCACGCGGUGAGAGAAAAUGAGAAUCUUGUUUAAUUGUCAAUAAUGACAAACCUAAUCCUUUCAUUAGGAGUAAUUUAAUAAUCGUUUGUUAUAACUGAAUAUGUAUAAAGAAAGGAAAAUUCUAUUCAUAGAUUUCGACUUAUUUUUUGUUUAAAGUAAUUAAUCAUUCAACCAUCUUCAUUUGCCUCUGGCCAAUGCCCUUGUAGAUUAGUUGAAGCGUUAAUUACUUAAUUAUGAUUAUAUACAUUUUCAUAUAGCAAGUGGCAUUGUAGAUCUAAACUAAGUUGCUAUUUCAAUACCAGCAAAUUCAAAAUAGAAAAGGAGUGCAACUAUUUAACUUUGUAGACAAUAUUGCAACCAUGGCAUAUUUAUAGCAAAUCCUUGAAAUCUGCUAAACAAAACAAUGCCCUGUCUCAUGAAUCGAUGCUCAAUUAAAAUUUAAAUUGAAAGUCCGGCUGGUGUUGUUUUCCUCUCCAGUUUUGCCUACAUAAGUAAAGGGAAAUAAGAAUCAUAAGUGAAAAUAUGCUUUGACAGGUCUUAUUUCUUUGUUUCUCUACUGCAGUUUUGCCUACUCAAGCUGAGUCUACGUUGAGACAUAAUUUCAGUAUUGAGGUAACAAUAAUUUCGGACUCCGUAAGAAGGUUUUGAAAAAGUGGAGUCACAUUUGUUGAAUCAGGCAACGUCAACGUGCCUUCUUCACCUGCUAACACCCUUUUCAACCUCUCACAAAAUAGUCGGAGGUGGACGUCCAGCAUAUCUCCUUCUCUCUGUAGCACCCAGAGGUAACAGGAUUAAUUAAAAAUUUUAGAAUUGUUGGGCGUGGAAAGAGUAGUAUUAAACAUCAGAAAGCAAGGUUGUUCUGCUAAAGAAUUGAUUUGUUGACAUAAUUUUUUUUUUUUUUUUUUGGUUUUCGAGGAAAAAGGCAUAUUUGUUGACAAGCAAGAAAAUGUUUUUGUAUUUUACAAUCUGUUAUACAUAUUUCAUCAUAUUAAAGUAAUUUUAAUAAUAAAUAGAAACAUAAUAUUAUGAUAAAUAAAUUAAAGUUUAAAUUAUUUUGAAUAUUAUAAAAAAAUAAUUCUAAUAUUGUUAAUAGGAACAUAUUUUGUUAAUUGUAAAAUCUUUUUAAUCCAAAGAUUUAUUUAAAAUCUUUAUAAUAAAUACAAAUAUAAAAUUAAAAUAAAUAUCAUAAUUUAAAAUUUUUAAUAUUAUUUUCAAUAUUAAAAUAUUUUAAUGUUAUUAGUCUACUAUGUAAGGUAUCAGAGCCAUACCCAUCCUUGAAUGGGUCAAUGCUGAAUUACACUUGAAAUGGAAAGCUUGCUGCAGUUACGAUAUUUCCCCCUCUGAUUUUUCUCCAAAACAAAUUCAGUUGUAAACAAUAACCGAAGUAGCAAUAAUUCAUUCAUCAAAGAAAAUACUCAAAUUUUCAACUAACAAAUCCUCUUAUCUAAACUAAUUAAAAAAAACUCAUAUCUCAAAAAUCUAUCUACAAAAUGUUGGAAAUAAAGGGUGAUCCGUCAACUCGAUAAAUAUACUCAUGCAUAAUGCUAACAAUAUGAUAAAUUACAUCAUAACUAUUAUAAAGAAUCAUAAAUUGGAAACACUAAUCAUUCUACAAUCUAUUAUAUAACUAAGAUAAAUCUUAUAAUAAGUUAAGUUAGAACAUAAUAAAUAUUUUCAAUAUAUAUAAUUAUUUAAGAAGUCUUUUAACAAUAAAUUUUUUUUCUUUUUCAGUUGAUCAUGUCAUAUAGCGUUAAUGGUGAUUAGUGACUGAUUACAAAGCAAAAUUGUUUAAAAUAGAUUUAAUGCACAAAUAUGAUGAAUUUUGGCAAAAAUUAGUUUCGGAAAUGUUGGGAUGAAAACCAUAUUAGUUGAGACUUAAAGUUACUUAAUAAAAUUAUAUCACUACCAUUCAAUGGAUGAAAACUAUUUUAGUUGAGACUUAAAUUUAGAUUUAAAUGUUGAGAUAUCUAGUAUUACUCAAUCAGAAUAAACAAGAACCAAUUCUGACUAUCAUGUAGAAGCAAAUAUUUAUGCUUGGAUUUUUUACUUCUUGAAUUUGAUUGGAAAAGUUUCUGAGACAGAGAAGUGUUUUGGAUAAUCUUUUUCGGGAUUGAAACCACAAAUUGGUCGAGGAAAUUAAUUUUGGACAAAUUUUUAUUGAGUUGUGCUAAACAUCAAGAAGGGCGAGAGAAUGCUGAGAGAAACGGCAGCUUUGUGCUGCUGUUUCGACUUCUCACUCUCUCGCCAUUCUAAUAAUUUUUUAUUAUUAAAAAUAAAAAAGCGGAGAAAAUGAUAGCAGACAACCCACAUCUACCAAAUCUCCAUCACUCCAUCACUCUCUUUCUCUCUCUCCCUCUCUUGAUUUUCAUCCUCUCUCUGGCUUCCUCACUCUCUACGGCUCCCCAUCAAGCUUCCUCAGUCUCUUCGGCCUCACUAUCUCUAGCCUCACUCUCUCCAGAUUCUUUCAUUUUCUCCUUUUUUUUAUAUUUUUAACAAUAAAAAAUUAGCAUUCUGCUGAGAAAGAGAGUGGUACACGACUCUUGAACAAUUUUUUUUCUGUCGUGAUCGUCUAUCAAACCACCUAAAAAUGAGCCAAGGGGGUUCUCAGCCCUAGCAGCUCACGUACUUUCAAGAUUUAGAGUAUGGUUCCAGUCCAAGCUAUUUAAUUAGUAUUGGGAUUCGAUUUAGUUGUUCUUCUAAUUUAAUAGGAUAAAGAAUUUAAUUGGAGAAAUGUCAUUAAUAUCAUAGGAGCAUAUAUAUUGUUUUGAUUUAAAUAUUGCUAUUUUUUUAUUGUUGAAAAAAAAAACACUAGAAAAUGGGAAGCCAAAAUCUUAGCCCUGUGUUUUUACUUUUACUUUUCUCUUAAACAUUUUAAAGAUGUAAAGGAAAAUGCUCAGAAUGGUGAGAGAGUGAUGGACGUGAUGGGCUAUCUUCUAUCCUUUUUUUAAUAAAUUUUUAAGAAUAAAAAAUUUAUUAAAACAGUAAGAGAGCGAAACCAAAACGGCAGCUUGUGCUGUCGUUUCUCUUAACAUUCUCUCGUCAUUCUUGAUGUUAAGCAUUUUCCAUUUUUAUUAUGUUGUAGCACCUUUUUGGUUCCUUUUGUGUCGGCAGCCCCUUACUAUUCUCUUAACCCUGAGUUUGAGAUAGAAAUUUCCCGAACUCCAACCCCACAUCCACAGACAAGUUGAUUCAAACAAUUGCUCUUUUAAUUAAGAGAAUGAGUUAGGUUUCAGUUCUUAUUGUUGUCUGUUAUUUCUCUGAAUCAUUAAUUUUGAGCAUUACUGAUCUUAGUUAUCUGUAUUUCUCCAAUUAUUGAAGAAUUUAUUAUUGAAUGAAUAAUUUAUUAAUUUAUUGAUAAAUGAAUAUUUAUUAAUUUAAAGAGAGAUUAUUUUGGUUUUAAGAAGAGUUUAUUUGGCACAUGUACACACUUAUAAAGAAACACAAAAAGUGCCUGCUCAAGUCAAUAGUUUUGGUACAUUUACACACUUAUAAAGAAACACAAAAAGUGCUUGCUCAAGUCAAUAGUAUUUGCUUUAAUCGCUAUAGUUCAUAAUAAUAUAGCUUAGUUAGGAAAUUUGUAAUUAUACUAUGGCUCCGAUUGGUACAACUUUUUAAGUAGAACUUAUUUAAUUAGAGUUUUUAUUAGUAGAGUUUUUAUAAAUAGAGAUUUUACUAAAAUAAAAUUUAGUUAUUUAGUUGUCAAUGUCCAAAUUGAUGAAAUAUUGUUCUUGUUAACAUAUGUUUGUUUUACUUAAAAAUAAAAGUUUAGUUUACAAUUACACCAGUAUAAAAUCAGCAGAGCAUUUUUGCUUAAAUAUUUAUUAAUUUAAAGAGAGCUUAUUUAAAUAGAGUUUUUGUUAGCAAAACUUUUAUAAAUAAAACUUUGCUUAAAAAAAUUUAAUUAUUUAAUUGUUAAUGUCCAAAUUGAUGAACUUUUGUUCUUUUGUUAACAUGUGUUUCUUUUACCUAAUAAUAAAAAUUAGUUUACAAUAACACUGGUGUCAAAUCAGCAGAGAUAUUUUCCAGCCAGUCACAUUAUACAUACGGGAGCCUCUAUGUUACAUUGAAUGUACCAUACACAACUAAUAAGAACCACAUAAAUUGUGGGACCCACAUAAUUGUGUGGUUCUUAUUGGUUGUGUAUGGUACAUUCAAUGUAACAUAGCAAAAUCCUAUACAUUAUACUAAUAGCAUCGGCAAGAGUUUUCGAUUGUUACAACUUGCAAUGCACGCGGUGAGAGAAAAUGAGAAUCUUGUUUAAUUGUCAAUAAUGACAAACCUAAUCCUUUCAUUAGUAGUAAUUUAAUAAUCGUUUAUUAUAAUUGAAUAUGUAUAAAGAAAGGAAAAUUCUAUUCAUAAAUUUCGACUUAUUUUUUGUUUAAAGUAAUUAAUCAUUCAACCAUCUUCAUUUGCCUCUGGCCAAUGCCCUUGUAGAUUAGUUGCAGCGUUAAUUACUUAAUUAUGAUUAUAUACAUUUUCAUAUAGCAAGUGGCAUUGUAGAUCUAAACUAAGUUGCUAUUUCAAUACCAGCAAAUUCAAAAUAGAAAAGGAGUGCAACUGUUCAACUUUGUAGACAAUAUUGCAAGUUGCAACCAUCCAAAGGUGAAGAUCUAUGCUUAUUAUCUAUUUAACAGCUAAUAUAUAUAUAUAUAUAUUUAUUUAAAUAUCAAGAGCUAUGCUUUUAAAUAAGUUCAAAUGGGAUGAGAACAGACUUAUAUUUAUUUAUUUAAAUAUGACCCAGGCUAAUUUCUCUGAAUUUGGACAGAGUAGAUUUCUAAGCUAAUGCUUGGCAUAUCUCUGGCGAUACUACAAAGUGCAUGUACAUUGACUCUUAAUAAAUAUAAACGAUUCUCUGAUAUGAUUCAAAACAUCACUACAUGCAUAAGUUAAUAAGAGACAAUAUUCUAAGAUUAUUUAUGCAUCACCAUUUAUAGUUGUACCCUCUCUAAUGAAAUUGAAGGUGCAGCCAGCAACUAAAAUGAAGCAGAAAUGUACACGCAUGAGGCAGUUUUUCUAGAAGAUUGAUAUUUCUUUAACUAGAAAACCAUACAAGUCCACAACUAGCCAAACUGUACCUGCAUGUGUCUAGGGCUUAAAUGGAGCACUUCUAAGCAUAAAACAGUAACUAAAACACAUACACAAACAUACAUACCAAAAAAUUCAGAAAAUAGAGAAAGGAAUACAACUAUUCUUGUUUGUAGACAAUAUUGCAACCAUGGCAUCAGUUAUAGCAAAUCCUUGAAAUCUACUAAACAAAAUAAUGUCCUGUCUCAUGAAUCAAUGUUGAAUUACAGCUGAAAUUGAAAGUCUGGCAUCAGUUAUAGGAAAUAUUGAAUUACAAUAUUUCCCUUGCCGAUUUUGUCUACACAAGUAAAAUGGAAAUAAGAAUCAUAGAUGAAAAUCAACUUUUACAGUUCUAAUUAUUAGAUAGAUACAGAAUGAUCUAUCUUUGUGAGUUUGUUUUUCUGCUGCAAUGUGCGAUCCCACUCUGUUUUGAUACUCAAAUUGAGUCUAUGUUGAGACAUAAUUUUGACAUUGCAAGCAAUCCCAAUUAGUUUGGCAUUUGUAUGACCCUUUGAAGGUUUUACAAUAGAUGCAAAUCUACUGAGAAAAUGGUAAAAAAGGUGCAUAUAAAAUGAGGCAAGUAACAGAAGUAUGAGUUAUCAGAUUAGAUUAAAAGUCACCCAAUUCAAUCUAUCAGAUUCCGUAAGGAUAUAACUGGAUGUCAUAUCGCCACUCCAUAUCCUCGAAAGUCCGUAGUCUUUGUCUCAACUCUGUCUGAGGCCAAUGUAAAUCCAAUUUGCACAAGCUCUUUAUGCACCAUAGCUCUUCUGGAAGCUUUCUCAAGUAAGCACAUGGGUUGACAAUUAAGCUUUCAAGUUUUGGCAUUGCUCUUGCCCCCAUCGUCCACUCGUCUAGCCAAUACAUCGACUUCAAGUGCAAAAUCUUAAGUUCCGGAAAGCCACCAGAGCCAACGCAGGCCAGCUUUCUUCCUAAAUAUGAGUUCUGCUUCAGUUUCAGCACUUGAAGGCGUGGAAGCUUUUCCAGCAUUGGCAUGGGAUCCUCCAUUAGCUCAGUAUUUGAUAAGCUCAGUUGGAUCAGGCUUGGAGGAAAUUGGUAUUCAGACAGGACCAUCCGUGAGAGCUUGCUCUCAUUCACCAACUUCAAGCAUUCAACUUUGUGGAGUUCGCAUACGCUUUUGGAAACCCCAGAGUGAUAGCAACUCAAAUCUCCAGACACUCUAAGAGUUUGAAGAUUAGGUAGUCUGCACAAUAUAUCUGGCGUGCAACUACUAGGGUGUAAGGCUGAUAUGAAAAUAAGAUUUUUCAGAGAGCUGGAAUAAUUUUUUGGAGGUGCAGGCAGAGUGAUGGAACCAAAGUUCAGAUGCAUGAGUUUUUGCAUCUUCCAAAUAUCCUCUGGUGUUUGAUCUACGUAGCUAGAUGGCAUGUCUAGUGUUUGAAGGUUUGAAAGGGUGCAUAGCAGUGAAGGAAGACAUUUGAGCGAAGGGAUAUUCAAUUUCAAAUACUUCAAAUGGAAUAAAUUUUCUAAUCCGGGUGGAUAUUGGUCCAGGACUGCAGAACCCAUGUUCAAUACCCGAAGGUGUUUGAACAUUUUACAAAAAUUCUCGCAAUCUAUCGGAUUAAGAUGAUCGCUUUCUGAACUGUGAUUCAGAAAAGAUUGGAGGUACAUGUCAGAAUGUUUCAAAGAAAAGAACUCAAUCAGAUCAUCGACAAUGAUGUACCGUUUGGCAUUUGCCAUUGAUUCCUCUUCCAAUCCAGGCGACCAAAAAAAUCCCGUCAAUGCUGCCGGCAAAAGUAACGCAACAUAUGCAAAAGUUGGAACAUAGCACGCCUUAAUUGUGCCUCCGGCUCUUCUCUUAUUCACUUGAAUGAAGCCACGAUCGAUUAGUUCAUUCAAGUAAUGCUCGGCAGUUUCCUCACUGUUGUGUGGUAUGAAACCUUCAGCUACCCACAACCAAUAUAAUUGCCUGGUAGAUAUCUCAAUGCCUGGAUGGAACAAACACAAAUAGAGGCAGCAGAUUUUCAAGUGAACAGGUAACUGCAACACAGAAUAAAUUGUACUCCAAGCUGUCAGAAACGCUUUUUCUCCCAUGUAAAUUCUUAAUGUCGUUUUUCCAUAGUGUAGGAUGAAAAAUUGCCAGGCUUCAUGCUUUAAUCUGAUCAAUGGUCCUCCAACGAGAACUGAAUCAGGAUGAAUCGUCUGUCCAUUUUCCAAUUCGAACGAGGAAAGGAAGUCUGGAUCAGUGACCGUCAUUAAUACUCUGCUUCCAUUCUGAUUCUCAGGAAGGACUUCUUCAAGAUCAUCCAAUACAUCGUCACUCUCUUCACAGUAAUCAUCAAGCACAAUAAAGUACUUCUUGUUUGUUAGGUAAUCUCGAAGAAUAGAUUUCUUCAAUUGAUAAUCUUCACCGAUAACUACACUAACCCGAGAUGGAGGCAUCACAGACUUGAUUAUGUCAUCCAAUAUCAUGCGAAAAUCGUAGGCUAUAGAAACCCUGACCCAAGCAUGACAGUCAAAAUAGAACUUGACAUGAUUAUUGUUGUAAGUAUCAGCAGCAAAAGCAGUCUUAUCAAAGCCACUGCUGUCGAGAAUUGCAACCACUGAAAGCUGAGGUUGUCCCUCGAUCAGUAAAUCAAACAACGCCUCUCUGCCGCUUUCAAAUUCACUCUUAUCAAGCUGAAAUUGUCCCUCAAUCAAUAAGUGAGUGAAUUCGUUCCUUCGCUCUUUGAAAUCAAAACCAUUGCCUCCAGGUGGAAGUUGUUGCAACCGAUUUCUAAUAUCAAUGAUUUUACUGUGGAUUCCGACAAGAAGAGCAAUGCAAGUAGUGCUCUCACUUUCACUGUUUUGCUGCUGCGUGAUGUUGAUGAAGAAUGUGUCAAUAGCUUUCUCAGAUUCACGGACAAAGUAAUUGAUGUCUUUCAGAAGUUCCCAAAUGUCUGUUCUUUUAACAUUUUCUAAGUGCAAGAGCUGCCGAUAACGCGAAGGCAUUUCGUCUUCAUCGAAUUGUUCUCUAAUGAGUUGAAUUAAAACUCGAGCCAUGUCAACUUCAUAUUUUCCCAGCAGAGUAGUAGCAAUAAUUUCGGACUCCGUAAGAAGGUUUUGAUAAAGUGGAGUUAAAUUUGUUGAAUCAGGCAACGUUAACGCGCCUUCUUCACCUGCUAACACCCUUUUCAACCUCUCACAAAAUAGUCGUAGGUGGACGUCCAGCAUAUCUCCUUCUGUCAGUAGCACCCAGAUGUAUUGUCAUUUGCUUCAAGAAAUGUUGAAAGGAUUGGUUCUAUCUCAAAGUGUUUAGUGGUGUAAAAUUAAUUAAUUAAACACCAUGGAAGAAUUUGCAAGGAAGAUGCCAAGAAACUGGCGAAGUGGCUAAAUUCCACAAUUAUGACAUUAUUGCUCAUUUUCAACUCAAAAAAAUGAUACGCGUUCAUUUAGAGAAAAGUCCAAGACGCGUUCCUUUCGGAAAGAACAAUUAUCCAAUAGAGAUCCAACCUUUAUCUUAUUCAAUUACUACCCUGACAUGAUUGAUGGUGCUUAAAUCAAUUGUUUCUUUUUUAAUUUAAAGAAUUUUUCAUUCAAAUUUUUUUUAAUAUUAAAUUGCCUUCAAUGGCAUUACUGCAGCAAGCCCAGUAACACGAUUAAUUAAAAAGUUUAGAAUUUUUGGGCCUGGAAAGAGUAGUAUUAAACAUCAGCAAGCUAAGGUUGAUAUGUUAAAGAGUUGAUAUUGACAUAAUUUUUAUUUUGGUUUUCGGGGAAAAAAAAUUGUUGACAAGCAAGAAAAUAUUUAUAUAUUUUACAAUUUAUUAUACAUAUUUUAUCAUAUUAAAAUAAUUUUAAUAAUUAAUGAAAAACAAAAUAUUGCAAUAAAUAAAUUAAUGUUUAAAUUAUUUUGAAUAUAAUAAAAAUAAUUUUAAUAUUAUUAAUAGGAAGACAUUUUGUUAAUUUUAAAAUCUUUUUAACCCAAAGGUUUAUUUAAAGUCUUUAUUAUAAAUUAAAUAUCAUAAUCUAAAAUUUUUAAUAUUAUUUUAAGUAUUAAAAAUAUUUUAAUGUUAUUAGUCUACUACAUAGAUCAUAUUACUUAUGUUAUAUUUGUAUUGAUUAAAAAUUUUUAAAAUCAAUUUUCUAGUUACUACAUUCACGAGGCAUUAUGGUUAAAGAAAAGAUCUUGAUGUUACUUUUAAAAAAUUUGAGGGCCUGCAUGAUAAUUUUUUCAAAAUUUAAGGAUGUAGGUGUCCUUCUCAAAUAAUUUAGGGUGAGGCUAUUUGAAUCCACCAAUCUACUCACUACACCCAUUUACUAAAUAAACCCGCACUUAAGUUUUGAAAUUUUAAAUUUUACUCAACAAACCGACCUAAAUGUCCAAUAUACCCUUAUUGAACCCAAUUAUUAUAAUAAUAUGUUUUUGCUAAUUAAACCCAUUUAAUUCAUUUAAAGUUAAUAAAUGAUUAUAUUUAUUAAAUUGAAAACUAAAAGAUUAUACAAAACAUAAACAAUACUCUCAAUUAUAUAUUUUGGAGCAAAAAUUCCAAAGUGUAGUAAGCAAAGCCAAUGCAAAAUGGCUGGAGCAGCUAAUAAUGGUAAAAGUCAGAGCCUAGUAAUGUGGUACCGCUACUUGACUUUGGGAAAGAAGUGAUAAUUAUAUCAAUUUCUUCAACUUGGAAGUUGGAAGUGCUGUUGAAAGCGGUUGAUGCCAGAAAAAUAAUUAGAUAUCUGUCAAAAAAAAACUUUGGUAUUUUUAGAAAUAAAAUCCUAUAUCCAGUAUUUCAAUAUGAAAAGUCUCUAGUAUUUCUUUCAAUUGAUUCUUCCUUUGUCUUCUUCGACUCCAUGAAGGUUUAAUUAUGAUGAGAAAGCCAAGGGGAAUCAAUAAAGAAUAUCAAUUUAGGGUUUAAGAAAAAUAUCAUAAAGUUGAAUGUAAAAUGGAUUCAAAGAGUAAAUUUUAUUUUUAAAACUAUAUUUUAAUGUCUAAAAUUGUAAUUUAAUUUAGGGAUAUUUUAAUAAUUACAAUUUAUUUUUAAAAGUGAGUUUAUUAAGUAGUUUGAUGGGUUCAAAUAGUCCCAUCCAAUAAUUUAUUUCACUGUUAAGGGAAUCCAAUGAGAAAAAUAAUAAGAUAUCGUCAAUGACUUGUCAUUUUCUAUUUUUUCUAUGAGCUAAUUAUUUUGAGCAUUAGUGAUCUUGUCAGGACUACUCCAAUUAUUGAUGCAACUCCAGCGGCUGCAUCCACAGUGGCUACUCCAAUUAUUCAUGCCUUUUAAAAAGAAUAUGUAUACAAUAGCAAUCCAUACUUUAUCUUACAUUGAUUUUUUUCAAUUAAUGGUGAUUGCAUUGAUUUUUUUCAAUUAAAGAAAAAUUGUUUAAAAUAGAUUUAAUGCACAAAUACGAUGACUUUUGGCAAAAAUUAGUUUCGGAAAUGUUGGGAUGAAAACCAUAUUAGUUGAGACUUAAAUUAAGAUUUAAAUGUUGAGAUAGUAUUGCUCAGUCAGAAUAAACAAUAACCAAUUCAAAUUAUGACUAUCACGUAAAAACAAAUGUUUAUGCUUGGGUUUUUUACUUCUUGAAUUUGAUUGGAAAAAUUUCUGAGACAGAGAAGUGUUUUGGAUAAUUGUUUUGGGGAUUGAAACCACAAAUUGGUCGAGGAAAUUAAUUUUGGACAAAUUUUUAUUAUAUUGUAGCACCUUUUUGGUUCCUUUUCGGCGGCCCCAUACUAUUCUCUUAACCCUGAGUUUUUUUUUUUUUUUUUUUUUGAAAAGUCUUAACCCUGAGUUUGAGAUAGAAAUUUCCCGAACUCCAACCUCACAUCCAGGGACAAGUUGAUUGAAACAAUUGCUCUUUCAAUUAAGAGGAUGAGUUAGGUUUCAGUUCUUAUCAUUGUCUGUUAUUUCUUUGAAUCAUUAAUUUUGAGCAUUACUGAUCUUAGUUAUCUGUAUUUCUCCAAUUAUUGAAGAAUUUCAUGUGGCCACUUUUUCUCCUUUUCAUAUAUGUUUCGUUUUUGGACUGAUCAAACGGUGCAAAACCAAGUAUUUGCUGGUCCUUAGUUUAGCCAAUGAUGGCUGAUCCACAGUUGAAUAUAUGAUACUAUUAGCUCUUAUUUGAGAAUGUAAAGGGAUCUUUCUUAUUUGAGAAUACAAGUUGCCCAAUAGAGUUGAACUAUGUUACCCAACUCCAUGCUCAUACAUUAAAUGUUUAGGUAGUUUUACAAAAUGAUAGCAGCAUGCCAAAACUUGUUGUUGUCAUUUUCGACAUUUCAAAUUGAAAAAUAUGCAAGCAAUCUUCAGUGAACAUUACGUUUUUAUUGAAUAAUUUAAAUGGCCAGCAAAUCAACAGUCCGUGAGUUUUAAAUCUAUUAUGACUUAAUGUAUCUUUCUGUAUUCGUACACAGGUUAUAUUAUCAUAGUUUAAAAUUUUAAUAUUAUUUUAAAUGUUAAAAAUACUUUAAUGCUAUUAGUCUACUACACAGGUUAUAUUAUUUAUAUUAUAUUUGUAUUAAUUAAAACUUUUAAUGUCAAUUUUCUAAUUACUAUAUUGAAAAGGUAUUAUGGUUAAGAAAAAGUUUUGGCAUUUCUUCUUGAAAAUUUGAGGGUCUGCAUGACAAUUUUUCCAAAUUCUAAGGGUAUAGGUUUGAAAAUUUAAUGUUCUUUAACUUAAUGAAACAAAAGGGGGAAACCAAGAACUAUUCAAUUUUGUAUUUUUUGUUUGUAAUUCAAAAAAUGCAUCCACCAAACAAGUUUUACGCAUUAAUGCUGUCAUAAAACAAAAAACAGUUUGCCAAAAAAUGGUACCAAACAUAUCCUUAAUGUCUCACAUGAUUUCUUAGUAAGCCCAUAUUAGAUAUAUUUAUACAUUUUAGGUAUUUUAAUUAUAAAAGAAGUUGGUCCUCCCUCUGUUUAUAAAAGAUAACGUUAUUUCGAGAUUACCACUAAACUCUUACAUAGAAUUAGUGUAAUGUUAAGAGAGAGUAACACAAUUUUCCGUUACCAUCUUUGAAAAUAGAAAGAUAUGGAUGCGUGCAUUUAAGGGUUAUCGUGAAAAUCAUACAAUUCAAUUUCCUGACAUAUAUAUUCGUGCACAUAUGCCAAAAGAAUAAAUAGACAGAAAGUAAAUUUACAGUCCUCACUUCCUCACAAUUGUUAACGUGGAGACAUUAAGGAUGAGCAUAAAAGUUAAAGAUGACUCAUUUCUCAUUUUCUUUUUAAAGUGCUCUGCUGAAAGCCAAACUUCCUUUGGCUAAUUAAUUUAGAAGUAAAGCAGAGAAUAAAGUCCUAGAUGCCUUCUGAAAUUAGAAAUACAUUUUAUAUGCUUUAAUUAUGAUUAUUUGGUAGACUAAAGACCUAAAAGAUAUGUCCAAAGUAUAAAACAGAACGAUUAAAGGAAAAAGAAAAAAAACAGAGUAUUUGUGACGUAGAAUAACAAUUGGUAACUAAAAUCCUAAAUAUUUGAGUUGUUAAAAGCAAAUAUAACAGAGAAGGUAAGAGAGAUGCAGAAACAGAAAACUAUUAGCUUAUCUUGAUUUCCCACUAUAUUCAUUUUCGAUGCUUUUCAAACGAGAUUCUUUUAAUCCUUCUGGCGUCCGCAGCCCUUGCUCUUCUUACAAAUCUCCAGUCCACAUCUGCACUACGAACAAGUUGAUUGAAAUUAAAUAAUGUUGGAGAUGAGGGGUGAGCCGUCAACUUGGUAAAAAAAUUCAUGUAUAAUAUUAUCAAUAAUAUAAAAUAUAUAAUAAUUAUUACAAAGAAUCAUAAAUUAAAAAAUUAAUUAUUUUACAAUCUAUUUCUUAAGUAAGAUAAAUCUCGUAAUAAGUUAAGUUAUAACGUAAAAAAUAUUUUCAAUUUAUAAUCAUUUAAGAAGUCAUUUAACAAUAUAUUUUUUUUAUCAGCAGGCCAUGCCACAAAGUAUCAUCUAUAUUCGUGGUGAUAUUAUUAUUACUCCGUAUUCUCAAAAAACAUGAUUUAACAUUUAGAGAAAAUUCCUGCCUUUUAAAAAGAACAUGUAUGCAACAACUACCAAUACUUUAUCUUACCACAACAAAACCAAUGGUGACUAAAUCAAUUUUCUUGAUUAAAGCUAAAUUUCUUAAAAUUGAUUUAAUGCACAAAUAUGAUGACUUUUUGCAAAAAUUAGUUUUGGAAAAUAUAGUGAGAGAAAAUAGUGACGAUUAUUGUUUAGAUGUGUAAAUAGUCUAAACAUAAUCGCUAAUACCAAUAUCCAAGUGCAUCUUAACACCUUUCGUGAUAUUCUUUCAUUCAUGGUCACUGGUUCAAUAUUUGAAUUUAAUCAGUAAAUCAUGUUCAAUAAUAUUAGAGAUCCCAACAAUUGAGUACCAAUUUAAAUCCUAAUGCUAUAUGUCAUUGACCAAUAUUGUGUCAUUUUUUGUUAACUGGGUGAUGAAUUUCUAGUUGAUAAAAUUACUUUAAAAUAUCUUAAAAAUUAGACAAUAGUUUGCUUAAUUUUUUUAAGCUAACCGCUCAAGAUGCUCUAUUAGAAAUGAUAACCUAAUUAUAUACAUAAAAAAUGAUGUAUUUUUUGCAAUGUUGAUAGUGAGAUUAUCAUUCAACAUGUUAAAAUAUGAAAACAUAUGGAAGAUGGUUGUAAAUUGAUUGAAUGAAAAUAUUUCAGUGAAGUCUCAAAAAUUUGGUACUUGUUAUCUUAUCGAAAGUUUUCUAAAUUAUAUUCGUGGCACUGCCACUGCUUCUAUGUGAAGGUCAUUAAAAUUUGUGUUAGUUACCUAUAGGUUGAAUAACAAUUUUAUUCAUCAAUUGUUGCUCAAUAUAGCAAUUUGAUUGAAAGUGCCGCUGCACUAAUUUUCUAGAUGAACUUUCCUAAAUGUUUGUCCUCAUAUGACCUAGAAUGCUGCGAUAUCAAUUGUAUUGGAAAUUAUUCAAGUGGGUUAGUGCUCUACAUCCCCACCAAAAUUUAAGCAAUCAACAAAACAUUCCUUGUGGAAAUAAACUUAUUUCGCUACUAGACUUCUAAUGAGGCCCAUUUUCCAGAAUCUGGAUACGAGUUAGAUGUCUCCCAAAAUAUUGGUGGGAGUAGACUAUACUAGCACUCGACAACAUACUAACGACGCUAUGGUCCACCAGAAAGACCGGUCUCCGGUCAGCCGAAAAAUCUCACGUUCAGUCUCUUCUCAAUCUCCCUUCUCCCAGCCAAGUCGAUCCCGUAACAUGAUACUAAUCCACAGUUGAAUACAUGAUACUAUUAGCUCUUAUUUGAGAAUAUAAAGGGAUCUUUCUUAUUUGAGAACAUAAAUUGCCCAAUAAAGUUGAACUACGUUACCCCGCUCCAUGCACAUACAUUAAAUGUUAACAGCAUGCCAAAACUUGAUGUUGUCAUAUUCGACAUUUCAAAUUAAUAUGCAAGCAAUCUUCGGUGAACAUUACGUUUUUAUUGAAUAAUUUAAAUGGCUAGUAAAUCUAGAGUUCUUGAGCUUUAAUCUAAAUCAAAUCUAUUAUGACUCAAUGUAUUUUUUUGUGUUCGUACCAGUAAUGCAGGGGAUUAUUUACGCAACUCUUAUUAUUGACUGAGAUGUUCACCUUCAUCCAAUUAGAGAAAGAGUGACUGUAGAGGUGGCAAAAAUACCCGCCCGGUCCGGACCCGGACCGUACCCAUUACCUGGUCCGGGUAUGAAGCCGGGUCGGUCUUGGGCAUCACUUGAUAAACCUGGAACCCGGAUUUUAUUAAAAAAAUUAUAAAAUAUAUAUUAUUUUAAAUAUUUUAUAUUUAUUUGACUCAUUUAUUAUACAUAUAUAAAGUUUUAAACACUUAAAGUUUAUAUUUUCAUGUCAAAUUUUAUUGAAAUAAAUUUAAAACUUAUAAAAUUACUAAAAAAUAAAAAAUAUAUACACAUAAAAUAUUAAAAAAUAUAAAAUUCGGAUACCCGGAUUAAAACCCGGCCCGAACCCGGACCCAGACCGGUUGCAUCCGGGUAGGGUCCAGUCAUGGCAAUACUCGGACCUGGUCCGGGGUUUUGCCAUCUCUAAGUGACUGGGUUCCUAUAAAGGGACUCUUAACCAUUACGAGAGUAUUCAGACUACAAAUCUUUGUAAUUAAAUUCAAAGGUGAAGAUCUAUGCCUAUUAUCUAUUUAACAACUAAUAUAUAGUUAUCUAUUCAUUUAAAUAUCAAGGGCUAUGCUAAUAAUUAAGUUGAAAUGUUGAUGAAAGUAGCCUUACAUCUGUGUAUUACUCAUCUACUCUAAUCUUUUUUUUUUUUAACUUAAUGUACUUUUUCUAAUGUUGUUUACUCUUCCCCCCCCCCCCCCCCCCCCCCCCCCCCCCCCCCCCCCCCCCCCCCCACCUCUCUGACAAAAUAAUAAGAGUUUAGACUUGAAAAUAUCUUAAAGAUCAAACAGUAAUUUACCUAAUUUUUUGAAGCUAACUGCCAAAGAUAUUCUAUUAGACAUUGAUAACGUAGUUAUAUACAUUUAAAAUGAUAUUUUUUUGUGGAAAGGGAUUAUCAUUCAACAUCUUAAAAUAUGAAAACAUAUGGAAGAUGAUUGUAAAUUGAUUGAAUGAAAAUAUUUCAAUGAAGAUGGUUGUAAAUUGUUAUCUUAUUGAAAGUUUUCUAAAUUUACUACUAUUUGAACUUAGCCCUCCUGGUACCGCCACCAUUUCUGCUUGAAAGUCAUUUAAGUUUGUGUUAGCUGCCUAAAGCUUUUUUUUUUUUUUUUUUCUUUUUCUUUUUGAAAAGAGCUGCCUAUAGCUUGAAUAACUAUUUUGCUCACGAAUUGUUGUCCAUUAUAGCAAUUUAUUUAAUUGAAAGUGCGGCUGCAAUAAUUUUCUUGAUGAACUAUUCCACAUGUUUGUUCUCAUGUGAGGCAGUUUUUCUAGAAGAUUGAUAUUUCUUUAAGUCUUUAACUAGCAAAGCAUACCAGUCCAAAGCUAGCCAAACCAUACCUGCUGGUCCAGGGCUUAAAUGGAGUACUUCUAAGCAUAAAACAGUAACAAAAACACAAUAUAUGCAUACAUACAUACACACAUACAUACAUACCAGCAAAUUCAAAAUAGAAAAAAGAGUGCAACUAUUCAAGAAAUUGGUUAUUGUAGACAAACACACAUACAAACACAUACCAGAAAAUUCAAAAAAUAGAGAAAGGAGGCCAACUAUUCAAGUUUGUAGACAAUAUUGCAAUCAUGGCAUUACUUAUAGCAAGUCCUUGAAAUCUACUAAACAAAACAAUGCUCUGUCUCAUGAAUCAAUGUUGAAUUACAGACGAAAAUGAAAGUCUAGCAGGUGUUGUUUCCCUCUUCGAUUUUGCCUACACAAGUAAAGGGAAAUAAGAAUCAUAAAUGAAAAUCAGCUUUUACAGUUGUAAUUAUUAGAUAGAUCUAGAACGAUCUUUCUUUGUUUCUCUGCUGCAAUGUGCUAUCCCACUCUGUUUUGCUACUAAAAUUGAGUCUAUGUUGAGACAUAAUUUCGACACUAGGAGCAACCGCAAUUAGUUUGGCAUUGCAUUACCCCUUGAAGGUUUUACAAUAGUUGUAAACUUACCGAGAAAGUGGAAAAAAAAGGGCAUAGGGAAUUAGGCAAGUAACUAAAGUAUGAGUCAUCAGAUAUGAUUAAAACUCACCCAAUUCAAUCCAUCAGAUUCCGUAAGGAUAUAACUGGAUGUCAUAACGCCACUCCAUAUCCUCGAAAGUCCGUAGCCUUUGCCUCAACUCUGUCUGGGGCCAGUGUAAGUCCAAUUUGCGCAAGCUCUUUAUGCACCAUAGCUCUUCUGGAAGCUUCCUCAAGUAAGCACAUGGGUUGACAAUUAAGCUUUCAAGUUUUGGCAUUGCUCCUGCCCCCAUCGUCCACUCAUCUAGCCAAUACAUUGACUUCAGGUGCAAAAUCUUAAGUUCCGGAAAGCCACCAGAGUCAUCACAGGCCAACUUUCUUCCUAAAUACGAGUUCUUCUUCAGUUUCAGCACUUGAAGGCGUGGAAGCUUUUCCAGCAUUGGCAUGGGAUCCUCCAUUAGCUCAGUAUUUGAUAAGCUCAGAUGGCUCAGACUUAAAGGAAAUUCGUAUUCAGACAGGGCAAUCCGUGAGAGCUUGCUCUCAUUCACUAGUUCCAAGCAUUCAAUUUUGUGGAGUUCGCAUACGCUUUUGGAAACCCCAGAGUGAUAGCAACUCAAAUCUCCAGAUAUCUGAAGAGUUUGAACAUUAGGUAGUCUGCACAAUAUAUCUGGCGUGCAACUACUAGGGUGUAAGGAUGAUAUGAAAAUAAGAUUUUUCAGAGAGCUGGAAUAAUUUUUUGGAGGUGCAGGCAGAGUGAUGGAACCAAAGUUCAGAUGCAUGAGUUUUUGCAUCUUCCAAAUAUCCUCUGGUGUUUGAUCUACGUAGCUAGAUGGCAUGUCUAGUGUUUGAAGGUUUGAAAGGGUGCAUAGCUGUGAAGGAAGACAUUUGAGCGAAGGGAUAUUCAAUUUCAAAUACUUCAAAUGGAAUAAAUUAUCUAAUCCGGGUGGAUAUUGGUCCAGGACUGCAGAACCCAUGUUCAAUACCCGAAGGUGUUUGAACAUUUUACAAAAAUUCUCGCAAUCUAUCGGAUUAAGAUGAUCGCUUUCUGAACUGUAAUUCAGAAAAGAUUGAUUAGUUCUUUCAAGUAAUGUUCGGCCGUCCCCUCACUGUUGUAUGGUAUGAAACCUUCAGCUACCCACAACUGAUAUAAUUGCCUCGUGGAUAUCUCAAUACUUGGAGGGAAGACAAACAAAUAGAUGCAGCAGACUUUCAAGUGAAAAGGUAACUCCAUCACAGAAUAAAUUUGUCUCCAAGCUGUCGGAAUCGCUUCGCCUUGAAAAUAAUUUUCUAAUGGCAUACGUCCGUAGUGUAGGACGAAAAAUUGCAAGCCUUCAUACUUUAUUCUAAUCAGUGGUCCUCCAACGAGCACUGAAUCAAGCCGAAUCUCCUCUGCGUUUUCCAUUUCCAACGAUGUAAGGAGUCUUGGAUCAGCGACCAAUAUCAAUACUCUGCUUCCAUUCUGAUUAUCAGGAAGAACUUCUUCAAGAUCAUCCCAUAUCUCACUCUCAUCGAAGAAGCACAAUAAAGUACUUAUUGUUUGUUAGGUAAUCUCGAAGACUAGAUUUCUUCAAUUGAUAACUUCACCGAGGCAUCACAGACUUGAUUAUGUCAUCCAAUAUCUUGCCAAAAUCGUAGGCUAUAGAAACCCUGACCCAAGCAAGACAGUCAAAAUAGAACUUGACAUGAUUAUUGUUAAAAGUAUCUGCAGCAAAAGCAGUCUUAUCGAAGCCACUGCUGUCGAAAAUUGCAACCACUGAUAUCGAUAGAUCAAACAACUUCUCUCUGCCCUUUUCAAAUUCACUGAUAUCGAGCCGAGGUUGUCCCUCAUUCAAUAGGCGAAUGAUUUUGUUACUUUGUUCACUGAUAUCAAAACCAUUGUCGCCGGGUGGAAGUUGUUGCAUCUGAUUUCUAAUAUCAAAGUGAAAAAUUGCUGCUUUCACUUUCGUUUUCACUGUUUUGCUGCUGCAUGAUGUUGAUAUUGACAUAAUUUUAUUUUAGUUUUUGGGGAUAAAAAUAUUUGUUGACAAAUAUUUUUAUAUUUUACAAUUUAUUAUACAUAUUUUAUCAUUUUAAAGUAAUUUUAAUAAUAAAUAGAAACAUAAUAUUACGAUAAAUAAAUUAAAGUUUAAAUUAUUUUAAAUAUUAUAAAAAUAAUUCUAAUAUUAUUAAUAGGAAGACAUUUUGUUAAUUUUAAAAUUUUUUAACCCAAAGGUUUAUUUAAAAUUUUUAUUAUAAAUAAAAAUAUAAAAUUAAAUAUCAUAAAGUGUAUGCACGUUGACUCUCAAUAUAUACAAACGACUCUCUGGUAUGAUUCAAAGCACCAGUAUAUGCAUCAUUUUAAUGAGAAAGGAUAUUCUAAGAUUAUUUAUGCAUCACCAUUUUUAGUUGUACCGGCUCUAAUGAAAUUGAAGGUGCAAUCAGCAGCUAAAAUGAAGCCAGAAAUUGAAGGUGCAUGAGGAAAUUUUCCUAGAAGAUUGAUAUUUCUUCGACUAGCAAACCAUACAAGUCAAAGCUAGCCAAACCAUAUCUGCAAGUCCGGGGCUUAAAUGGAGUACUUCUACGCAAAAAACAUUAAUCAAAACACAAUAUGAGCACACCCCCGUCAACCCACCCCCCCCCAACACACAUACCGGCAAAUUCAAAAUAGAAAAAGGAGUGCAACUAUUCAAGUUUGUAGACAAUAUUGCAACCAUGGGAUAUUAAAGAAUAUCUUUGAAAUCCGCUAAACAAAACAAUGCCCUGUCUCAUGAUUCGAUGCUCAAUUAGAAUUGAAAUUGAAAGUCCGGCUGUUGCUGUUUCUCUCUCCAGUUUUGCCUACAUAAGUAAAGGGAAAUAAGAAUCAUAAAUUAAAAUCUGCUUUUACAAUUCUUAUUAGAUAGAUAUAAAGGGAUCUUUCGUUGUUUCUCUGCUGCAAUGUGUUGCUAUCCCACUCUGAGAAAGAUCUUUCGUUGUUUCUCUAUGUUGAGACAUAAUUUUGACAUCAGAAGGUUUUAUGACCUCCUUGAAGGUUUUACGAUAAACAUAAAUCUACUGAGAAAGUGGGAAAAAACGAAAAUGCAUAUAAAAGUAUGAGUUAUCAGAUAUGAUUAAAACUCACCUAACAUCAGAUUCCAUAAGGAUAUAACUGGAUGUCAUACCGCCACUCCAUAUCCUUGAAAGUCCGUAGUCUUUGUCUCAACUCUGUCUGAGGCCAAUGUAAAUCUAAUUUGCGCAAGCUCUUUAUGCACCAUAGCUCUUCUGGAAGCUUUCUCAAGUAAGCACAUGGAUUGACAAUUAAGCUUUCAAGUUUGGGCAUUGCUCCAGCCCCCAUCGUCCACUCAUCUAGCCAAUACAUUGACUUCAGGUGCAAAACCUUAAGUUCCGGAAAGCCACCAGAGCCAACACAGGCCAUCUUUCUUCCUAAAUUCGAGUUCUGCUUCAGUUUCAGCACUUGAAGGUGUGGAAGCUUUUCCAGCGUUGGCAUGGGAUCCUCCAUUAGCUCAGUAUUCGAUAAGCUCAGAUGGGUCAGACUUGGGGGAAAUUGGUAUUCAGACAGGAACAUCCGUGAGCGCUUGCUUUCAUUCACCAGCUUCAAGCAUUCAAGUUUGUGCAGUUCGCAUAGGCUUUUGGAAAUCCCAGAUUGAUAAUAACUCAAAUCUCCGGAUAUUCUAAGAGUUUGAAUAUUUGGUAGUCUGCCCAAUAUAGCUGGAGUGCAACUACUAGGGUGUAAGGCUGAUAUGAAAAUGAGAUUCUUCAAAGAGCUGGAAUAAUUUUUUGGAGGUGCAGGGAGAGUGAUGCAACUGAAGUUUAGAUGCAUGAGUUUUUGCAUCAUCCAAAUAUUCUCUGGUGAAUGAUCUAUGUAGCUAGAUGGCAUUUCUAGUGUUUGAAGGUUUAAAAGGGUGUAUAGCAGCGAAGGAAGGCAUUUGAGCAAGGGGAUAUUCAAUUUCAAAUACUUCAAAAGGAAUAAAUUUUCUAAUCCGGGUGGAAAUUGGUCGAGAACUGCAGAACCCAAAUUCAAUACCCGAAGGUGUUUGAAAUUUUUACAAAAAUUCUCACAAUCUAUCAGAGCGAGACGAUCGCUUUCUGAACUGUGAUUCAGAAAAGAUUGGAGAUACAUGUCAGAAUAUUCUAAAGGAAAGAAGUGAAUCAGACCUUUCAAAAUGAAGCACCGUUUAACAUUUGCCAGUGAUUCCUCUUCCAUUUCAGGCAUCCAGACAAAUCCCGUCUUCUCUGCCACCAAACCCAAUGAAGUACAUACAAAACUUGGAACAUAACGCGCUUUAAUUGUGCCUCCGGCUCUUCUCUUACUCACUUGAAUGAAGCCGCGAUGGAUUAGUUCUUUCAAGUAGUGUUCGGCAGUUUCUUCACCGUUGUAUGGUAUGAAACCUUCAGCUACCCACAACUGAUAUAAUUGCAUCGUGGAUAUCUCAAUGCCUGGAGGGAAGACCAACAAAUAGAUGCAGCAGACUUUCAAGUGAAAAGGUAACUCCAUCACAGAAAAAAAUUGUCUCCAAACUGUCGGAAUCGCUUCGCCUUGAAGAUAAUUUUCUAAUGGCAUACUUCCGUAGUGUAGGAUGAAAAAUUGCCAGGCUUCAUGCUUUAAUCUGAUCAAUGGUCCUCCAAAGAGCACUGAAUCACGCCGAAUCUUCUCUCCAUUUUCCAUUUCCAACGACGCAAGGAGGUCUGGAUCAGUGACUGUUAUCAAUACUCUGCUUCCAUUCUCAUCAUCAGGAAGAAGUUCUUCGAGAUCACUCCAUAUCUCACUGUUAUCGAAGACAUCAUCAAGCACAAUAAAGUACUUCUUGUUUGUUAGGUAAUCUCGAAGAAUAGAUUUCUUCAAUUGAUAAUCUUCACCGAUAAUUACACUAACCCGAGAUUGAUGUCCUCCAGAAUUCCAAAAAUAUCUGCUGUUUCAACGUCUUCUUCAUCGCUUUCUUCUAAGUCCAACAGUUCCAAAAAAGGCAAAGAUAUUUUGGAGUCAUCGAAUUCUUCUCUAAUGAGUUGAAACAAAUGCCGAGCCAUGUCAGCUUCAUAGUUUCCCAGAAGAGUAGUAGCAAUAAUUUCGGACUCCGUAAGAAGGUUUUGAAAAAGUGGGGUUAAAUUUGUUGAAUCUGGCAGUGGCAACGUGCCUUCUACACCUGCUAACACCCUUUUCAACCUCUCACAAAACAGUCGGAGGUGGAAUUCCAGCAUAUCUCCUUCUCUCCGUAGCACUCAGAGGUAUAGUUGAAAGAUUAAACACCAUGGAAUAAUUUGAAAGGAAAAUGCCAAGAAACUGUGUAAGUGGCUAAAUUCCACAAAUAUUACAUUAUUGCUCAUUUUUUAACUCAAAAAAAUGGUACGCGUUCAUUUAGAGAAGAGUCCAAGCCCAGUAACAGGAAUAUUUUAUUUACUGGUGCUUAAAUCAAUUGUUUCUUUUUUAAUUUAAAGAUUUUUUCAUUAAAAAAUAUUUUAAUAUCAAAAUGCCUUCAAUGGCAUUACUGCCGCAAGCCCAGUAACAGGAUUAAUUAAAAAGUUCAGAAUUUUUGGGCAUGGAAACUGGAAAGAGUAUUAAACAUCAGAAAGCUAAGGUUUGUUCUGUUAAAGAAUUGAUAUUGACAUAAUAUUUUUUUUUUUGAGGAAAAAAAACAUAUUGGUUGACAAGCAAGGAAAUGUUUUUGUAUUUUACAAUCUGUUAUUAAAUAUUUUAUCAUAUUAAAGUAAUUUUAAUAACAAAUAGAAACAUAAUAUUACAAUAAAUAAAUUAAAGUUUAAAUUAUUUUGAAUAUUAUAAAAAAUAAUGUUAAUAUUAUUAAUAGGAAGACAUUUUGUUAAUUUUAAAAUCUUUUUAAUCCUAAGGUUUAUUUAAAAUCUCUAUAAUAAAUCCAAAUAUAAGAUUAAAAUAAAAAUCAUAAUUUGAAAAUUUUAAUAUUAUUUUAAAUGUUAAAUAUACUUUAAUGUUAUUAGCCUACUACGUAGAUUUUAUUAUUUAUAUUAUAUUCGUAUUGAUUAAAAUUUUUUAAAGUCAAUUUUUUAGUUAGUACAUUCAAGAGGUAUCAUAGUUAAAGAAAAGAUUUUGGUGCAACUGUUUUAAAAUUUCAGAGUGUAAAUGAUAAUUUUUUUUAAGUUUUAAGGAAGUAGGUAUUAUUUUUCCGACAAUUUAUUUUAUUUUGAGGGAAAUCCGAUGAGAAAUAUCAUCAGAGAACAUUAAUUUAACAUUCUUUAUCUUUGUGAAAAAAGUGGAAACCAAGAACUAUUCAAAAUUUUUUUUUUUUUGUAAUUCAAAAAAUGCAUUCACCAAACAAGCUUAUCUUAAUUUUCCCACUUUAUUCAUUUUCGAUGCUUUUCAAAAGAGGUUCCUUUAAUCCAUCUCCAUCCCACAUCUACACUAUCAAACAAGUUGAUGGAAAUUGGAACACAUUAAGUUAUGUUCAUUACUGGUCUUUGUCUUUCUAUGAGCCACUUAUUUUGAGCAUUAGCGAUCUUAUAAGGAAUCAUGCCUUUUCAGGAUCGUUUUCUUUCAUUUCCUUAUUGUAGUAGUUAAUUAAAUAAAGAACGAACAGCUGAACUUGGUCUUUUUGGAGGAAGAACAAGGUUUCCAAUACUAGAGGAACUUUGAAGAAAAUUAAUUGGAAGCCUUUAUUCAUCUUUGAAGAAAAUUACCACACUUUAAAUCCUGGAUAAAAAAAAUUUUAUUCAUCUUCGGACUAUGAAUUUAUAAAAUAAUAUUGUUAGGACUAAGAAAAAAUAUUAUUUUAGAUAAGUUAUUUAUUUAUUAUUGAAUGAAAAAUUUAUCAUGAUAAAUAAAUAUUUAUUAAUUUAAAGAGAGAUUUUUUUUUGGUUUUAAGAAGAGUUUUUUUGGUACAUGCACACAUUAAUAAAGAAACACAAAAAGUGCUUCCUCAAGUCAAUAGUAUUUGCUUUAAUCGCUAAGGUGCAUAAUAAUGUAGCUUAGUUAGGAAAUUUGUAAUUAUAUUAUGGCUCUAUUUGGUAUAACUUUUUAAUUAGAACUUAUUUAAGGAGAAUUUUUAUUAGUAGAGUUUUUAUAAAUAGAGAUUUUACUAAAAAAAAAUUAUAGUUAUUUAGUUGUCAAUGACCAAAUUGAUUAACUAUUGUUCUUUUUGUUAACAUGUGUUUGUUUUACUUAAUAAUAAAAGUUUAUUUUACAAUUACACCGGUGUCAAAUCAGCAGAGCACCGGCAAGAGUUUUCGAUUGUUGCAAUUUGCAAUGCACACGGUGAGGGAAAAUGAGAAUCUUGUUUAAUUGUGAAUAAUGACAAACCUAAUCCUUUCAUUAGGAGUAAAUUAAUAAUCGUUUGUUAUAAUUGAAUAUGUAUAAAGAAAGGAAAAUUAUAUUCAUAGAUUUGACUUAUUUUUUGUUUAACGUAACUAAUCAUUCAACCAUCUUCAUUUGCCUCUGGCCAAUGCCCUUGUAGAUUAGUUGAAGCGUUAAUUACAUAAUUCAGAUAAUUACAACGUCCUUUUCGCUAAUUAAUUAUGAUUAUGUACAUUUUCAUAUAGCAAGUGGCAUUGUAGAUCUAAACUACGUUGCUAUUUCAAUACGUUAAUUAAGUGAUUCUCCUCAUUGUCAUCAGCGUUAUAAACAGGAAUUGUGCAAACAGUACACAAUGCUGCGGCAAGGCGUGGGUGGCUAGAGUUUUGCAACCACCCUCGAGAUCCUGUGCUGCCAGUAGUAAAAGAAUUUUACACCAAUUUGGUAAGCCUUGGUCAGCACAACAUUUGGAUAAGAAACUCACUUGUUCCAUUAGACUCUCGAGUUAUAAAUUUUUUUUAUAAUUUACCUGCCGAAAUUAAUUGUGAGUAUGCCAAGUUGCUUGACAAAUUGACCUCGCAACAAUGGAACAUAAUUUUCACGACACUUACAGUAGAGGGUGCAUCGUGGGCUAAUGAGGAGGAGCGUGUAAUUAACAGGAUAGAUUUAAAACUCAUUGCUAAGGUGUGGGUGAAAUUUCUGAAAUCUAGGCUUAUGCCAACCACCCACACCACUACUGUUUCACAGGAAAGGUUGGUGUUGUUAUAUGCUAUUGUUAGAGGGCUUCCCAUAGAUGUGGGAAGUAUUAUCGAAAAAGAAAUUCGAGAUUGUGCCAUGAAAAACCACAAGGCUGCUGCCUUGUUAUUUCCUUCACUCAUAACCAGCAUAUGUGUAGUAUCAGGUGUUCAUCUUGAUGCAAAGGAUGAAAUUUGUAAUUAUAUUAUGGCUCCAUUUCGUAUAACUUUUUAAUUCGAACUUAUUUAAGGAGAAUUUUUAUUAGUAGAGUUUUUUAUAAAUAGAGAUUUUACUAAAAAAAAAUUAUAAUUAUUUAGUUGUCAAUGUCGAAAUUGAUGAACUAUUGUUCUUUUUGUUAACAUGUGUUUGUUUUACUUAAUAAUAAAAGUUAAGUUCACAAUUACACCGGUGUCAAAUCAGCAGAGCAUUUUUCCAGCCAGUCACAUUAUACAUUUUUGCAACUUGCAAUGCAAGCGAUGAGAGAAAAUGAGAAUCUUGUUUAAUUGUCAAUAAUGACAAACCUAAUCGUUUCAUUAGGUGUAAUUGCAUAAUCGUUUGUUAUAAUUGACUCUGUAUAAAGAAAGGAAAAUUAUAUUCGUAGAUUCGACUUUUUUUUUUUUAAGGUAAUUAAUCAUUCAACCAUCUUCAUUUGCCCCUGGCCACUGCCCUUGUAGAUUAGUUGAAGCGUUAAUUACUUAAUUCAGAUAAUUACAACGUCCUUUUCGCUAAUUAAUUAUGAUUAUAUACGUUUUCAUAUAGCAAGUGGCAUUGUAGAUCUAAAUUAUGUUGCUAUUUCAAUACGUUAAUUAAGUGAUUCUCCUCAUUGUCAUUAAGUGGAAAAUAGCUCAAUUGUUUCCCUGCAUCGAUUUUCAUUGGUAAGUGAUUUCUUAUGAUAUUCGUUUGAGCUUUCCUUAUUAAAAAAGCUUGAGCCUUGAUCACCUAAUACUGAUAUCAAUUUACUUGUGAACGAUUUUGUAAUGAAAUUAGGAGUUAAAUAUACAAGAUUUUUACCUGAUGAAUUUUGAUUUUUUUAAUUUUUUGAUGUAGUCAAUUUGCGAAUUUUAUAUAUUUCAUAUUCAACGGAAUUUGGGCACGGAAAGUUUGGAUUCUAAUAUUUAUAGAGUAAUGAUACAGCCACAAACUCUUGUACAAAAUUGAUGUGGCGUUAAUUCAUUAGUUGAAUUAAAUAUCUUUUUGCCCACAUGAUUUUUUUUUUUAUUUUUUUUUUUCAUUCAAUCAAUGAAUUAAUGCCACAUCAGUUUGUACAAAAUAAGUUUGUACAAGAGUUUGUGGUUAUAUCAUUAUAUUUAUAUAUUUAGCUUUAAUCAGUUUGACUUUAGCAAUCUUUUUCCCUCAUCAUUAAGGGAUUCAGAAUUAGAGAAACGCUAGGAAGAGGAAGAAAAUAACUUUGGAAAUAAGUAAGAGGGAAAAAAUUAUGAAAUUUUGAAUUAUUUUUUGUAAAGUAUGUUGCGUUUACUAAACUUGAAUUAGAAUGAGCUGAAAUCAGAAUGAAUAGGAAUGCGAAUGUGCUGAAAUCGGAAUAGGUAAUGAGAAUAAGAAUAAGUUGUUUACUUGAACUGUAAAAAUCAAAAUCGAAAUGAGCUGAAUUGCAAUUACUUUGUCUUGGAAGCGGAAUUAGAAUCGGAAUGAGUUAGAUUGUAACAAAUUACUAAAAAGUACUUAAUGAAUUAUUGUCAUAAUUAUUAUUUUAUAUUUUAAUUAUAGUGAUUAUUUAUUCAAAAAUUAUUAUUAUUAAUUAUUUUCAAUAAUAUAUUAAUAUGUUAAUUAAUUUUAAAAAUUAUUAAUUAAUUAAUUAUAAUAAUAUACUAAUUAAUUAUAAUAAUUAUAAAAAUAUAUUAAUAAUAAAAUUACUAAUUUAAUUAUAAUAAUAUAUGAAUUAAUUAUAAUAAUUAUAUUAGUAAUUAUUAUAAUAGUAUAUUAAUUAAUUAUAAUAAUAAAAAUAUAUUAAUUAUGUGAUUAUUUAUUCAAAAAUUAUAAUUAUUAAUAAUUAUUGUUAAUAAUGUAUCAAUAUAUUACUUAAUUAUAAUAAUAUAUUAAUUAAGUAUAAAUGAGGACAAAGGGGGUAUUUUUAAUUUCACGUAGGGGCAAAAUGGUCAAUUCUAGUAAUGGGAGACUCACUCCGACCCUCUCCCUUGGGAAUGAGUCUCCCAUUCCUCAUUCCCAAAUUGUGGUGGGCCCCAUAAUUUUGACUCUGAUUUUUGACUCAAUUUUGCGAAGUAAACGCUACCAAUGAUUCUGAUUUCGGAUUCUGAUUCACUUAUCCGAGAAGUAAAAGCAACAUAAAUGUGUAUGAAUAAUUGAUACCUAUGAAUAGUUUUGGGAGUUUUAGUUAGGAGUCGUUUAUUGAAGAUGUUUAGCAAUUAAAGAUCUCUGUCUCAGCAGUUUUCCCAAUCAAAAUCAAGAAGCAAAACAACUUGCCAUUUUUCUACUUGAUAAUUAAUUGAAAUUUAAGAAAAUACAAUGGCAUUUCAAUUAGAAAUGGUAAUUGUUUAUCUUUUUUCAUUGAUCAAAUUCUAAUCGUGAUCCAAUAGUUAUGGAUGAAGGAAAUAUUAUGAGAGGCGAUAGGCCAAGUGAAGACGUACCAGCAAAUUCAAAAUAGUCGGGAGGUGGACGUCCAGCAUAUCUCCUCUCUGUAGCACCCAGAUGUAUUGUUAUUUGCUCCAAGAAAUGUUAAAAGGAUUGGCCCUAUCUCAAUGUGGUUAGUGGUGAAAAAUUAAACACCAUGGAAGGAUUUGCAAGGAAUAUGCCAAGAAACUGGCUAAGUUCCACAAAUAUGGCAUUAUUGCUCUUUUUUUUUAAAGAAAAAUUAUACACGUUAAUUUAGCAAAAAGUCUAAGACACAUGCCUUUUGAAAAGAACAGCUAUUACCAUGACACAAUCGAUGCGGCUGAAACCAAAAUUUUCUUUUCUUAAUGUAAAGAUUUUUUUUAAAUAGAUUUUAAUAUCAAAAUGCCCUUCGAUGUUAUUACUGUCACAAGCCCUGUAACAGGAGUAAUAAAAAAUUUUAGAAUUUUUGGGCAUGAAAAAAGUAGUAUUAAGCAUCAGCAAGCAAAGGUUGUUCUGUUAAAGAAUUGAUAUUUUCGUGAUUUUAUUUUGGUUAUCGAGAAAAAAAAAUAUAUAUUUGUUGACAAGUAAGAAAAUAUUAUUAUAUUUUACAAUCUAUUAUACAUAUUUUAUUAUAUUAAAUAAUACUAAAUAGAAACAUAAAAUUAGAAUAAAAUAAAUUAAAAUUAAAAUUAUUUUGAAUAUUAUGUAAAAAAUAAUGUUAAUAUCAUUGUUACUUCUAAAAUAUAUUUAGCCCAAAGAUUUAUUUAAAAUUUUAUAAUAAAUAAAAAUAUAAAAAUAAAUUAAAUAUCAUAGUUUAAAAUCUUAAUAUUAUUUUAAAUAUUAAAAAUACUUUAAUGUUAUUAUUCUACUACACAUGUUAUAUUAUUUAUAUUAUAUUUGUAUUAAUUAAAAAUUUUAAAGUCAACUUUCUAGUAACUAUAUUCAAAGGUAUUAUGGUUAAAUAAAGGUCUUAGUGUUUCUUUUUCAAAAUUUGAGGGUCUACAUGAUAAUUUUUCCAAAUCCUAAGGUAUAGGUGUCCUUUUUGUCAAUAAUUUGAGAGAAUACGAUGAGAAAUAAGAUCAGAGAAAUGUCAAUUUAAUGUUCUCUAGCUUAAUGAAAAAAAAAAUGGAAACCAAGAACUAUUCAAUUUUGUAUUUUUUGUUUGUAAUUCAAAAAAUCCAUCCACCAAACAAGUUUCACGCAUUUAUGUUGUCAUAAAACAAAAAAACAGUUUGUGAAAAAAUGGCACCAAACAUACCCUUAAUGUCCCACAUGAUUUCUUAUGAAGCCCAUAUUAGAUAUAUUUAUACAUUUUACUGCAUUUAGGACAUAUUUGAUAGCCUGCAUUAUAUAGGAUAAAAACACAAUUUUGUAUUAAAUUAAUGCACACUCACGUUUGGCGCUAAAAGUAACUCCAGCCGCAUUGCAUUAAUGGGCUGCUAAUGCGGCAAUUGCCGCACUAGCUUGCCUCUUUUUCUUUUUAAUUUUAUUUAUAAUAAUAAUAAUAAUAAUAAUAAUAAUAAUAAUAAUAAUAAUAAUAACAUAAUAUAACUUUUUAUUUUAAUAUAAUAUUAUAUAAUAUUAAGUAUAAUUUUUAUUUUUACAUUAUAAUUAUUGAUAUAAAUUAAUAAAUGUAUUAUUUAUUAUUCAAUAAUAUUAUAUUAUAUAUUUUUAUUUUUACAUUAUAAUUUAUUAGUAAAUUUAUAAUUUAAUAUAAUUAAUAAUAAUAGAAAAUAUCAUUACAUGUACUACAAAACUCUUACUUUGAUUAUUUAACACAAUUUAUUUUAUUCGUGAAUAUGUUAUAACAAUUGUAUCACUUUAUUAUUUUGUUAUUAUUUUGUGGUAUGUAUAAAUUUUUAUUCUAUUAUCCUAGGAUGACUUUGAACUAAUGUUAUAGGUUUUAACUAUUUAUUUAUGUUGUUAUAUUAUUAGAGAUUAUUUGAUUAAAUUAUUUGCUUCGAUCUUUAUUUUGCAGGUCAUAUAUUUAGAAAUUGCUGAAAAAUAAAUGUUAUACUUCAAAAAAUUUAAGGCUAUAAGCUCGAUCUUUAUGAAGAAUUGUGAUAUUUUUUAACAUUUACACCAAAAAAAAUUGUUAAAUUUCUAAAAUUUAAGACUUCUAUAUUUAGUAUUUUUCUAAUUACUAAUAAGUAUUAUUUUCUAAAUAUAUAAUUUAAAUUAAUCACAAAAAAUUAAUACAGUACAGUGCAAUAUCAAAUAUAGUAUAAUAAAAAUUAUACAGUAUAAUGUAACACCAAAUAUUAUAUAAUAUUAUUAUAAUAUAGUACUAAUAUAAUAUAAUAUAAUACAAUAUAGUGUGCCAAACGCACCCUUAGAGUGUGUUUGGAACAUGGGAUUAUAGGGUAUUAAAACACUAUUCUUAUUAGCUUAAUACCAAUAUCAUGUUUGGAAAGAAAUUUUAAGGGAUUAAAGGGGGGUGAGCUAAUGCCAUAACUGCGGCAGUAGUGUCUUGGUUUUUUUUUUUAAAUAAUAAUAAAAAAUAUAAAUUUCUAAUUUUAUGUAAUAUUAUAUAAUAUUAAUUUUGAUUUUCUUUGAUCUUUACAUUAUAAUUAUUAAUAUAAGUUAAUACAUUUGUAAUUUAUUAUUCAUAUUUUAAUUUUUAUUAUAUUAAAAAUAUAACUAAAUAAUUUAAUUUUAAUUAUAUAAUAAUUAAUGUAUAAAAUUGAUUAAUAUUUAAUAAGUUAAUACAACUAGUAAUAAGUGCUUAAAUAAUACAUAAAAAUAAAAAUAUAACAUAAUAUUACAUUAUUUAAUUAUAUUACAAUAACUAAUAUAUAAAAAUUGAUUAUUAUUUAACAAUUUAAUAUAGCUAAUAAUAGAUACUUAAAUAAUAAUUUAAUAUAACUAAUAAUGAAUAUAUUUAAAUAAUAUUAAUUUAAAAUUAAUACCAAUAUAUAUAAUAAUAUAAAAUAUUAUUACAUGUACUGUAGUAUUCUUACUUGGAUUAUUUAGCGCAAUUUAUUUUAUUAGUGAAUAUGUUACAACUAUUGUAUCACUUUAUUAUUUAAAUUAAUCAAAAAAAUUAAUACAGUACAAGAUAAUACUAAAUAUUGUACAACAUUAUUAAAAUACAGUAUUAAUUCAAUACAAUAUAAGACAAUAUAUCUAUAUUAAAAUAAAAUAAUAUAAUUUAAUAUAAUACAAUAUGUCAAACGCACCCCGUGUAUUUUAAUUUCAAAAGAAGUUGGUCCUUCCUUUAUUUAUAAAAGAUAACUUUAUUUUCAGAUUACCACUAAACUCUGAAGUAGAAUUAGUGUAAUGUUAAGAGAGAGUGACACAGUUUUCCAUUACCAUCUAUGAAAAUAGAAAGAUAUGGAUCAGUGUAUUUAAGAGUUAUCGUGAAAAUCAUACAAUUCAAUUCCCUGACACAUAUAUUUAUGAGCAUAUGCCAAAAGAAUAAAUAGAUAGAAAGUAAAUUUACAAUCCUCACUUCCUCACAAUUGUUAAAAUGAAGACGCAUUACAACUGUGAACUGUCACUACUUUAUCCUUUUUUAUUUUUUAUUUUUUAUUUUUAGUUAUAGUGUGAUGGAGACAGUGAACAUCAAGGAUGAGAAUAAAAGUUAAAGAUGACCCACCCACUUUCUUUUUAAAGUGCUCUGCUGAAAGCCAAAGUUCCUCUGGCUAAUUAAUUUAGAUGUGAAGAGAGAAUAACGAUAUGUUAGAUUAUUUGGUAGACUAUAGACCUAAAAGUUCCUUCUGAAAUUAGAAAUACAUUUUAUAUGCUUUAAUUAUGAUUAUUUGGUAGACUAUAGACCUAAAAGACAUGUUAGAUUAUAAAAUAGUGCGAUUAAAAAAAAAAGAGUAUUUGUCACGUCAAAUAACAAUUGGUAACUAAAAUCCAAAAUAUUUCAGUUGUUAAAAUCAAAUAAAAAAAAAGAAGGUAAGAGUGAUGCAGAAACACAAUAUUAGCUUAUCUUGAUUUUCCCACUUUAUUCAUUCUCGAUGCUUUUCAAAAGAUAUUCUUCUACUCCUUCUGGUGUCUGCAGCCCCUUGUCACGGGAUGAGAGGUUUCGAGCCCGUGCGGCACUCUCACAUCCCAUACUACGAGAGUAAACCUAGUGGAAGUGGCACAAUAUCGACUAGUUUCGCCCUGCCUUGGGCUCAUCAGGAGAACGGCUCCAGUUCCCAACCAGUGUGUGUAGGGCUCUGAUACCAAAUUGAAGUUUAACCAAGCUAUUUAUGCUUGUUUGGUUGCAGAGAAAAUGAAGGAAAAUUCAAUGAGUAAUAAGAGAAACUAUAAGAGAAAUGGAUCGAAUCUUAUUCAAUGAAUUAUGAAUACAGAGGUUGACCUUAUAUACUAAGAUCCAGAACCUUCUGUAUUGCUCACACACGUGUUGAGAGUGAGCUGUGAUUAACAAACUUCUCAGCUCUAUAACAAACUUACAAACUAACAAUAACAGCCUUGCUUACUCAGCUACCACAUCAGCAGAAUCAUUACAAAAAUAUUCUUUAUAUUUAUAACUCUAACAUCCCCCCUCAAGCUUGCUGCGCAAAUAAGCAAACUGAUCAAAACAGAGGGGCUUAGUAAGAACAUCUGCUAAUUGAUCUGAACUGGGAACAUAAGUGACUGAAAGCUGCUGUUGAGCAAUAUGCUCUCUGAGAAAAUGAAGAUCAAGCUCAAUAUGUUUAGUACGAGCAUGAUAUUUAGGAUUACUGGCCAAAGCUUCAGCACUCUUGUUAUCACAAUGCAGAAGAGGAAUCUGAUCAAAAGAUAUGUUAAGCUCUUGAAAUAAGUAUGUAAUCCAGAGAACUUCAGAGGUAGCCAUAGCAAGAGCUCUAUACUCUGACUCAGCUGAUGAUCUGGACACAAUGGGCUGCUUCUUAGAGGACCAAGAGAUGAGAUUGGAACCUAAAAACACACAAUAACCUCCAACAGAUCUGCGAUCAUCAGGAUAUGCUCCCCAAUCAGCAUCAGAGUAGGCAGUUAACUUUAAAGAACCAGAACUGAAAAACUGAAGACCAUAAUCAGCUGUACUUUGAAGAUACCGUAACACCCUCUUGCAAGUUUGCCAAUGAAGAAUGGUGGGAGCUGAUAAAAACUGACUAAGCUUGUUGACUGUGAAAGCUAAGUCUGGUCGAGUUAACAGAACAUAUUGAAGAGAUCUCAUAAUGCUUCUGUAUAAGGAUGGAUUUUCAAAUGCAGCACCUGUAUCCUUGUGCAGCUUCUCAGAAGUACUCAUAGGUGUAACACAACCUUUACUGUCCAGCAUAUUUGCCCUUUUAAGAAUAUCACCAAUGUACUUAGUUUGAGAUAGAUGAAUACCUUGAACAGAUGGAGUAACUUCAAUACCAAGAAAGUAAUGAAAAUUCCCCAGCUCCUUCAAGGAAAACUCAGAAUGUAAUUGCUGAAUAACAUUUCCUAUGAGCUUUGAAUCUGAACCCGUGACUAAAAUAUCAUCCACAUAAAUGAGAAUGAGCAAGAUAUCUUUCCCUGCAUGCUUAAUGAACAGAGAAGUGUCAGAUUUGGAGACCUGAAAACCCCAUUAAAUUAAUGACUCCUUUAAUCAAUCAUACCAGGCUCUUGGAGCCUGUUUGAGACCAUAUAAGGCCUUGUUAAGCUUACAAACAUAAGAAGGGUAAGUGGAAUCAACAAACCCUUGUGGUUGAUGCAUGUACACAUCUUCAGUAAGAAUGCCAUUGAGGAAAGCAUUGUUUACAUCCAGCUGCUUAAUAGGCCAGUGAUGCAUGACUGCUAGGCUUAAAAUGAUUCUGACAGUACAAGGCUUGAUCACAGGGCUAAAUGUCUCAAAGAAAUCAACCCCAUAAGUUUGAUGAUAUCCCUUGGCAACCAACCGAGCUUUAUACCGAGAGAUACUGCCAUCAGCAUUAUACUUAACUCUGUAAACCCACUUGUUGCCAACAAUUUUCCCAGCUGAUUCAGGAGGCACUAAAGUCCAGGUUUGAUUUCUUUGGAGAGCUUCAAAUUCUUCAUUCAUAGCUGAGUACCACCUAGGAUCUGUCAAUGCUGCUUUGACAUUGGAUGGUUCAAGGUCUUGAGAAACAGCUAAGUAGGUUUUGGGUUUGUAGAUACCAGCUUUAGAUCUGGUAACCAUAGGAUGAGUAGAGAUUACUGGUGGAGAAGAAUUUGAAGAUCUUGAGGGUUGAUCUAGAGAUUGUGAAUGAACAGAAUGUGGCAAGGAAUGAGACUCUGAUGCAGGAGACAGAGCAGGACUAGAGACUGCAGCUGAUGGCUCUUCAUUGCUACUGUGACUAAGAACAGGUGUUUGAGGAAGAAAGAAAUGAACUGAAGAUGGAGUGGAGGUAGCAGAAUGAGAUAAGGUGUUGGACUUGUUUUUCAAAAACAGUUCAGAAUACAGAAAUUCCAGUUCAUUGAAAGUAACAUGUCUAGCAACAAAGACUUUCCCAGUUCGAUCAAGACACUUGUAGCCCUUAUAAAUGGGGCUAUAACCAAUGAAGACACACUUUUGAGUAUGAAAAUCUAGCUUGUGAUGAUGAUAAGGUUGAAGAAAAGGAAAACAAGAACAGCCAAACACUUUAGGAAACUUGUAAUCUGGAAGCUGAUUGUAUAGUUUUUGAAAAGGAGAUAAAUUAUUUAGAACAUGUGUUGGCAUUCUAUUCACUAAGUAAGUGGCUGUAUGAAAAGCUUCCCACCAAAAAGAGAGAGGUAAAUGAGCUUGAGCUAAGAGUGUGAGUCCAGUUUCAACAACAUGCCUAUGCUUCCUUUCCACCACACCAUUUUGAUGGUGAGUGUGGGGGCAACUAUAUCUAAAUUGAAUACCCUCUUGUUGGAGAAAUGAUCUGAAGGCUAUAAACUCACCCCCCAUAUCAGUUUGUAGUGUUUGGAUGGAUAAAGAAAACUAUUUUUCGACAAGAGACUUGAAAUAUUUGAAGGUGUCAAAUGCCUCAGAUUUGAGUGUGAGUGGAAAUACCCAACAAUAUCUUGUGAAAUCAUCAACAAAAGAAAUAUAGUACUUGUAUCCAUCCAUAGACAACACAGAAGCUGGACCCCAUAAGUCAGCAUAUAAGAGUUGGAGAGGAAAUUUUGAUUUUAUAUCAGUGACUGGAAAAUGGAAUUGAUGUAAUUUGCCAUAUUGACAAGCAUCACAAAAAUUAAGAGAUUGAGAAUAUGUUGAAUGCAUAGGAAGACUUUUCAUUAUUGUUUGCAAGACAUGUUUGGUUGGAUGACCAAACCUAUUGUGUAGCAACUGCAUAGACUCACUACUGGAAGCUAGAAAACUGACAGAAUUCUCAUUAUUGGAAUUGAUCAAAUUUGAACAGACAUUUGUUUGGUGAUUCAACUCUUUCAAAGAGUGUACAUUCUCUUUAUUUGAAAAAACAGACAACAUUGAACUAGGUUUGAGACCCAAGGCUUUAGAAUCAGAAAAAGGUGUAUCUUGAGUCAGUAGCUUAAAGAGACCAUCCUCAGCAAUCCCCUGUGCCAGCAAAGUUCCUUGCAUCUUGUCCUUAAUGAAACAAAGAUUAGAAACAAAUUUAAUGAUUAUAUGAUUGUCAGAGAGAAGUUUAGAUAAGCUAAUCAGAUUCUUGGUAAUUUUGGGAACACAUAGAACAUUGGAAAGGUUUAAUUGAUUACCAAAGGAUGUAAAGAGACAUAUAUUGCCUAUGGAAGUAAUUCUAAGACCUUGUCCAUUACCAACUAACAGCAACUGAGAUCCAAGAUAAGGUUUACCUUCAGCUAGGUUCUCCAUAUUGUUUGUGAGAUGAUGUGUUGCUCCACUAUCCAGAUACCAUCCUUGGUCAGCAACUCCUUCUGAUGUAGCCAUGAAGGCAGCUCUGGAAGUUUGAUUCUGAUCUGAAAAAUUUCCUUGCACAGAAAAAUUAGGAACAAAAUUUCUAUUAAAUAUGUCUUUGCAAUCAGCUGCAGUAUGAUUGUGCUUGAAACAAAUCUGACAAACAAUAUUUCCUCUGCCUCCUCCUCUUCCAAAUCCAUUAUAGCCACCAGGAAAUCUACCAGAAAAAUUUCCAGCAGCACCAGCAAAAUUGCCUCUACCCUGAUUUCCAUUCCAGUUAUUCCAAUUAUUAUUCCAUUGUCCUCUACCUGAAUUUUGUCCCCUUCCUGGAUUGAAACCUCCUCUAUUUGUAAAGUUUCCAUUCCAGUUAUGAAAUCCAGGUUUGUUUCCAGUGUUUCCAUUCCAGCCUCCUUGACUAUCAUUAUUCAAGCCUCCCUGAUUGUUAACUUUCUUUUGAUUAUUCCCAGCCUGAGCUAAGUUAGCAGCAUAGUUCUGUUUCACUUCCUUGAAAGAAUUAGAUUGAUUGCUUUCUAAACGUGCCUCAUGUGUCAACAACAUUGAAUAAGCCUCAUUAAUACUCAUUUUUAGAACAUUUGCUUCAAUAUACACAACUACUGGAUAAUAAGGCUGACCUAAUCCAGAGAUGAGAUGAGUUAUAAAAUCCAAAGAACUAACAGGACUUCCAGCAAUAGCAAGCUCAUCUAUAACUGACUUCAACUUACUAAAAUAUUCUGUCAUAGUCAUAGAUCAUUUCUUUAGAUUAUUCAACAUCAUUUUGAGAUGAACUUUCUUAGCAGCAGUUUCAGAUCCAAAUUGUUGCUCUAAACUAGACCACAGUUCAUAAGAGGUUUUAGAGUUUACCACAAGGCUGAGGAUUUCAAUGUUGAUAGAGGAUAGCAGCCAGCUCAGCAGCAUCUGAUCUUGCUUUCUCCACACAUGAAACUCAGGAUUCUCUUGUGAAGCAACAGUUGAACUUGCAGAAGUAUUGAACAUAGCAUCUGAAUUUCCUUGAGUGCUUGAGAGAAAUUGAUCUGGACAGAUUCUGGAUCCAUCAAGCAAACUCUCAAGCUCAUUUGCUCGAACUGAGGAUAGAAUUUGAGAUUUCCAGAUUAAGUAAUUUGAUCGAUCAAGUUUUAUUGGAGUUGUAAAAGUAAAGGUUGUUGCUGAAGAAGAGAUGUUUGUGGUCAAGCUUGAUAAUGCCAUGAGAUUAGACUAGACGUGGCUCUGAUACCAAAUUGAAGUUUAACCAAGCUAUUUAUGCUUGUUUGGUUGCAGAGAAAAUGAAGGAAAAUUCAAUGAGUAAUACGAGAAACUAUAAGAAAAAUAGAUCGAAUCUUAUUCAAUGAAUUAUGAAUACAGAGGUUGACCUUAUAUACUAAGAUCUAGAACCUUCUGUAUUGCUCACACACGUGUUGAGAGUGAGCUGUGAUUAACAAACUUCUCAGCUCUAUAACAAACUUACAAACUAACAAUAACAGCCUUGCUUACUCAGUUGCCACAUCAGCAGAAUCAUUACAAAAAUAUUCUUUAUAUUUAUAACUCUAACACGCUUAGUCUCCUCUUCAACGUUAAGUCCUCGACUAGCAACAAGCUCCCCAAACUCAACUGGGUUGGCCUGCCUGAACUCCAAGAAAUCUAGGAUCAUUGUAUUCCCCACACACACGCCCCUGAAGCACGUCUCCUACAAUUAGCACAACUAUUAUCGAUGCAAGUGUACAAGCACAUAUCUUCGGCAUCACAAUUGCAGUCCGUGACACCCUGCUCUUCUUAUAAAACUCCACCCCAAAUCUACACUACAAACAAGUUGAUUGAAAUUAAACAAUUGCUUUUUCAAGUGGACCCAUUGAGUCGUGGUCAUUACUCAUCAUUGUCUAUUUUUUCUAUGAGCCAUUUAUUUUGAGCAAUAGUGAGCUUCUCUGAACUACUCCAAUUAUUGAUGUAACUCCAGUGGCUGCAUCCAUAGUUGAAUAUAUGACAGUAUUAGCUCUUAUGUGAGAAUAUAGGGGGAUCUUUCUUUGUUUCUUUACGUAGCUAGAUGGCAUGUCCAGUGUUUGAAGGUUUGAAAGGGUGCAUAGCGGUGAAGGAAGACAUUUGAGCGAAGGGAUAUUCAAUUUCAAAUACUUCAAAUGGAAUAAAUUAUCUAAUCCGGGUGGAUAUUGGUCCAGGACUGCAGAAUCCAUGUUCAAUACCCGAAGGUGUUUGAACAUUUUACAAAAAUUCUCGCAAUCUAUCGGAUUAAGAUGAUCGCUUUCUGAACUGUGAUUCAGAAAAGAUUGGAGAUACAUGUCCGAAUGUUUCAAAGAAAAGAAUUCAAUCGGAUCAUCGAAAAUGAUGUACCGUUUGGUAUUUGCCAAUGAUUCCUCUUCGAAGUCAGGCGUCCGGACAAAUCCCAUCAUUGCUGCCGUCCCAACUAACGCAGCAUAUGCAAAAGUUGGAACAUAACACGCCUUAAUUGUGCCUCCGGCUCUUCUCUUAUUCACUUGAAUGAAGCCACGAUCGAUUAGUUCGUUCAAGUAAUGCUCGGCAGUUUCCUCACUGUUGUAUGGUAUGAAACCUUCAGCUACCCACAACUGAUAUAAUUGCCUGGUAGAUAUCUCAAUGCCUGGAUGGAACACACACAAAUAGAGGCAGCAGAUUUUCAGGUGAGCAGAUAACUCCAACACAGAAUACAUUCGACUCCAAGUUGUCAGAAACGCUUUUUCUCCCGUGUAAAUUCUUAAUGUCGUUUUUCCAUAGUAUAGGAUGAAAAAUUGCCAGGAUUCAUGCUUUAAUCUGAUCAAUGGUCCUCCAACGAGAACUGAAUCAGGACGAAUCGGCUCUCCAUUUUCUAAUUCGAACGAGCAAAGGAAGCCUGAAUCCGUGACCGUUAUCAAUACUCUGCUUCCAUUCUGAUUCUCAGGAAGUACUUCUUCAAGAUCAUCCAAUACAUCGUCACUCUCUUCACAGUAAUCAUCAAGCACAAUAAAGUACUUCUUGUUUGUUAGGUAAUCUCGAAGAAUAGAUUUCUUCAAUUGAUAAUCUUCACCGAUAACUACACUAACCCGAGAUGGAGGCAUCACAGACUUGAUUAUGUCAUCCAAUAUCAUGCGAAAAUCGUAGGCUAUAGAAACCCUGACCCAAGCAUGACAGUCAAAAUAGAACUUGACAUGAUUAUUGUUGUAAGUAUCAGCAGCAAAAGCAGUCUUAUCAAAGCCACUGCUGUCGAGAAUUGCAACCACUGAAAGCCGAGGUUGUCCCUCGAUCAGUAAAUCAAACAACUCCUCUCUGCCGCUUUCAAAUUCACUCUUAUCAAACUGAAAUUGUCCCUCAAUCAAUAAGUGAGUGAAUUCGUUCCUUCGCUCUUUGAAAUCAAAACCAUUUUCUCUAGGCGGAAUUUGUUGCAACCGAUUUCUAAUAUCAAUGAUUUUACUGUGGAUUCCGACAAGAAGAGCAAUGCAAGUAGUGCUUUCACUUUCACUGCAUUGCUGCUGCGUGAUGUUGAUGAAGAAUGUGUCAAUAGCUUUCUCUGAUUCAUCGACAAAGUAAUUGAUGUCUUUCAGAAGUUCCCAAAUGUCUGUUCUUUUAACAUUUUCUAAGUGCAAGAGUUGCCGAUAACGCGAAGGUAUUUCGUCUUCAUCGAAAUGUUCUCUAAUGAGUUGAAUCAAAACCCGAGCCAUGUCAGCUUCAUAGUUUACCUUCUUCACCUGCUAACACCCUUUUCAACCUCACACCAAAUAGUGUGAGGUUAAUUUCCAUAUCUUUCCCUCUGUCAGUAGUACUCAGAGGUACGUAUUGUUAUUUGUUAGUGUUGAUGACGAAAGCUGAAUAUCAAAGGAUAUAAAUCAAACAAAAGUUUUUGUAGAUUGAGAAUGGAUGGAUGCAAAGAAUGACUGAUGUUAAAUGAUUCUAUAAAUGAGAUAUGCAAAGAAUGAAUGAUAUUAAGUGAACAUCAAGGAUGGGAACAAAAUUUAAAGGUAAUUUUUUUUUUUAAGUACUCUGUUGAAAGCCAAAGUUCCUUUGGCCAGUUAAUUUAGAAGUGAAGGAAUGAAUAAAGUUAGUCCUCGACGUCUUUUGAAAUUAGAAAUACAUUUUGAAUGCUUUAAUAGAUGCAGAGCAAACUGGCUCGAUAUCUAACUAUUUUAAGAGCUAAAAUCAUUUAUUAGAAGUUGUAGCAUUAAAAAAAAGGGCUUGAUAUCCAAUUUUGUUAUUGAAUAUGUCUCACGUGAGAGUAUAUAACUGUUGUGUUACUGGCAGAUGGCUACGCUAGGUUUUAUUGCUCCCUGAAUUUGAUUGAAAAAUUAUUGAGACGGACAAGUUUGGACCGUCGUUCGAGACUGAAACUACAUAUCAGUCUUAGAAAAUUGUAAUUUUGUUGGCUUAUCAUGAUUUUCAUCGCCCCAUAUUGAUUUUCCUAUGAUGUCUCUGUAGAGUGGCUAUGCUUACAUUUUUAGGUAUUUACUUCUAAAGGUUAACUUAUUAGAUGGAGGGACCAAUUCUACCUAUAAAUCCAAGUGGCUUCCCUUUACUAACUCAUAUGAGACACAACAAUAAUUUUCUUUGGACAAAACCAUUGUUGGAAGGUUAUUUUCGUUCAACAUACAUGAGUUGUUCCACCGCUAUAUUUUGAGGGUUUGCUUUGGAUACGACUUGGGGGAGCUAAUGCUAAGAUUUCUAAGUAUCAACAUAAAAACCUUGCCUAUUAGGUGGAAGGACCAAUCCUACUUUAAAGUCUAAAUGACUAAUUCUUGAGGACACAACUCAACAGACCAAUAUAAAAUUUUGACGUCCCAUUUUAUUACUUUCCAGUGCUUUUACUUUUGCUGUCUAGAGCCCUACUAUUCUAUUAAGCAGAAAAUAUUUCAAGGCACUCUCGGUCUAGUAGAUAACUUUGGUAUUUAUUAUCUAUUGGGAAAAUGACACAGACACCCCCAACGUUUAGUAAAGGGACACAAAACUCCCUAAUGUUUGAAAAAAGACAUACAGACCCCCAUUUCAUGACGGAAACAGUUUCGUUAAAUCAGUCAAAGGUUAAUAUCGUAAUUGCACAUUAACAACAAAUGAAUUGACCAAAAACCCACACACGAACAAAACGCUUAACACACGCACUGACACUGCUCCUUCCAGAUCUUGACAAAAUCCUUAACGGACACACUCACACGGUUCGCCGGAAACUGCUGGAAUUGCUGGGGUUGCCGGAAGUCGCUGGAACUGCUGGGCCUGCCGGAAGUCGCUGGAACUGCUAGGGCUGCCGCAAGUCGCUGGAACUGCUAGGGCUGCCGCAAGUCGCUGGAUCUGCUCGCGCUGCCGCAAGCUGCUGGAUCUGCUCGCGCUGCCGCAAGCUGCUGGAUCUGCUCGCGCUGCCGCUGCGUUGAUCGAGACCGCAUCUGGCUGCUGCUCGUUCGUGUGGCUGCUGCUCGUGCGUGGUUGCUGCUCGUUCACGUGGUUGCUGCUCAUGCAUCUUCAAUCCACGGUUCACUUAUCUUAAACUAGCUUUUCCCUCUUUAAUUUUCUUUUUUUUUUACUAAAUUAACUUUAUUUCUUUUUAUUAUCAUUCAAAAUCCACCAGAAUUUUUGAGAAUUUUUGGACAAUUAAUUAAUUUUGGAGAAUUUUAGACAAUUAAUUUCACCGAAGAAGUGAGCUUACCAUGGGCAUAAUGCCAAAAAAGCUUGUACUGGUUUAUUGGAGAUUUAUUGUGCUUAAUUUAUCAAUGAAAAGCUUGUACUGGUUUGCAUAUGGUAACAAAUAAAAGCAGGCAAUACUACAACGACGUCCCAACAAGCUAUGAGAGGAAGUUCACAAGCUAGGAGCCAGAGUUGUCAUACAAAUUUGUGAAUAAAUAAUGUUUUUUUCUCAAAAAAAUAUUAUGGUUAUUGUUGUAAUGAUUACCAGUAUCAAUUUGAUACAAUAUUAUGAUAUAAGGAUUAUUUGUUAUGUUUAUUGGUGGUUUUUUAUGUCUAUUUGAUAUGUUAUUUAGUACAAUUAAGAUGUUGUUAACCAGUUUUUUUUUUAAAUUUUUUUUAUUAUACUGGUUUAAAUGAUUGACAUAUGAAGAAUUGUUAUUUUUAUAGUAUUAAUAAUUAAUUUUAUUUAUUUUUAUUCUUGAAUAAUGGAUUAAAAUUAUUUAGCUUGUAGAGAAUUUGAUAAAAAAUUAUUAAUGAUUUUAUUAUAAAAAAUUUAAUAGAGAAAUUGGAUAAUGAUGGUAUAUUCGUAAUUUUAUUAAUAAUAUAUGGGUAAAAUAGACAUUGAACAAUUUUUUUUUAAUGCUAAAAGGAUAUAACGGUAAUUACAUGUUAAAAUUAUAAUUUCCGUUACUAACGGUUUUCGUUAAGAAAUUGAGGUCUGUAUGUCUUUUUUCAAACAUUAGGGAGUUUUGUGUUCCUUUACUAAACGUUGGGGAUGUCUGUGUCCUUUUCCCUUAUCUAUUUUCGUUCCGUUUUAUGUAUACCCCGAUCUUUACCUCUGAUUGGUUGUAGAUUCUUUUGUUGCUUUGGGGUUAGGGGAUGGUUUUCAUAACUAUUAAGUUAAUCAAUGCAGAAAAUCUCCAUCAACAAAUGAUAAAGGAUUGUUAGUUCUGUCUGACAAACAACAUUAAUAUGAAGGAUGAUGAUUGUUCUGUUCAAGAGUUUAUAAUGACAUAAUUCUACUUUGGUCUUUUAAAAAAAGUAAGUUAGAAACGAGGAGUAUGUGAGUGAUGAUUUUUACAAAAUAAAUUGCAUGCAUGGUGAUGAUUUUGACACAUGAAAAUGAAAAAAGAAAUAUAAAUUGUGAAUAAUAAUUGAAGUACCUGCUAUUGUUAUAUUGAGUAAUCAAGGACUUCAAUAUUCGGACGAUAUAAGCAACACAAUCAAAUAUUAGUUGGAAGGCAUAGCAAAAUUAGAAUGUAGAACAAACUGGGUAUUGAUAAAUGGAUGGUUUUGGAAGAAUUGAAAAUGAUGGCAUAAGUAAACCAGAGUUAAAAGAAAAGAGAAAGAGCAUUUGAACUUUACUUGUAAGUAAAGGCAAAUUUCUUGGUUCAAGAAAAGAUAAGAGAUAUCAAACUAGCAAUAGGAAAAAGGAGGAAGGUUAAGACAGCAUCUCAACAAAAGCUAAAGAAAAGAAAAACUUAGUUCAAGCAAAGAACAAUGUGCUAAUGUCUGUGUAAUCUUGUUUAAUUUCUUUUUCUUCUCACAUUUUCCAGGGCUUAAAUAAUACAAUAUACAUUUUCAAGCAAAGAACAAUAUGCAAUUGCAGUACUUCUGAGCACACAACAACAAAUAAAUAAUACAAUAUACAUACCCACUAAAUUAAAAAAAAAUAUUAUUCAAGUUUGUGGACAAUACUGUAGCCAUGACGUCGUCGAAAUCUGCUGACAGCUGAAACAAAGAAAGAAUGGAUGAAUGCUGGAUCACAGUUGAAAUUGAAGGUCUGGUAGGUGAUGUUUCCCUCUCUGAUUUUACCUAAACAAAUACAAGAAAAUAAGAAUCACAAAUGAAAAUCUGCUAUUACACUGUUCUUACUUAUUAAAAUACAGAGGUUUCUUUGUUUCUCUGCAGCAAUGUCCAUGGCUAUUAGAAACAAGAACAAUUAGACCAGCAUUUGCAAGAGUCCUUUAAGGUAUUACUGCAGAUAUAAAUCAAGACUGAGGAAAUGGAAAAAUUGAAUACCAAAUUAGGCAAGUUAACUGAAGAUUGAGUUAUCAUAGAAGAAUAAAACUCAUCCAAUUCAAUCCAUCAAAUUCCAUAAGGAUACAACUGGAUGUCAUACUGCUGCUCCAUUUCCUCAAAAGCCCGUAGAUUUUGCCUCAACACUGGCUGAGGCCAAUGUAACUCCAAUUUGCAAAAGCUCUUUAUGCACCAUAGCUCUUCAGGAAGCUUUCUCAAGUAAGCACAAGGGUUGCCAAUUAAGCUUCCAAGUUUUGGCAUUGCUCCAGCCCCUAUCAUCCAAUCCUCUAGCCAAUACAUUGAUUUCAGGUGCAAUACCUUGAGCUCCGGGAAACCACAAGAGCAAACACAAGACAGUUUUCUUCCUGAAUAUGAGUUCUGCCUCAAUUUCAGCACUUGAAGGUGUGGAAGCUUGUCUAGUGUUAGCAUGGUAUCCUCCAAUAACUCAGUAUUUGAUAAGCUUAGAUGGAUCAGACUUGGAGAAGCUGGUAUUUAGACAGGGCCAUACGUGAGAACUACCACCUCUUGGUUUCGUUCACCAGCUUCAAGCAUUCAAGUUUGUGUAGUUCGCAUAGGCUUUUGGAAACCCCAGAACAAUCAUAAUUCAAAUCUCCAGAUACUACGAGUUUGAAGAUUAGGUAGUCUGCCUGUUAAAGUAGCUCACUAUGCCGAACAAAAGAAGGAGAAAGCUAAAGUGAAGAAAAUACAGAGCAAGAGUAUUAGCUGUGCCAGUUCAACUGAUAGCUCAGCAAAAUCAGUUAAAUUUUGUUACAAGCCCACUGUGCAUUGUGCUGAAGAUUAGUUAGUUUAAUAAUGAUUAGUUUUAGAUUAGUUAAAAUGUAAUCAUGAUUAAGAUAUAUAUAUAUAUAUAGCUGCUGUACUGAUAUCAUGGAUUAAGUUGUUGAGAAAUAAAAUUCAUUAAGCAUUUCCAGAACAGUUGAUUUUCUUUCUCAGUAGCCAAACAACUUCAAUCUCGUUUUUUUUCAACAAUGAGUUCUCAAACCACUCAAGUAUCAUUUUCAGAGAUUCUUGGCCUUAUACUCACCAUCAAAAUGGAUUGGUUGAGAGAAAACAUAGGCAUAUUGUUGAAUUAGGUUUGACUCUGUUGGCUCAAGCUCAACUUCCUUUUAAAUUCUGGUGGGAUGCAUUCCAUACUGCUCUAUAUCACAUCAAUAGAUUACCAUCUUCUGUUUUCAAACUUUUGACCCCAUAUGAGAAGAUAUUCAAGCACAAACCUGAUUAUGAUUUUCUCAAAUGUUUUGGUUGUAUUUGUUAUCCUUACUUGAGAGACUAUAACAAAAAUAAGUUUGCCUAUCAUUCCAGAACGUGUAUAUUCAUUGGUUAUAGUCCUUCACAAAAGGGUUAUAAAUGCUUACAUUCUUCAGGUCAAGUCUAUGUGGCAAGACAUGUUAUCUUUGAUGAGUCAACCUUUCCUUAUGCUACUGAAUCUGUUUUUCAUAGUCACACAAAUUCUGAUUCUCAUUCUUCAAAUUUAUUUCUCCACAGCAUGUCUAUUAUCUUUCUACUUUACCUGUCAUACCAGUAUUUCUAAAUAACAACACUGACAAUCUAAACUCUACAAAACUAAAAUGCCAGCUUUUUGGUGUUAGCGAUAAGAAACAACUUACCACAACCAUUAAUUAUCCAUAAUUUCAUUGUUUAUCCUCAGUUUUCUUCAUAAAUGUUACAGCGUUCUUCACAACAAAGUGCAAGGGCAUCUCAAAAGUUCUAAAAUAAUACCUCAAUUCUAUUGCAAAAAUAAAUAAUCUCAAACAAGAACCAAUAAUCAUAUGAAUAAACAAUUAAAGAUAGAGAAAAAAGGCUUAAACCUUGGGGAAAAAAAGUGAAAAAACAUGAAAGACAAAUUACACAUGUGCAGUAACCAUCGAACUUAUCAAUGACAGCUGCAUCCAUUACAUUGCUCCAACAACACAAUGGCAAACCACCAGUUUCAAAUUGAGGAUAGCUAUCGAGAAUGAGAAAGUGUCCAAAACGUCAUCAAUAGACAUGUUCCUAUUGUGCAUAAUUUACAUUAUAGGCAAAUAUUCUUAUACCAUCAAAGGCAAAACAUGACACUAACAAUUGAUCCCCCCCCCCCCCCCCCGUCCCCCCAACAACAAAAAAAAAAGGAAAAAACAACACAGAAAAGAUUGAAACAGAUAAGGCUACACUGAGCACAGGAUGCCAUGAAACAUAAUCCAGGAACCAAAUUAAUAAAAAAGGAAGCCAAACCAUUAUUUAACAAUCUGUUUUGUAUUUGGGAAAGUCUGAUAAAAUCUACUUAGGGAUAAUUAGAGAACCUCAACUAUUAAUCACACCUCAUAAAUGAACUAACAUUAACCAUCCCCACAUCACACAAACAUUCUAACCUAAUACUUCCAUCUUCAAUUGGGGGUUUUUUUUCUUUUUUUUUUGUUGGGGGGGGGAGCUUGCUUAGCUUCUGUGUGGGAUUGAAAUGCUGAUUUCGAAUCACUAACAGUAAAAUUGGAAUCUCAUGAAAAAACAGUUUUAUCUUAAAAUUACAUCUCGAUAUAAAUUCUCUUUUCAUUUCCUUCAACUUUCUAAUUAAGCUUAAAAAAUGUACCUUCAACCACAAAGGGGUUUAAAAUUUAAAAUAUAAAAAAUAAAUUCAGAUAACAAUAAUUAAUUUAAUUAAAAAUAUAAAUAGAGUUACAGAGAAAGAGAAAAUAGAGAAAGACCUAAUGUUGAGUCCUUUGGCGCAAGUCUCUUCAUAGGUCCGAACCAUUUCUUCGGGCGUGGGUUUCGGGUCUUUAGGAAACUCCAUAGUGAUAAGCCAGUGAUUGUAAUCGCAACCCUCGAACAGAAUCCUGUCGGGUGUGAUCUCGUCGCCGUCCUUAUACAAGUGGUACGUCUUGUUACCCGACGGCGUAGACGAGAGGGAGAUCGUCGGGGACGAUCUGAACGGCCGACGCCGAUGAAAUGGAAGGGUUUACCAGAGGAGUGGAUGCGAAGAGUGCAGGGACGGCCGCAGAGAGAGGGCGGCGGAGAGCGGCGACGGACGGUAGUGACCAGCGGAGGCGGAAGAUGGCGAUAUGGGCCAUUGCUUGCGCGUCAGUGAGUGUCUCGAGUGAGAGAGUGAAGGGUUUUGUUUAGGGUUUUGGGAAAUGAAAAAUGCAAAUGUUUGAUUUUGUUGCUAGAAACUUCUUCUGCCGCUGCCUUUUAUUUUCGCUAUAAUAAUAAUAAUUUAUUAAUCAAAUAUUUUCUUAAAAAAGAUAAAUUUCUACAACAAAAUUUAUAUUAAAUCAAAUUGUAAAAAUGUCUAUUAGGGUUAAUUUCUCCUUAAUAUUAUUAUUAGUAGAAGUAGAUUUUCGAAUUAGUCUUGAUAUAUUUCAGAGUUGUAUUAUAAAUGUAUAUGUAUCUGGAUUGCAAUUAUAUUUUUAAAAAAUAUAAUUUUUUUAAUUAUUGCACAAUAAAUGUAGAAAGUAUCUAUAAAAUAAUAUUAUUAGGACUACGAAAAAAAUAUUAUUUUAGAGAAGUUAUUUAUUUAUUAUUGAAUGAAUAAUUUAUUGGUAAAUGAAUAUUUAUUAAUUUAAAGAGAGAUUUUUUUUUUUUGGUUUGAAGAAGAGUUUUGUUGGUACAUAUACAUACUUAUAAAGAAACACAAAAAGUAGUUCCUCAAGUCAAUUGUAUUUGCUUUAAUUCAUAAUAAUAUAUCUUAAUCAAGAAACUUGUAAUUAUACUAUAUCUUUGUUUCUUUGUUCAGUUUGGUGGGACAUUGUGAUAAAUCAUUGGAUUAAAAUGCAUUUCUAAAUGAAAACUAGUUAAAACCUAAUUUAUUUGGGAACCACAUUUUAUUUGUCAGUCGUAUUUCUCAACUUAGCAAGUUAUUUCUAACUUAUCGGUCUCUAUUGAUUCUCUUAAGUGCCUGUUUGGUAUGACUUAUUUAAUGGCAAUAAGUGCUUAUUUAAUCUCAUAAGCUAUUAUCAUAAUUUUUGUUGUUGUUUGGUUGUUUUUCUAAUAAAGUUUUUGAAGCUUAAAUAAGUAAUUUUACCUCUACUAGCAAAAGCUCAAAUUUUGAGUUUUUUAGGAGUAGAGAUUGAAAAACUUUUUUAAAUGUCAACAUAUCUAUAAUAUCCUCUACUUAUUUAACAAUCUUAUUUAUUGUUUUCAUAAUAUAACUUUAAAAAACUUGUCUAUUAAAGUAAUUUCAUAAUUUUUUAAUAAAAGCUCUUAUUGACAACCAAACAAUUAAACUUUUUUUUAACAAAACCUCUACUUAAAUAAGUUCUACUUGAAAAACCGUACCAAAUAGAGCUUAAAGUUAAUAGUCUCGUAUCUCCCGCAUUUGAUAUCUUAUUGGCAUCAGCGUGUUACCUAAGAUUGGGAUUCAUUAAAAUCCUCAAUGUAAUCGGUGGAACUAAUGGAUUUCUUCUGUUCACCAAUCCACCAAAUUUUUUGUAAUUAAAUUCAAAAGUCAAGAUCUAUGCUUAUAAUCUAUUCAAUAGCUAAUAUUCUAUUUUAUAUUUACUUAAAUAUGAAGAGCUAUGCUUGUAAUUAACUUCAAAUGUGAUCGAAGCAGUAGGGAUGGCAAUGGGGAGGGGAGGGGAGGGGACCAAUCUCCCCAUACCCAUCCCCGAUAUUUUGCGUAUGUCCCUGUCCCCUCCCCGUCCCCGUCAGAAUUGCUUGAGAGAAUCCUCAUCCCCUCCCCGAAUAAUAACAGGGGAUCCCCGAGGGUCCCCGGUCCCCGAAUAAUUAAUAGUCUAAUACAUUUUUUUAUUUUCGAUUUUAAAUUAAUCAUAUUAAAAUAAAAAAUUCAGAUAAAAAUAAAGUUUAAAAUAUAUCUUACAUUAAUAUUGAUCCAUUACAAAGUCACAUUCAAAAUAUAAAUUAUUAAAAUAAUUAUCUUUAUCAAUGUCUCAAUCUUCAUAAUCCUACAAUAAAAAGAAAAAAAUUAUUUUUUAUAUCGGCAAUAAAAUAAAUGAAAUAAAUGUAGAUACUUAAUUAAUAUUUUUAAUAAAACUAUUUACCUCCUGCUAGUCAUGCUCGUCCUGUUCUUCCUCGAGAAAUGUGACAAAUUGAGAGAUAGCCUCAGAUUUCAAACCUAAAACAAUGAAAAUGAUAUAAGUAACGUAACUUAUAAGUGCAAAUAUUAAUAACUGUAUAAUAUAAUUACAAUGUAAAAUAAACUCAUACUGCUAUUGUAAGCUCGUAACCAACUUUAACAGCACAUUAAGGCCUCCAAUGUGCUUGGAUGAAGUUUGUUACGGUGUGGGCUCACAACUCUACCGCCGGUGCUAAAAGCUGAUUCAGAAGCAACUGUUGUAAUUGGAAUUGCCAAAAUAUCUCUAGCAAUUCGAGCUAAUGUAGGAUACCUAUUAGCAUUUGUCUUCCACCAACUCAAAAUAUUAAAAUCUUCCAUCCGGGGUAUAACUUUUUCAUCCAAAUAUGAAUCUAAUUCAUUUGCAACAAUUGCACAAUCUCCAUUGUUUACAUAAUCAUCAAAACCUGUCAUUCAUUUGGUUGCUUUCUUAUAAGAAUCCCCUGUAGAUCUAAUAGAAGAACUACUACCAGUAUAAUCAAAGCAAUAAACAGUUGGUGAAAACUUCAAUUGAUACUCUUCCACUAAUUCUCGGCAAAGGGUGACGACUUUCCCAACAUACAACUCUUUAACACCACCAUAAACCAUAGAAAAGUAAUAUUCAAUGAACUUCUUUUUAUACCUUGGAUCAAAGAUACAUGCCACACCCAAAAUUCCACUCAUAUCUUGCCAAUAUUUAUAAUUUUGUUAUUUAUUUAUUAGUAAUUUUAAAAAUAAAAAUAAAAUUAAAAUGGGGAAAUGGGUAGGGGAUGGGGAUUCCACCUCAUCCCCGUCCCCUCCCUGAAUAAAAAAUUGGGUAAAAAAUUUUCCCCGUCCCCUCCCCGAAUAAAAAUUUGGGUAUAAAAUUAUCCCCGUACCCUCCCCGAAUGGGGAAAAUCCCCGAGGGUACCCGUCCCCGUGGGGAUUUUUGCCAUCCCUACGAAGCAGCCUUGCAUCUGUAUAUUACUUAUUUACUCCCAACCUUUUUUUUGACUUCAUAUACUUUCUUUUCAUGUUAUUUACUCUUUUUUUUUCCCUCUCUGACAAUUGAGGUAGGGGGUCAAACUUGAAAGUAUCUUAAAAUCAGACAACAAUUUAACUAAUUUUUUUUUUUUAGAUAACUGCUAAUAUGCUCUAUUAGACAAUGAUAAGUGAUAACCUAGGUGUUUGCAUUAAAAACGAUAUUUUUUGUGGUGUUGAUAAAGAGGUUAAUUAUGAUUCAACAAUUUAAAAUAUGAAAACAUAUAGAAGACGGCCGCAAUUAAAUUGAUUGUAUGAAAAUAUUUCAAUGAAAUUUUAAAAAUUUAGUACUUGUUAUCUUAUCGAGAGUUUUUUAAAUUAUAUUACUACUUGAACUUGACUGCUUUUGUAUUGAAUUCCUAGCGUUGACAUUGCUUCUACUCAAAAGCCAUUUAAGUUUGUGUUAGAGUGCAAUUUAUGCACUAGUUUUGCAUUGUUUACUUCCCUUAAUAUCGAUGUUUUGCACUUAAUAAUAAUGAUUUACUUGUGUUUUACUUUUGUAGGUGCAAUUCUAUUGAUUUGUGAUAAAAUUGAGCUAUAAGAUGAUGUUUAAAGAUGAUUGUUCUCUUGGAGAAAUUAUGAGCGUCAGAAGAACUUUGUUGAUAAGGCGUGGGCGCGUGCUGUCAACUGCGGACCUGCAGUUUUUAGUUUAACGUGUUUUGUAUUUUUGGUUAUUUUUGUAAUUACGAAUUUAAUAUUUCAGAUAUUAGUAUUUUAUUUUAAAUAGAAUUCUAAAGGAGAAGAGAGAGAGAGUAUUUAAGAGAGGAAUCUAUUGUGAAAAAAAGGGGAUUGGAGAAAAGAAAGAAACCCUAGAUCUAAACUUUUCUCUUCUCUCUAUGAAGAACUAAACAUAUUUUUCUGGUUGAAGGUUAAUGCAGCUUUGAUUCAUCACUACUGUGAGAUCUUUCUUGUGCUUUAAUUGUUUUAUUGCUUUUUGGGUAUUUGUUUAUUCUCUGAAUUAUUUUCAUGAUUAUAUUUGUUAAUUAGGUAAUUGGCCACUAUUUAAUUAUCAACUUAAUCUAUUGUCAAUUAAAGGAUUCAUAGUAUGAAGAAUUUAAUGUUUGUGACAAAUAACAUAGCAGAUAGUUGUGUUGUGAGAAUAAACAAUCUAAUUUAAAUGAAUCAUCAUAUGUGUUGAUUAGGAUUUGGGUCUCUAUAGUUUUUCAGGCUGUCAAUUGAUUAAAUCCUAUGAUCGUAUCUAGGGUUGUCUAUUGAUUAGGGAAAUAACCAACGGUCGUACCUUGGUUAUCGACUAGUUAAGGAGAGAUUGGCUAUUAGAGGGUCUCAGUAGCUAUAACCGGUCUAUUCAUAAGUAAUAAUAAUCUAUAUUUGAAUCAAUGAUCAGUAGUCGAAUCAAGCUGAGUUAAUUCCUUCAACCAUAGCUUUCUCUAAUUUGAAUUACAACUUUAAUUUGUAUUCUUGUUAUUUUAAUUUGAUUUUUAUUAUUGUCAACAAUUCUCCCAUUUUACGUUUUACGUUUCAAAAGGAUUUAAAUAAUUACCGAUCUCUGUGGACACGACCCUACUCAAUCACUAUACACAAUUUAUUUAGAGUAGGAAUUUAUUUUUGUUGGCUUCGACAACCAUCAGUUUGUGUAAGCUACGUAUAGUUUGAACAACAAUUUAUUCAUGAAUUGUUGCUCAUAAUAGCAAUUUGAUUGAAAGUGCGGCUGCACUAAUUUUCUAGAUGAAUUUUUUCCUACAUGCUUGUUCUCGUAUGACCCAAAAUCCUGCUACAUCAGUUGUAUUAGAAAUUUUUUCCUACAUAAUUAUGCAUCCCCACCAAUAUUUAAGCAAUUUACAGAAACAUUUCUUGAGGAAAGAAACUCAUAUCGCCACUAGGCUUUUAAUGAGGCUCAUUUUUAUGAAUCUGGAUGGCAUUAGAUAUCUCUCCGAAUAUUGGUGGGAGUAGAUCGCAGAUCUCUGGGCUAUACUACAAAGUGUAUGUACGUUGACUCUCAAUAAAUACAAACGAUUCUCUGAUAUGAUUCAAAACAUGCAUAAUUUUAACGAGAAAGAAUAUUCUAAGUGUUGAAAAGUCAAAUAGUUGGCUUACCAAUUUCAAAAAAAGCAAAGUUAGGUUUUGAAAGCAUGCAAAUUGAAUACAUGGCAUGGGACAACUAGCAUGCAUUGCAUUUGUGAAUUUGGCCAAUCAAAGUCAAAUUGAAACCGGGUGGUAGGUGAGCAUGCUUUGCCUAUAAAUAGAGACGCAAAAUGCAUUUGUAAAUGCAUCCCAAUUUGAGAGAAGUAGAGAGCAAUUGCAAGUGAGUUCUUUAAGAGAAUUUGAGAGAGCUUCCACUUGAGUGUUCUAGUGAGGUUCCAUUUGGGUGUAUUGGGGUUGUGGGUUUUGUGAGUUUUUUCCACUUUUGUAAAUUUCCAUUGUUAGUAAAAUUAUCUUUUAGUCUUUGCCUGUGGAUGUAGGCAUUACGCCGAACCACGUAAAUCAUUGUGUUAUAUUUUCUUUGCAUUUGUUUAACACCACAUUUAUAUUUCUCCAGAAGUUGCAGUAUUAGUAAUUACUCAACCCGCGUUUCCGCAACACUAAGAACGAAAUUGAACGUGCAAUCAGCAACUAAAAUGAAGCCAGAAAUGUACAUGCAUGAGGAAUUUUUCCUAGAAGAUUGAUAUUUCUUUGACUAGCAAACCAUACAAGUCCAAAGCUAGCCAAACCAUACCUGCAAGUCGGGGGUUUAAAUGGAAUGCUUCUAAGCAUAAAACAUUGAUUAAAAUAGAAUACACACAUACAUACCAACAAAUUCAAAAUAGCAAAAGGAGUGCAAAAGUUCAAGUUUGUAGACAAUAUUGCACCCAUGGGAUAUUAAAGCAAAUCCUUGAAAUCAGCUACACAAAACGAUGCCCGGUCUCAUGAAUCGAUGCUCAAUUAAAAUUGCAAUUGAAAGUCCGGCUGGUGUUGUUUCCCUCUCCAGUUUUGCCUACAUAAGUAAACGGAAAUAAGAAUCACAAAUGAAAAUUUGCUUUGACAGUUCUUAUUAGAGAGAUAUAAAGGGAUCUUUCUUUGUUUCUCUGCUGUAAUUUGUGGCUAUCCCACUCUGUUUUGCCAGUCAAGCUAAGUCUACGUUGAGGCAUAAUUUUGACAUCAGAAGCAACCUCAAUUAGUUUGGCAUUUUUAUGACCUCCUUGAAGGUUUUAUGAUAAACAUAAAUCCACUGAGAAAGUGGGAAAAAGAGAAAAUGCAUAUAAAAGUAUGAGUUAUCAGAUAAGAUUAAAACUCACCCAAUUCAAUCCAUCAGAUUCCAUAAGGAUAUAACUGGAUGUCAUACCGCCACUCCAUAUCCUCAAAAGUCCGUAGUCUUUGUCUCAACUCUGUCUGAGGCCAAUGUAAAUCCAAUUUGCGCAAGCUCUUUAUGCACCACAGCUCUUCUGGAAGCUUUCUCAAGUAAGCACAUGGGUUGACAGUUAAGCUUUCAAGUUUUGGCAUUGCUCCAGCCCCCAUCGUCCACUCAUCUAGCCAAUACAUUGAUUUCAGGUGCAAAACCUUAAGCUCCGGAAAGCCACCAGAGCCAACACAGGACAACUUUCUUCCUAAAUACGAGUUUUGCUUCAGUUUAAGUACUUGAAGGCAUGGAAGCUUUUCUAGCGUUGGCAUGGGGUCCUCCAUUAGCUCAGUAUUUGAUAAGCUCAGAUGGGUCAGACUUGGAGGAAACUGGUAUUCAUACAGGACCAUUCGUGAGGGCUUCCUUUCAUUCACCAGCUUCAAGCAUUCAAGUUUGUGGAGUUCGCAUAGGCUUUUGGAAACCCCUGAAUGAUAGCAACUCAAAUCUCCAGAUAUCCGAAGAGUUUGAACAUUAGGUAGUCUGCCCAAUAUAUCAGGAGUACAACUACUGGGGUUUAAAGUUGAUAUGAAAAUGAGAUUUUUCAGGGAGCUAGAAUAAUUUUUUGGAGGUGCGGGCAGAGUGAUAGAACCAAAGUUUAGAUGCAUGAGUUUUUGCAUCAUCCAAAUAUCCUCCGGCGACUGAUCUACGUAGCUAGAUGGCAUUUCUAGUGUUUGAAGGUUUAAAAGAGUGCAUAGCAGCGAAGGAAGGCAUUUGAGCGAAGGGAUAUUCAAUUUCAAAUACUUCAAAUGGAAUAAAUUUUCUAAUCCGGGUGGAAAUUGGACGAGAACUGCAGAACCCAAGUUCAGUAUCCGAAGGUGUUUGAACUUUUCACAAAAAUUCUAGCAAUCUAUCAGAGCGAGAUGAUCGCUUUCUGAACUGUGAUUCAGAAAAGAUUGGAGAUAGAUGUCAGAAUGUUCUAAAGAAAAGAACUCAAUCAGAUCUUUCAUAAUGUAGCACCAUUUAACAUUUACCGGUGGUUCCUCGUCCACGUCAAGCGUCCAGGACAAUCUCGUGUUCACUGCCACAGAUAACAAUGAAUAAUAUACAAAACUUGGAACAUAACACGCUUUAAUCGUGCCUCCGGCUCUUCUCUUACUCACUUGAAUGAAGCCGCGAUGGAUUAGUUCUUUCAAGUAAUGUUCGGCCGUCUCCUCACUGUUGUAUGGUAUGAAACCUUCGGCUACCCACAACUGAUAUAAUUGCCUCGUCGAUAUCUCAAUACUUGGACGGAAGACACACAAAUAGAUGCAGCAGACUUUCAAGUGAAAAGGUAACUCCAUCACAGCAUAAAUUUGUCUCCAAAUUGUCGGAAUCGCUUCGCCUUGAACAUAAUUUUCUAAUGGCAUACUUCCAUAGUGUAGGAUGAAAAAUUGCCACGAUUCAUGCUUUAAUCUGAUCAUCUGUCCUCCAAUGAGCACUGAAUCAGGCCGAAUCUUCUCUCCGUUUUCCAUUUCCAAAGACUCAAGGAGGUCUAGAUCAGUGACCGUUAUCAAUACUCUGCUUCCAUUCUGAUUGUCAGGAAGAACUUGUUCAAGAUCAUCCCAUAUGUCACUGUCGUUGAAGACAUCAUCAAGCACAAUAAAGUACUUCUUGUUUGUUAGGUAAUCACGAAGAAUGGUUUUCUUCAAUUUAUAAUCUUCACCGAUAAUUACACUAACCCGAGAUGGAGGCAUCACAGACUUGAUUAUGUCAUCCAAUAUCUUGCCAGAAUCGUAGGCUAUAGAUAUUGGGGAAAAAUCAGGUUUUUAAAUUUUUAUAAAACCUUUUGAAGAUCGCUCUCAUAUAAUAUAUAAGAAUUCGUAUUCUAGAAAUCGUACCUUGUAAAUCUGAGUUUGCUUUUUCCGCUGAAGUGAUUUAGGCUCCUAGAUCACGAUCCGCCACCACCACUCCUGUUAGAUCACGAUCCGUCACCACCACGCUUGUUAGAUCACGAACUGUCUCCAAUGAUCUUCCAGGUUAUGACUCAGGUUCGAUCUGCACUUGACGUGUGGGCGCCUUUAUCACUACCAAAGCAACUAGCACGAGAAAAUUUUUCUCUCAACAAUGGAGAGAAAAAUCUUAUUCUCUGAUUUGUAUAAAGUGGCUUCUUCUCUUCCUUUUUGGGAAAAUAAGCCUUAUAUAUCUCCCUUUAGUGAAAACCCUAGGCUCCAAGGAUUCCCCCAAAAUAAAACUCACGUUACUUUUCAUUUAAUAGGGGACCCACCAUGUAAAAUAACAUAAGGCCCCUUACACAUAAGCUUAUUAAAUGGAGCCUCCCACUAAAUGAUAUAUUUAGGCUUUUGACCCAAAUAGCUAGUUAUCUUGCUUAUUAGUCCAGCAGUGGUGCAAUCAAUUAAAUGAGCUAACCCGGGGAUCAUUUGGGAACAUACAAUAGUGGCUACAAUAAUUAGGCCUGUAAUUAAACUAGCCCAAUUAUUUAAUUCCAAAUCUACUCCACUAAAAGAUUGGAACUGACUUCCAUAAUUGUAUGCUCGAAUAAUAAUUCGUCCCAAGCCACAUUGAUUUCUUUACUGCACAAUCCUUUGUACCACAUCGUUAAUUAAAUUGAUAUCUCAACUGUCCAAUCAAUUUAAUAACAUCUUAUUCCUUGAUCCUUACUGGUUUUCUCUAAUGAUCAUUUUCAACAUACUAAAUAUGUUGACACACUCUGGCCAGAGAAUUCUAUGAUCAAGUACCGAAAACCCAUCAAGAGAUGUGUUGUACAAAUUCUAUAUUGUUAAUCCAUAACUCCAAUACUCAUAAUUGUUCCCACCAAGAUACCGGGUAAUCUAGACUACAAGUAUGUGUCAUGCCCAUUGGUAACUCAAAUGGAAUAACAAUUACAAUCAUGAAAUCAUAAUUAACUCAAGAUUAAGAUUACAGUAAAAUCAAUGCCUAUGAGAUUUAAUAAGUCUGACAGUUAUUACAAAGUUAAUUAAAUCUCAUAUGUGAUCCUGUUCAAUGUAGUCGUACUACAUCAAUAAAUUCAUACAUGAUUAAGACAAAUCAUUCAAUGAAUUUAUUACAGUCUAUACCUAAAUAAAGUGCCCAACUUUAUUUAUCAACUGCGAACUAAAUUUAUUUAAUCAUAAGAUAACUUGUAUUUAUGUCUUCUGUGAAUCCACAUGGUGAUCACAUAAAUACAUAUAAUAUGAUUAAAUGGACUUUAAUACAAGUAUUAAUGCAAUUAAGAUAUUUGAAUAAAAUACCUCAUUUAUUUUAUUAAUCAGAAAAACUGUUUAUUACAAUUAAAUAAACACAUAUGCUUUUAAAGAGCAUAUUUUCCCAACAAUCUCCCACUAGCUCUCAAAGCAUAUUUGGCAUCUCACGCAUGCCCAUGGAUUCUAAGUGCAAGUUAAAAGGUUUCCCAGGUAUGGCCUUAGUAAAAGGAUCUGCCAAGUUUUGCUGUGACGCAAUCUGAGUAACCUCCACAUCACCUCUCUGCACUAUAUCCCUUAUAAGAUGAUACUUCCUCUGAAUAUGUUUUUGUUUCUUGUGGUUCCUUGGUUCCUUAGAUUGAGCUACCGCACCACUAUUAUCGCAAAAUAGUUUAAGGGGUGCAGUUACAGCAGGUACCACCUCAAGAUCUUGUAGGAACUUGCGGAGCCAUACAGCUUCUUUUGCAGCUUCGGAUGCAGCCACAUAUUCAGCUUCAGUUGUGGAGUCUGCGAUACAAGAUUGUUUCACACUCCUCCAACUAAUAGCUCCACUUCCCAAUGUAAACACAUAGCCGGAAGUUGAUUUUCUGAAAUCCUUAUCUGACAUAAAGUCAGAAUCAGUAUAACCCACUGGAAUGAGUUCAUCACCAGAAUACACAAGCAUAUAAUUUUUAGUUCUUUUCAGAUACUUCAUUAUAUGCUUGACCGCAGUCCAGUGUUCAGGUCCAGGAUUAGAUUGAUAUCUACUAACCAUCCCUACCGCAAAACAGAUGUCUGGCCUAGUGCAAAGCAUGGCAUACAUGAGACUUCCCACAGCUUCUGCAUAGGGAACUCGUCUCAUUCUCUCUAUCUCUUCAGAUGUUUUAGGUGAUUGAUCCUUAGAGAAUGUAAUUCCAUGUCUGAAUGGUAAUAAACCAGUCUUGGAAUUUUCCAUGCUAAAUCUAGCCAAUAUCUUAUCGAUAUAGACCGCUUGAGACAAGGCUAAAGUUUUAUUCUUCCGGUCUCGAAGUAACUUGAUACCAAGAAUAUAACUUGCCUCUCCCAGGUCUUUCAUAUCAAAUUGUUUUGCUAACCAACUCUUUAUUGUAGUCAAUACUCCUAUAUUGUUUCUAAUUAGGAGAAUAUCGUCUACAUAAAGAAUUAGGAAGGCUACAGAUUUUUCUUGAAUUUUCUUGUACACACAUGGUUCAUCAAUGUUCUGAAUGAAUCCAAACGAUUUUAUCGCUUGAUCAAAUCUGAUGUUCCAUGACCGGGAUGCUUGCUUCAAUCCAUAAAUGGAUCUCUGCAACUUACAUACCAUGUGUUCUUGGCCUUUUUGUAUAAAUCCAUCUGGUUGCUGCAUGUAGAUGUUUUCUUCAAGAUGCCCGUUGAGAAAGGUAGUCUUGACAUCCAUUUGCCAAAUUUCAUAAUCUAGCACUGCAGCAAUGGAGAGCAGGAUCCUGAUAGAUUUAAGCAUAGCAACCGGAGAAAAAGUUUCCUCAUAAUCGAUUCCCUCUUUUUGAGUAAACCCUUUGGCUACUAAUCUUGCUUUAAAUGUUUCCACCCUUCCGUCUACUCCUCUUUUUCUCUUGUAGAUCCACUUGCAUCCUAUAGGUUUUACCCCAUUUGGUGCCUCUACAAGUUCCCAGACUUUAUUGGAAUACAUAGAUUCCAUUUCUUGAUUCAUGGCCUUUUUCCAAAAUUCAACAUCUCUAUCUAUUAGAGCUUCGUUGUAACUAGUGGGAUCUUGUACAUGUUCAUCUGAGAUAGCCGUAUAGGUUUCUCCCAAAAGCAUGUAUCUCGCAGGUAACCUAGUUACCCUCCCACUACGACGAGGUUCUAAAAGUGAUGGUUGUUCAGGGUUAAUCCUGUGUUGAUCAUCUGGUUGUUGUUGUUCUUCCUGUUCUGUAAUAGGCAUUGAAAGCUGAGCAUCAACCUGAUCACCUGACAGUUCUUCAAGUAUUACCUUACUCUUAGGUUUGAAGUUAUUCAUAUAGUCUUCCUCGAGGGAAGUGAAAUGUGUGCUCACUAUCACUUUCCUAUCUUGAGGACUAUAAAAUAAACCUCCCCUUGUUCCUUUGGGAUACCCCACAAACAUACAAACCUCAGAACGUGAAUCCAUUUUGUCUGCCUUUGGUUUCAGCACAUGUGCUGGUGAUCCCCAAAUACGGACAUGUCGUAAACUUGGUUUGCGACCUGACCAUAAUUCUAUUGGGGUUUUAGGCACUGACUUAGAUGGAACUAAGUUCAAAAGGUAAACUGCAGUUUCCAGUGCUAAUCCCCAAAAAGAGAUUGGUAAUGACGAAUAACUAAGCAUAGAUCUCACCAUAUCCAAAAGAGUUCUAUUUCUUCUUUCAGCUACCCCAUUUUGUUGUGGUGUUCCCGGGGCAGUCAAUUGAGAUAUAAUCCCAUUUUCAACCAGAUACUCUUUGAAAUCUCCUGAGAGAAAUUCACCACCUCGAUCAGAUCGAAGUUUCUUUAUGUUCUUAUCUAAUUGCUUUUCUGUCUCAGCCCUAUACUCUUUGAAUUUCUCAAGAGCUUCAGACUUAUGACGCAUCAGAUAAACAUAACCGUAUCUUGAGUAAUCAUCAGUAAAAGUGAUGAAAUACUCAUAACCUCCUCGAGCUUGUACAUUGAUUGGUCCACAUACAUCUGUAUGUACCAAUUCAAGUGGUACUGUUGCACGUACUCCUUUGGCCGAGAAUGGCCUUUUGGUCAUUUUCCCUUCUAAACAGGAUUCACAGAGUGGCAAUGAUUCAUUUUCUAAUGGACCCAAGAGCCCAUCUUUGAUCAUUCUCUGUAUCCUAUUUUGGUUUAUAUGACCCAAGCGUAAAUGCCAGAGGUAACAUUGGUUGGAAGAAAUAUUUCUUUUCUUAGAUAAGUGUGUAUGCUCAUCAUUAUUUAUCACUGUGUCAUGCAUAGAAUGGAUCAUUGGACUUAAAUGAUAUAAAUUAUCUUCCAAUGUACCAGAACAAAUAAGUCUCUUAUUUUGAAAAAUAGAAACAGAGGAUCCAAAAUUUACAGUGUACCCUUGCUUUGACAAACAAGCUACUGAAAUUAAAUUCCUCUUAAUGUCUGGAACAUAAAGACAAUUAUUCAAAACUAAAGUCUCAUUAUUAAAAGAUAAUAAAACAGAUCCAGUCUUCACUGCUGACACGAACUGUCCUGUCCCUAACUGCAGCUUGACGCUUCCUUCACUUAUUUUCCUGGUUUCCUGAAACCAAUAAAGUGAAUUACAAAUAUGAUUAGUUGCUCCUGAAUCCAACACCCAAGUGUCAAUAGGAUUCUGAACUAAACAGGCCUCAAUUACAAAAAGAUUUCCCAUACCUGAUUUCACAAUCUUAGGGCAAUCCUUUUUCCAGUGACCUUUCUGUCCACACUUGAAGCAUUUGCCUUUCGGCUUGCCAUCUUGCUUGGUAGACGGUCUCUUUUUCCCAGCUUUCUUCUUACCUUUGCCUUUCGGCUUAGGCCCAGAAGAUGAACUUUUUUCAGUAAUAUUUAUGCUUCCCAGAGAUUUCUCAGCACGAUAGAUCUCUUCAGCAGAAUGAAGUUCGUUCAUCAAUUCAGUUAAGGUCAUGUUUCUUUUGUUCAUGUUAUAAUUGACCUUAAACUCCUUGAAUGUUUCUGGCAGAGAUUCUAGCACCAUGUCAAUCUUUGAGUUAUCAUCGAUUUGUGCUCCCUGAAUCUCAGCCUCAUUCAAAUAGUCCAUCAUUUUGAGGACAUGAUCACGAACUCUUGUGCCCUUCCCCAUUUUACUGUUCAUAAUUCCUUUCAGUGCUGCUUGUCUCGCAGAGCGAGUACUCUGCCCGAACAUCUGUUGGAGACUAUCCAUUAUUUCAGUGGCAGUCUCUAAGUUCUGAUGUUUGGUCUGCAGAAUAUUAGAAAUCGAGGCUAAAAUGUAGCACUUUGCCAUUUCAUUGGCCUUUUGCCAUUUCUCAUAAAGCCUCCUCUGAUUUCUAUGAGCAUCAUCUGCUGGAACUGGAGGGCAUGGCUGGGUUAAGACAUAUUUAUAAUUUUCAGCAGUCAGGACAAUGAAUAGAUUUCUUUUCCAAUCUAUAUAGUUCUCUCCAGUGAGUUUGUUUUGACUCAGAAUAAUAGUAAGUGGGCUCAGGGAAGACAUUUUCUGAAAAAUAAAACAUCCAUGCAUAAAUAAUUUGAAAUAAUAUUCACAAUAAAUGACAAAAAUGCAAAAAACCAUAAAUGCAUUUUAAUUUAUUGUAACGAUAAUCUAGUACCGCUUUGACAAGCUAUCCGUUGGGGAAGUCAUGUCUACACUUACUAGACCCAAUUAUCCAUUGGAUUAUUUACUUUCAUGUAGAGACAUGAUAAAUAAUUAUCGUUAUUCUUUUGGGCCUAAAUUUGUUAACAGAGCUUCGUUGGGAAGGUUAAUAACAAAUUUUAGUUGAGUGUAUAACCAUUAUUUCAAUCUACAUAUUUUUCAUAUCAAUAGUCACCGUUGGGGUGAGCAAUCGAUUGAAAAAUAUUUCAAUUUUAUCUUUGAAGAAGUUCAUCAAAUAAAAUAUCUAAUAUAUAUACCCUCCGUAGGGAGCAUCACCGUAUCAUGAAGUCGAGGUAUAUAUAUAAUUUUAUUAUUGAACUAACAAUGGAGCCCGUGGGAAAAAUUAUCUUGAAUUUUCCCUCUCCCACUCAAUAUUUUAAAAUUGGUUUUUCCUUUUUAAAACAUACAUAUUGUUAAUUGCAUGCUUCCUAUAAUAUUAUCUAGAUGAUAUCAAAUAUUAUUAAGCAUAUGCAAAUUUCAAACAAUAUAAUGAAAUUCAUUAUUAAUGAAUGACAUGUAUCAUUAUGCAUAGAGUGGCACUACCUAUUCUAUAUGACAUGUUAUCAUGGCAUGUUAUCAUCCAAAACAUAACAUAUAGAAAAACUAUUAAAUAAUCUUAAUUCAUGGCUUUCCUAAUAAUGAAAAAUACAUUAACCCUAAGCCUAAUCUUCAUUGGGCUUCUUGUCAAUGUCCAUCUUCCAUAAGCUUGUUUUUGUUAAUGGACUAGGGGAAAUUGAGCUUUUAAAUUUAUAAUUGGUCCAAUUUUAAUUUUGAAAGGAAAUAAAUAAAUAAAUUAUUUUAUUUUUAUUUUAUUUUUUUUUAUUAAAAUAAAACUUUUGGACCAAAAAUAAAUUUAAUGUAUUUAAUUUUGUCUAUGCAUUUUUAAUCCAUUAAGCCCAAAUAUCAAUUGGGCCUAAAACUAGGAUUCUUUAAGCCCAAAACUAUUUUUAGACUUAAAUGCAAAAAAUUAAAACUUGACUGCCCAAGUGAAAAAUUAUGGAACCAUAGGGACCUCCAUGAUAAAAGCCAUGAAACCCUAAAUCCAUAUUUUUCUUUCUUUCUUCUUCCCCAGCCGCCAUCUCCAAAAUCCUCCUUCACUGUUCAGACGCCAGCCGACCUCCGACGCCGACGCCGACGCCAAACCAACUGCUGCCGCCUGGCCGGAAAACGUGCCAAAACCCGCGCGCAACUUUCUGCUGGCCUCGGCAGCGUUGCUUCCAGCUGCAGCACAUGCAGCGCGCGCUGCUGGCCACGCUGGCCGCGCGCGCUGCUUACUGCGCACAGCGCAGCGCGCGCUGCUUACUGCGCACAGCGCAGCGCGCGCCGCUGGCCAAUGUUGGCCGCGCGUGCUGCUUUGCUGCGCACAGCGCAGCGCGCGAUGCUGGCCAUUGCUGGCCGCGCACGCUGCUGCAGCAUGCCCUGGUUUGCUGCCGCUGUCAUAAUUUCCGGCCUCCGUCGCUCCGAUUUUGAAAAUCUGAGAUUAAUUUACAAAUUUCCUAGACCAAUUUUGGCUUACAAAAAUUCUAUAACUGUAAAAUAAAUCAAGAGGGAAACAUGGUGAUAAAAAACCACCCCUCUUGUUACAGAUCCAAAGAACAAUACAAAAGAAAAUCUAACCAUGAAUUAAGACAAACCAUAAGCAUGCUUUAUUCAUAUAUUAAAUAAAUAAUAUACAUCUGAAUAAAUUGUGCCACUCUAAUACAUAAAUUUCAAGAUUAAUUUCAUACGAAAUUCUUAUAUAUUAAUAUGAGAUGGCUCUGAUACCAAUUAUUGGGGAAAAAUCAGGUUUUUAAAUUUUUAUAAAACCUUUUGAAGAUCGCUCUCAUAUAAUAUAUAAGAAUUCGUAUUCUAGAAAUCGUACCUUGUAAAUCUGAGUUUGCUUUUUCCGCUGAAGUGAUUUAGGCUCCUAGAUCACGAUCCGCCACCACCACUCCUGUUAGAUCACGAUCCGUCACCACCACGCUUGUUAGAUCACAAACUGUCUCCAAUGAUCUUCCAGGUUAUGACUCAGGUUCGAUCUGCACUUGACGUGUGGGCGCCUUUAUCACUACCAAAGCAACUAGCACGAGAAAAUUUUUCUCUCAACAAUGGAGAGAAAAAUCUUAUUCUCUGAUUUGUAUAAAGUGGCUUCUUCUCUUCCUUUUUGGGAAAAUAAGCCUUAUAUAUCUCCCUUUAGUGAAAACCCUAGGCUCCAAGGAUUCCCCCAAAAUAAAACUCACGUUACUUUUCAUUUAAUAGGGGACCCACCAUGUAAAAUAACAUAAGGCCCCUUACACAUAAGCUUAUUAAAUGGAGCCUCCCACUAAAUGAUAUAUUUAGGCUUUUGACCCAAAUAGCUAGUUAUCUUGCUUAUUAGUCCAGCAGUGGUGCAAUCAAUUAAAUGAGCUAACCCGGGGAUCAUUUGGGAACAUACAAUAGUGGCUACAAUAAUUAGGCCUGUAAUUAAACUAGCCCAAUUAUUUAAUUCCAAAUCUACUCCACUAAAAGAUUGGAACUGACUUCCAUAAUUGUAUGCUCGAAUAAUAAUUCGUCCCAAGCCACAUUGAUUUCUUUACUGCACAAUCCUUUGUACCACAUCGUUAAUUAAAUUGAUAUCUCAACUGUCCAAUCAAUUUAAUAACAUCUUAUUCCUUGAUCCUUACUGGUUUUCUCUAAUGAUCAUUUUCAACAUACUAAAUAUGUUGACACACUCUGGCCAGAGAAUUCUAUGAUCAAGUACCGAAAACCCAUCAAGAGAUGUGUUGUACAAAUUCUAUAUUGUUAAUCCAUAACUCCAAUACUCAUAAUUGUUCCCACCAAGAUACCGGGUAAUCUAGACUACAAGUAUGUGUCAUGCCCAUUGGUAACUCAAAUGGAAUAACAAUUACAAUCAUGAAAUCAUAAUUAACUCAAGAUUAAGAUUACAGUAAAAUCAAUGCCUAUGAGAUUUAAUAAGUCUGACAGUUAUUACAAAGUUAAUUAAAUCUCAUAUGUGAUCCUGUUCAAUGUAGUCGUACUACAUCAAUAAAUUCAUACAUGAUUAAGACAAAUCAUUCAAUGAAUUUAUUACAGUCUAUACCUAAAUAAAGUGCCCAACUUUAUUUAUCAACUGCGAACUAAAUUUAUUUAAUCAUAAGAUAACUUGUAUUUAUGUCUUCUGUGAAUCCACAUGGUGAUCACAUAAAUACAUAUAAUAUGAUUAAAUGGACUUUAAUACAAGUAUUAAUGCAAUUAAGAUAUUUGAAUAAAAUACCUCAUUUAUUUUAUUAAUCAGAAAAAUUGUUUAUUACAAUUAAAUAAACACAUAUGCUUUUAAAGAGCAUAUUUUCCCAACAAUAGAAACCCUGACCCAAGCAAGACAGUCAAAAUAGAACUUGAUAAGAUUAUUAUUGUAAGUAUCUGCAGCAAAAGCAGUCUUAUCGAAGCCACUGCUGUUGAGAAUUGCAACCACUGAAAGCCCAGAUGGUCCCUCAAUCAAUAAAUCAAACAACUCCUCUCUGCCCCUUUCAAAUUCACUGAUAUCAAGCCGAGGUUGUCCCUCACUCAAUAGGCGAAUGAUUUUCUUACCUUGUUCACUGAUAUCAGAACCAUUGUCGCCGGGUGGAAGUUGUUGCAUCCGAUUUCUAAUAUCAAUGAUUUUACUGUGGAGUCCAACAAGAAGAGCCAUUUUAGUACUGCUUUCACUUUCGUUUUCACGGCUUUGCUGCUGCAUGAUGUUGAUGAAGAAUGCGUCAAUGGCUUCCUCAGACUCAUGGACAAAGUGAUUAAUGUCCUCCAGAAUUUCCAAAAUAUCUCCUCUUUUAACGUCUUCAUCGCUUUCUUCCAAGUCCAACAGUUGCAAAAAUGGCAAAGCUACUUCGAAUUCAUCGAAUUUUUGUCUGAUAAGUUGAAACAAAAGCCGAGCCACGUCAGCUUCAUAGUUCCUCAGGAGAGUAGUAGCAAUAAUUUCGGACUCCGUAAGAAGGUUUUGAAAAAGUGGAGUCACAUUUGUUGAAUCAGACAACGUUAACGCGCCUUCUUCAUCUGCUAACACCCUUUUCAACCUCUCACAAAAUAGUCGGAGAUGGACGUCCAGCAUAUCUUCUCCUUCUCACUGUAGCAGCCAGAGGUAUUGUUAUUUGCUCCAAGAAAUGUUAAAAGGAUUGGCAAGGAAGAUGCCAAGAAACUGGCGAAGCCGCUAAAUUCCACAAAUACGCGUGCCUUCUGAAAAGAACAGGUAUCCAACCUUCAUCUUGAUUUCUGCCAUGACAUAAUUGAUGGUGCUUGAAUCAAUUUUUUCUUUUUCUUUUUUAAUUUAAAAAAUUUUGCUUUAAAAAAAAAAAAUCAAAAUGCCUUCAAAUUUUACAAAUUUCAGAAUCUGAAUGAUAAUUUUUUCAAAUUUGAAAGAUGUAAGUAUUUUUUUUUUCUGAUAAUUUAUUUCACUUUUGAGGAAAUCCGAAAACGUUAAAUACGUUCUUUACCUUUAUGAAAAAAAAGUGAAAAUCAAGAACUAUUCAAUUUUGUUUUUAUUUGUAAUUCAAAAACUUUAUUUAUUUUCGAUGCUUUUCAAAAGAGAUUCCUCUGAUCCAUCUAGCAUCUGCAACCCCUGCUCCUCUUACAAAUCUCCACCCCACAUCUACACUAUGAAACAAGUUGAUGGAAAUCGAACAAUUGCUUUUUGAUGUGGACCCAUUGGUCAUCAUUGUCUAUUCUUCCUAAUGAGCCAUUUAUUUUGACCUUUGGCGAUCUUAUCCGGACCACUCCAAUUAUUUAUGUAACUCCAAAGGUUGCAUCUACAGUUGAAUGUAAGAUAGUGAUAGCUCUUCCGUUGCAACGUGCUAGUAUAAAUUUCUUUACCUUACAGUUUAUACGGUCUUGCUGUUAAUGAAUUCGCUGAGGCAUUAUUGAUCCAAUCUGAGUGAAGUAAUUGUGGGUGAAAAAUAAAUAAAGGAUAACAGAACGGAGCUGAAGUGCUGAAGUGGCUAUUAAAGAAGAGUGUCACUCGAUCACAAUCACAUUGAUGCACAACUCACCCGUGGCAAAUUUCGACUGUACAUACUGCAAAUUCACCCAAACCAUACAUGCAUGAACAAAACUAAAAUGUAGUUCUAAUCACAACUGUAAUUAAAGCUACAAAAGGCAGCAAAUCCAAAAACUUAAAAGGAAGAUUUUAUUGAAGUUUGUCCCCAAAAGACAGCUGAAAUGAAAAAUUAUUGACUAUUGAGUGGAUCAAUGCUGAAUUACAUUUGAAAUGGAAAGCAUGGCUGCAGUUACGAUGUUUCCCACUCUGAUUUUCCUCCAAAACAAAUUCAGUUGUAAACAAUAACUCUCAAAUUUUUUCAACUAACAAAUCCUCUUGUCUAAACUAAAAAAAUUCAUCUCUAAAAUCUAUCUGCAAAUUAUUGAAAAUGAUGGGUGAUUUAUCAACUCGAUAAAUAAACCCGUGCAUAAUGUUAACAAUAAAGAUAAAUUACAUAAUAAUUAUUAUAAAGAAUCAUAAAUUAGAAAAAUUAAUCAUUUCACAAUCUAUUACGUAAGUAAGAUAAAUCUCAUAAUAAGUUAAGUUAUAAUGUAAUUAAUAUUUUCAAUAUGCUAAGAUAAAAUUGGUCCUAUCUCAAAGUAGUUAGCGGUGUAAAAUUAAUUAAUUAAACACCAUGGAAGAAUUUGCAAGGAAUAUGCUAAGAAACUGGCUAAGUAGCUAAAUUCCACAAAUACGAUAUUAUUGCUCAUUUUUUUCUCAGAAACAUGAUGCGCGUUCAUUUAGAAAAAAGCCAAAGACGCGUGCCUUUUGAAAAGAACAGGUAUCCCAAUCGGUAUCCAACCUUUAUCUUAUUUAAUUACUACCAUGACAUAAUUGAUGGUGCUUAAAUCAAUUGUUUCUUUUUUAAUUUAAAGAAUUUUUCAUUAAAAAAAUAUUUUAAUACCAAAAUGCCUUCAAUGACAUUACUGCCGCAAGCCCAGUACAGGAUUAAUUAAAAAUUUUAGAAUUUUUGGGCAUGGAAAGAGUAGUAUUAAACAUCAGAAAGCUAAGGUUGUUAUGUUAAAGAAUUGAUAUUGACAUAAUUUUAUUUUGGUUUUCAAGGAAAAAAAACAUAUUUGUUGACAAGCAAGAAUUAUUUUUUUGUAUUUUACAAUCUUUUAUUAAAUAUUUUAUCAUAUUAAAGUAAUUUUAAUAAUAAAUAGAAACAUAAUAUUACAAUAAAUAAAUUAAAGUUUAAAUUAUUUUGAAUAUUAUAAAAAAUAAUUUUAAUAUUAUUAAUAGGAAGAUAUUUUGUUAAUUGUAAAAUCGUUUUAACCCAAAGGUUUAUUUCAAAUCUUUAUAAUAAAUAACUAUGGCCAAUGAGCCGUGCCGGCACAUCAACUGUCGGCCCAUAAGGGCUCGUGGGCCGGCACGGCACGGCCCACCAAUCGUGCCUACCUUUUUUUCAGUUGAGCCCAACACAGCACACGGCACGAGUCCACUCGUGCCGUGCCGUGGGCCGUGCCCAAAAAAAACCCACCAACUUUCUUUUUUUUAGCAUGCUUAAAAAAGUCCACGUGACUGGCGUGCUUUAUUCAAGUCCAUGUGCCUGACGUGCUUUUUUAAGCCCACCAACAUAAUAAUAAUAAUAAUAAUAAUAAUAAUAAUAAUAAUAAUAUUCAUAAUCAUAAUCAUAUUAAUUUUUAUUAAGAGAGCAAUUAACAUUUUAUUAUUAAUUUUGUAAAAUUUUUUAUUUUUUAUUUAUAAUUUAUAAAUUUAUGAUAUUUAUAAUUUUAUUUAUUAAAAUCAUGAUAUUUAGUUAUUUACUUAUUCGUUUAAUAAAUUAUAAACAUAAAUAAAUAAUUAAAUAAAUAUCAUAAAUAAAAUUAAAUAUCAUAAAUAACAUUAUUCAUUUAAUAAAUAUCAUAAAUAAAAUUAUGAUAUUUAUAAUUUUAUUUAUUAAAAUGAUGAUAUUUAUAAUUUUAUUUAUUAAAAUGAUGAUAUUUACUUAUUCAUUUAAUAAAUUAUAAACAUAAAAAAUUAGAAUAUUUAUUUAAACUAAGAUUUAAUGAUUUAAAUUAAUUUUUAAAAGUCUAUGCUAAAAAAUAUAUUAAAACAUUUAAUUUCAAGAUAUUUUACUUUAAUUUCAUAACAUUUUAUAUUUACUUUUUGUUAAAAAAAUUUACUUAGAUAUAUUUUGGCCCACGUGCUAUUGAUGGCUCACGGGCCGUGUGCUAGCCCACCAAUGAACCGUGCUUAUUACGUGCUUUUUUGCGUGCCGUACUUUGGCCCAUCUCUAAUUGUGCCGUGCUUUAAGGCUCGCGUGCCUAAAAUUCUAGGCCCGGCACAGCCCACGUGUGUGCCGUGCCGUGCCUUGUGCCUCACUGAAACGUGCUCAUGCCGUGCCGUGCCGUGCCGUAUGGACACGUGCCGUGCCCGUGCCGUGCCACGUGCCGCCCGGCCCAUUGGCCAUCUCUAAUAAUAAACACCAAUAUAAAAUUAAAUAUCAUAAUUUAAAAUUUUUAAUAUUGUUUUAAAGAUUAAAACUAUUUUAAUGUUAUUAGUCUACCACAUAGAUUAUAUUACUUAUAUUAUAUUUUGUAUUGAUUAAAAAAUUUUAAAAUCAAUUUUCUAAUUACUAUAUUCAUGAGGUAUUAUGAUUAAAGAAAAGAUCUUGGUGUUACUUUUUUAAAAUUUGAGGGUUGCAUGAUAGUUUUGCCAAAUUUUAAGGAUGUAAGUGUCCUGUUUUCUGAUAAUUUAUUUCAAUUUUGAGGAAAUCCAAUGAGAAAUAUGGUAAGAGAACGUCAAUUACUUGUCAUUUUCUAUUUUUUCUAUGAGCCAUUUAUUUUAAGCAUUAGUGAUCUUAUCUGGACCACUCCAAUUAUUGAUGCAACUCCAGUGGAUGCAUCCACAGUUGAAAAUAUGAUAGUGUUAGCUCUUAUUUGAGAAUUUAGAGGGAUUUUUUUUUUUUUAUUUCUCAAUUGCAACGUGCUAGUAUAAAUUUCUUUACCUUACAGUUUAUAUAGUCUUGCUGUUAAAGAAUUCACCGAGGCAUUAUCGAUUCAAUUUUAGGGGAGCAAUUGCGGGUGAAAGAUAAAUAAAGGAUAAGAGAACAGAGCUGAAGUGCUAAAUUGGCUACUGAAGAAGGGUGUCACAUAAUCACAAUCACAUUGAUGCACAACUCUCUGGAGGCAAAGUUUGUCUAUAUGUACUCUAAAUUCAACCAAACCAUACUUGCAUGAACAAAAAUUAAACCGUAGUUCUAAUCACAACAGUAAUUGAAGCUACAAAAGCCAGCAAAUAUGAACAGAGACUUAAAAGAAAGAUCUUAUUCAAGUUUGUCCCCAAAAGAGGGCUGAAAUGAUAAAUAUUGACUAUUGAAUGGGUCAAUGCUAAAUUACAUUUCAAAUGGAAAGCUUGGCAGCCGUUACUAGGGGUGGGCAUCAGAUUGGAUUUGGAUCAAUCCGAACCAAUCCGAACUUGUUCGGAUCGGAUUCGGAUUGACCUCCAAAUCCGAUCGGAUAAAAACUUUACAAUCCGAUCGGAUUUGAUUUGGAUUGGUUCGGAUUUGGAUCAAUCCGAUCGGAUUGCACUUUGCAAUUAAAAAAAAUUAAUUGAACUAUAAAUAAAAAAAUAAAAGUUAAACGGCAGCCCUAAACUAAAUCCCUAAAAUCCCAAAUUAGAAAGGAUGAAAGAAGCCCUUGCAACCGUACGAACCCAGCUAAAGAAUCGAAGAAGCACUUGUAGGUUUCAGUUGCACGAACCCAUCCUCAUGAACCCAGCCAAAGAAUUGGAGAAGCCGCACGAACCCAGCUCAUCUCUUUGAGUCUCAAGUAGUCGACACCUUAGCUGCACAUCGACAAAGUCAACCGCUGAGCCCGUGAGCUGCACGUUGCUACGCUUCCAACUGAAGCCGCAGCCACAAGUUGAUGUCCCAAACCUAGCCGCUGCAUCUAUUUGAUUAUUGCAAGGGUUUCCAAUGGAGUUGAUCUACCAAAGCUUGUGAGUCGCAUGGGAAUAAGAAUAGAUACUUCGAUUUUAAAAAAAUUGCAGAGAUUUGGGUCUUUUGUGCUUUCAAUUUUUGUAUUUCUUUUCUCUAUUUCCUGGCUUGCUGCUUUUUUUCUUGUUUGCGUGAUUUCAAUUUUGCAUUACAACUUGAAAAUGACUUGGAUUCAUUUGAUUUAUUUGAGCAAAUCUGAAUCCAAUUUCAAUAUGAUAUUACCGAUGCGAGAAUCCGAAUUAAUCUAAAUUAUCCAUCCGAUCCGAAUAUAAUAUUCGGAUUGGAUUCGGAUCGGUUUUGAAUUCGGAUUAUAAUUGGAUGAUUUUUUCACCAAUCCGAACAGUCCGAGAUCCGAUCGGAUUGAUCAAAAUUCGAUCCAAAUCCGAAUUUGCCCACCCUUAGCCAUUACAAUGUUUCCCCCUCUGAUUUUCCUCCAAAACAAAUUCAGUUGUAAACAAUAACCGAAGUAGAAAUAAUUUAUUCAUUAAAGAAAAUACCCAAGUUUUCAAGUAACAAACCCUCUUGUCUAAACUAAAAAAAAAACUCAUAUCUCUAAAAUCUAUCCGCAAAAUGUUGGAAAUGAGGAGUGAUCUGUCAACUCUGUAAAUAAACUUAUGCAUAAUAUUAACAAUAAUGAUAAAUAGUCAUGAUUAUUGUUUAAAUGUGUAAAUGGCCUGGGCAUAGCCCGUAAUACCAAUAUCCAUUUGCCUUCAUUUGGAUUAUCACAUUUCAUGAUAUUCUUUCAUUCAUGACUAUUGUUCGAGAUUCGAACUUGAUCAUAAAUUAAGUUGCAAGGGAGUUUACUUAAGUUUCUAAACUUUUCAAUCGUGAUUCCUCCAUGCCUUUCUAUACCAUUUUGUUACGUGCCAAUGUAACUGACCUUGUAAUUGGUGUGUAUAAGGAAUCAUGCCCUUUCAGGAUCGUUUUCUUUUGUUUCCUUAUGUAAUGUCAAAUAAAUAAAGAAUGAACAAUUGAAAUUGGUCUAUUUCGAGGAAAACCAAGGCCUGCAAUAUUAGAUGAACUUUGAACAAAAUUAAUCUACUGCUUUUAUUCAUCUUUGGACUAUGAAUUUAUACAAGGACUUUAACAGAAAAUAACAAAGACACAGCUAAAUGAUAGCACCAAGUGCUGAAUUAGUGGACCACUUCUAUAAGUAAAUAAAAACUAAAUAUUUAUUUUGACUAUAACAACAGCUGCCCUGAUGAACAGGACUCCACAGCAACCACUUGAAAGCUCAUUUCUCCUUAAUAUUAUUAUUAGUAGAAGUAGAUUUUCAAACUAGUCUUGAUAUAUUUUAAAGUUGUAUUAUCAAUGUAUAUGUAUCUAUAUUGUACCUAUAUUUUUAAAAAAUAAAAAUUUUUAAUUAUUGCACAAUAAAUGUAGAAAAAUAUCUAUAAAAUAAUAUUAUUAGGACUAAAAAAAUAUUAUUUUAGAUAAGUUAUUUAUUCAUUAUUGAAUAAAUAAUCUAUUAAUUUAUUGAUAAAUGAAUAUUUAUUAAUUUAAAGAGAGAUUAUUUUUUGGUUUUGAGAAGAGUUUGUUUGGUACAUGUACACACUAAUAAAGAAACACAAAAAGUGCUUCCUCAAGUUAAUAGUAUUUGCUUUAAUCGCUACAAUUCAUAAUAAUAUAGCUUAGUUAGGAAAUUUGUAAUUAUUCUAUGGCUACGUUUGAUACAACUUUUUAAGUAGAGUUUAUUUAAGUAGAGUUUUUAUUAGUAGAAUUUUUAUAAAUAUAACUUUUACUAAAAAAAAUUUAAUUAUUUGGUUGUCAAAUUGAUGAACUUAUGUUCUUUUGUUAACAUCUGUUUGUUUUACUUAAUAAUAAAAAUUAGUUUACAAUUACACCGGUGUUAAAUCAGCAGAGCAUUUUUGCAGCCAGUCACAUCAUACAUUAUACUAAUAGCAUCGACAAGUGUGAAGCCUGGUGUAGUUAUCCCUGUUGAUGUGACUAAAAAAAUGUUGGAACUUAAUUCCUCACAAGAACCACCUCAAAAUGAGAGCAUGUUACAGCAACCCAGCCAUCAAGAUAUUGGUACUAGUGAUCAAGUUACAUCAACUGUGGAAAGGACUCAACCAAUAAAUGCUGAAGAAGAAGUUGCAACACCAGUGGUGACAACUCACAAUAAAACAAAUGAGCAGAGAUUGGUGCCUCCUGAAGUUGCCCAGCAAUUUAGGCAUCCACCCCCUUUCCCACAGAGAUUCCAGAAACAAAAACAAGACAAUCAAUUUAGUAAAUUCUUGGAAGUGCUGAAGCAAUUACACAUCAACAGACCUUUUGUGGAAGUAUUUGGGCAAAUGCCUAAUUAUGUGAAAUUUCUAAAAGACAUCUUGGCAAGAAAAAGAAUGUUGGGAGAAUUUGAAACUGUUUCUUUGACACAGGAAAAUAGUCAUAUUCUCCAAAGUAAGAUUCCUAAAAAAUUGAAGGAUCCAAGAAGCUUCACAAUACCAUGUUUUAUUGGAACUAGGUAUAAUGGCAGAGCACUAUGUGAUUUGGGAGCCAAUAUUAAUCUGAUGCCAUUAUCAAUAUUUAAGCAGUUGGGAGUAGGAGAAUGUAGGCCAACAACAGUCACUCUGCAAUUAGCUAACAGAUCUCAUGCAUAUCCUGAAGGAAAAAUUGAGGAUUUACUGGUGAAGGUUGGCAAGUUCAUUUUUCCAGUGGAUUUCAUUGUACUAGACUUUGAGGCUGAUAAGGAGGUACCCAUUAUACUUGGAAGACCUUUCCUAGCAACUGGGAAAACUCUGAUAGAUGUGCAAAAAUGAGAGCUAACAAUGAGGGUGAAUGACCAACAAGUCACAUUCAAUGUAUUAGAGGCUAUGAAGGACCCUGAUUAGGCAGAAGAUUGCAACUUCCUGAGUGUUGUGGAUUUUAUUGUAGCAGACAGAAUCGACAGAUGCUGCAGUAAUGAGGUCAUCAAGGUUGCCACCUUUGAGAGCUUUGAAGAAUAAAAUGUUGCAGCAAAUCAGAUAGAUUGUAUGGGAGAAAGACAAUCUAAUAGACAUAGCAGAGUUGUUGAACCUCUGAAUCUUUCAGACAGGGAAGUAAAAGCAACUUUACCAUCUAUUGAAUCACCUCAUACUCUUGAAUUAAAACUGUUACAUUCACAUUUGAAAUAUGCUUAUCUUGGUCAGAACAAUACACUUCCUGUAAUCAUUUCAUCUACUUUGGAUGCAGGUCAAGAAUAGAGCCUGGUAGAUAUGCUUGGGAAAUACAGAAAAGUAAUUGGAUGGACCAUGACAGACAUUAAAAGGAUCAGCCCAUCCAUAUGUAUGCAUAAAGUUAUGUUAGAAGACUGCUACAACAACUCAAUGGAGCAACAGAGAAGGUUAAACUCCAUUAUGAAGGAAGUUAUAAAGAAAUAAAUCAUCAAAUGGUUAGAUGCUGGGAUCAUAUACCCAAUAUCAGACAGUUCAUGGGUGAGCCCAGUGCAAUGUGUUCCAAAGAAGGGAGGAAUAAUAGUGAUAGCAAAUGAGAAGAAUGAGCUUAUUCCUACAAGAACAAUGACUGGAUGGAUGGUAUGUAUGAAUUACAAGAAGCUCAACAAAGCCACUCGGAAGGACCACUUCCCACUUCCAUUCAUAGAUCAAAUAUUGGACAGACUUACUGGAAAAUAAUACUACUGUUUCCUAGAUGGGUAUUCAGGCUACAACCAAAUUACUAUAGCUCCAGAGGAUCUGGAAAAGACUACAUUUACCUGUCCUUAUGGAACUUUUGCCUUCAGAAGGAUGCCUUUUGGUUUGUGCAAUGCUCCAGCAACUUUCCAGAGAUUUAUGAUGUCUAUUUUUUCAGAUAUGGUAGAGCAAACACUGGAAGUCUUCAUGGAUGAUUUCUAAGUCUUUGGAGAAACAUAUACUGAUUGUUUACACAACUUGGAAGAAGUUCUUAAAAGAUGUGAGAUGACUAACUUAGUACUCAAAUUGGGAAAAAUGUCAUUUCAUGGUGCAAAAAGGCAUAGUAUUGGGUCAUAAGGUGUCCAAGAAUAGUAUAGAGGUAGAUAAAGUAAAGAUAGAAGUGAUAGAUAAACUGCCACCUACCACUUCAAUCAAGGGGAUUAGAAGUUUUUUGGGUCAUGCUGGGUUUUACAGAAGAUUCAUUAAAGACUUUUCUAAGGUAGCUAAACCAUUAUGCUCAUUGCUAGAACAUGACAAGCCUUUUUAUUUUGAUUAAGACUGUCUUCAAGCCUUUGGAGAAUUAAAGAAAGCUUUGAUCACUGCACCAGUGGUUAUAUCACCAGAUUGGACUCUACCAUCUGAACUAAUGUGUGAUGCCAGUGACCAUUCUAUUGGGGCAGUGUUGGGGCAGAGAAAGGAUAAGGUUUUCCACUCUAUAUACUAUGCCAGCAAAACUCUUACUCAAACUCAGAUUAAUGACACCACUACAGAGAAAGAGUUACUAGCAGUAGUAUUUGCUUUCGAUAAAUUAAGAGCUUACUUGGUGGGUGUUGUGCAAAUUUUAUUGAACUCGCAAGUGCACGAAUCUAUUGUAGAAUAGAUCAAUGGUGACGAGUGUCGAUCCCACGAGGAGGUAGAUUUUUAUUGUGUGUAGAAUUAAUUUUUCUAAAUGAGUGGUUGGAUUUGUGGUGAAAGUAACUUAGAUUAUCCUAAAAUUUGAAUUAAAAUGACGAGAAUAAAUUGAAGCGAAAUCUAUUGAAAUGACACACUUGGGUAUCUAGAUCCAUAUCAACAUGCUCCAUGGGCUAAAUAUUCCUUAUUAGUGCCAAUUAAAUCAUGAGGGGGGAAUCCACACCUCAUAAACUACACUCUAAUCAAUAUGGUGCUAAGGGCUUAUCGUGCCAAAUAAUAAUAACAACCUUGUACUAGGGAGUCGGUGAAACCAGGGCGGUAUCUAGACAAGAUUAUUAUUAUUUGUCGACGAGAAGUCAAAACAUCCACAAAAACUAGAGGGGAAGAGAAAAUAAAUUUACUAAAUAAAGCCCAUGACACAUGUUGAGACUUCACCUUCAACCCAAGCUUGAAAGAAAAUUAGCUACUCAUAAUUGAACUAGGGACAAAAUGAAAAUUUAUUAAAAUACGUAGAAAAUACAAGAUGGAGAAUGAAUUAUAGAAAAUUGAGCCUAAAAAUGGAUUCAGAGAUAUCAAAUUAGAGGGGGGGAGGCUCCCUUUUUAUAGAUACAUUGAGUAAAUCAUGGCAAUCAGAUUAAAAACAGUUUGGACGCUCAGGAUUGUGCCACGUCAUCAGUCAACAGUACGCGGUUUGAAUAGUGACACGGUUUGACCACACGGUUUGAACAGUCAACCGGCUUGAAUAGUGAUGCGGUUUGGUUGAAAAUAAUCCUAUGUAUAUGCAUGUACCGUGCGCACGAUUUUUGGUCCACUAAAAUGCUGCCACGUCACCGAUCAACAGUGUAAAUAAAUUUUGUCCAAUAGAAUCCUGACACCUCAUCAGUUAAUGCCACAUCAUCGGUCAAUACCACGUUAUCAUUCUGUAUGUGUGAACAGUGUCAUGAACAGUAACAUGGAUAGUAUCGUACAUAUGAAUAGUGCCAUACAUGUGAACAUUGAUAUUUUUCUUUUUAUGCUCCUCCUAAGGUUUUCGACUGUCUUGAGUUCAAAAGUGAUGUCCGUUUUACCGUGUGAUUUCUCGUUCAUUGUGAAAUGACCAUGAUGCCCCUAAAAUACAUAAAAUACUUAAUUAAAAUAAAACACACGUAAUUAAAUCACAAGAAGCUUAAAUACAUAAAAGUAAGGGUGUUAGUAAGACUUGAAAUGUAAAAUGACGAUUUUCUCCUUUAUAAAUAUACAUUUUCUAACACUCAACACCCCCCAACCAGCUUAUUGCUAGUCCCUAGCAAAUAAAGCGAAAACAAAAUUCAAACCCAAAAUAAUUUUUUUUUUAAACAAUUUUGUUUAUUCAAUCAGACUAAUGAUAGCAAUCAAAUAAAAGUAUAAGCAUUAUCUCUAGUCUAAAGAAACAUCAAACCCACAUCAACCAUCCACAUGAAUCAGCCCAGUGGACUUUGUCACAGCUGUUUUCAAAAAUGACAUGUCAAACCCCAAAAUCUCACUAGAAGUAGUGACACUCUCAUAAGGAAAUUAAACCCAAUAAAAAUAGUCACUUCAAUGAAUGCUAAAUUUGAGAGAAAAUAAUAAAGAAGUAAUGUCACACGCUCUCACCAAGAUGAAAGAAAUAUGCCCUUAGCUCAGAAAUAAUACGAUCUCAAGUCAAACAAAAAUGCUAGUCAACCCAAUUUAUUUAUUUAUUUUAUUUUUUAUUAUGCAUCACUACAACUUUUUGGCCCAUAUAAUUAGCUUCUACUUCAGACUAUAGUUCCCUAAAAUCAAGAAGGACUUUUAUUAGGACAUAACGUAGGCUAGGGACAUAGCUAACAAAGGAGUGAAAAUAAGGAAAACAAAGUGUAUGUUUGAGAAAAAUGCAGAGAUUUUUUUUUUUUGAAAGUUGCAAGGUGGAUUUCACCUAUUAUUGUUAUUUUUUUUAACAACAAUUUUUUUUGUUUUUUUGUUUUUGCUUUUGUUUGGCACAACUUCACUGAACAAAAUAAUUAUUUACAUUUUUCUCAAACAUAAAUAGGUGACGGAACUUGUAAGAUAUCGGAUAAUACUCCAAAUCGGAGUGGUUCUAGAUGAUAAGUUUGACAAAGAAAAUGUUUUUUUUUUUAAAAGGCUCAAAAGGGUUAACUAUGGAUAUUUCACAGAAGGGAUGACAGAAAGACUCAAACGGAUCUGCAGUUUCCUAAUCUGACUUAUGCAUUCCCUAGGCUUCCAUUUACCCUAACUUUCAACUAUAAAAGAAGCACACAUCAUAAGGAUUAAGGAGAGCCAUCACCCAAGGAGAAAAACACAAAGAAACAAAAGAAAAACAAGAUUCAAGAGAGAGAUUAAGGGUUGCACAAGAGGAAAAAUUGCAGAGAUCAAUUGGGAGCUCAAUCCUUCUUAUCCUUCUCUUGUUUUCGUGUUUUCUAUUUAUUCAUGGGGAUGUGUUUCAUGGCUGAAAUUUUAUUCUUUAUUUUUCUUUUGCAAAUCAUGAACUAAAUUUAUUUGUAGUUGAGUGAUAAACAAUCUUGAUGGUUUAUUGACUGGAAAUAUGUGUUGCUGCAUGUUUGCUGUAGCAGUUUGUUUUGAUAGUAUUUAUUUUUAUUCAUUAUUUCGGCUGAUCAUCCAUUUAAUGAUACAAGUUAGGAGAGAGACGCAAAAUGGCCUAUCUUAGUGGAACAUAUCAAAGCAAUACUUGAUCUUAAAUUGGGUUUCCCGGAUUGAGUUUUACUUGAGUCCCAAAAGGGCCAUGCUUGAUUUAAGAUUAGUGGUGAACUAGACAUAAAGAUUCACCUUGUAGGAUAAAUAGAACCUAAGCGUGUAAUGUUAUAUCUUAUGUUGGCAUAACAACUGAUCACUGUUAGGUUGCAUAUAGCUAUAAGAUAUCCAACAUGCGACGGCUGAGGAUACAUAAGGAUUCUGCCCAGUGCUAUAGUAGAUACUGCAGCAACCGAGCCAACCAUUAGAAAAUAGUCAAGACCAUUAGGAGAGUUUAUUCACUCAAUUACUUUAUAUUCCCAUUGAUUUUAUUCUUGAGAUUGACGUGAUAAUUUACUUUGUUGCAUUUUAUUUAUUACGUUUUUAUUUUAAUUAGUAGAUUAGUUUCAUUAAUUGUUUUAUUUUAUUUUAGCAUAAAAUCUGCACUGUUAAGAUUGCUGUAGCAAAUAUCAUAACAUCAAUCCAUGUGGAGACGAUCUUGAAUACUCAUCACUUUAUUACUUGUUGUGUACACUUGCAUAAUGACACCAAUAGCAUUAGUAUGUUAGCAUACAUGCAUCCAUAAUGUUGAUUUUGAUGAUAACAAAUAAGAUUAAGAAUGAUUAAGUUUUUAAAAGCUCAAAUUAUUUUAAAUAAAUCAUUAUUUUCAUAAUAUAAAGGUUUUAUACUUAAUGGAAAAAUGAUUUUAUGAAAUUGGUUGUUUUCAAUUAAUGUUUUAAAUUGAAAAAGUUUUGAAAAUCUGGAAAUGGACUUAUUUGUAAAGUUUUAUGACUAUUUGGGCCAUAGUAUAAUUAUAGAAAGUUUUGGGGUAAAACUAUAAUUUUAGAAAAUAAUUUCACUGUAGCGAUCACUGUAGCAAACGGCUAACCGUUUACUGAAAAUGGUUAACCGAUAAUUUCUAGAAAGCAUAUUUUGUAAAGUAUUGUUAAAAUGAUGAUUGUGGAAAAUAACGGUGAACUGUUUAGUGAAAACGGUGAACCGAUUAUUUCCAUAUUGCUAACCUUGAACCGUUUAGUGAGAACGGGUAAGCUAAAUUUAUUUUACAGGUCUCUGGAAAUUAACGGUGAACCGCUAGUGACAAACGGUCAACCGUUUAUUUGAAAUUCAGCUCAACGGUAACUUUGACCAGAAUAAACGGUUAACCGUUUACAGUUAACGGCGAUUCGUUUAUGGGCAAACAGUCAAUAACGGCUAGUUUUUCAACUCCAACUAUAAAUAAGCUCAAUCCAAUUCAAACAAGGAGAAUUCCAACGAUCAUCAUUGAGCAAAUUAUUGAGAAUACAAUUUUCAUUGAGCUUUAAAUCCUUGUAUUCAUCUCAUUCAUUCACACAUUGAGCUUUCAUUUGUGAUCAAACACAUUGUGUGAGAGAAAUUCAUUUGUAAUCCUUUUUGUAAAAUCAAGUUAAAAGAUUGUAAGUGUUGGGAUACACUUGGGUUAAGAGAUUGGGGAUAAUCUCUUGUUGUGAAGGUCUAUUGACACCUUGGAAGUCAAUUGUAAGCAUUUGAAGCCUUGGAGGCUUGCUUAGUGAAAUCCUCAAGCCCGGUGAGCUUGGAGGCGUGGACGUAGGCGGGGAUUGCCGAACCACGUAAAAAUCAUUGUGUUUGUUUUCUCUUCCCUUAAUCUUUUUAUUGUGCUUGAUUGAUUUAUUUGUUAUUGCUUUAAAUCCAUCUUAGAUUUGCAUUGAGUUUUGUUUUAAAAUUGAAUAAUUUUUAAUAUCCCAAAUCACCCCCCUCUUGGGUUGCAUAACUAGAACUUCAUUUGGUAUCAGAGCGAGGUGCUCUUGCGUAGACUUAACCGUCUAGAGUUUAAAGAUCCAUAGCAACCCAAAUUAGCUCAACCAUCAUGGAAGGCCAAUCUACAACUAGACCUCCAUUUUUUGAUGGAAAUGAUUAUCCUUAUUGGAAUACUAGGAUGAGAAUCUUUUUACAAGCCUUAGAUUAUGAAAUAUGGGAAAUAGGUUGUGAUGGUUCAUUCAUUCCUAGGAAGAAUGCUUUAAGUGAGUUGGAUGGAAAAAAUAUGUCUUUAAAUUCCAAGGCUAUGAAUGCUUUAUUUUGUGCCUUAGAUAAAAAGGAAUUUCAUAGAGUUUCAAAUUGUUCUAAUGCUUAUGAAAUUUGGAGAAAACUUGAAGUUGUGUAUGAGGAGACUACAAACGAGGAAGAAUCUCAUGAAGUGUCAAAUUUGGCACUUAUGGCAAUUGGAGAUAAAUCGGAUGAUGAACUUGAUGAGGUAAGUGAUCUUCCUACUUAUGAUGAAUUACAUGAUGCGUUUAAAGAAUUGCAUGAUGAGUGGAUGAAAAUUGGUAAAAAGAAUACAUGUCUUAAAAGAAAAUGGUAGAGAUUUCAAAUGAAAAUGAAUCUCUAAGUGCAAAAAUUGUAUGCCUAGAACUAGAGAAUAAAAAAUUGCAUGAUAAAGUUGCAUUAUCAAAUGAGAAAUGUAGCACUUCGCACAAGCAUCUAGAAUCACAUGUAGAUGACUUGAAAAAUGAAAAAGAUGCCUUGCAAAAAUGCAAUGUUUCAUUAAAUGAAAAGAUCAAAGAAUUGAAAUUAGAUAAUGAAAUGUUACAUGAUAGGAUUGCAUCAUUUAAAUGUAAACAAAGUACUUUAUAUGAGCAUGAGAAAUCACAUGUUGAUGAAUUAAUGAAAGAAAAUGAAGUGCUUAAGAAGAAGAGCAAUAAGUUAAAUGAGAUUGUUGUUGGUGUAUAAAUACUAAUGAUAUUGGUGUCAAUGUGCAAGUGUACACAACAAGUAAUAAAGUGAUGAGUAUUCAAGAUCGUCUCCACAGGGAUUGAUGUUAUCAGAUUUGCUACAGCAAUCUUAACAGUACAGAUUUUUGUGCUAAAAUAAAAUAAAACAAUUGGUGAAACUAUUAUACUAAUUAAAAUAAAGCGCAAUAAAUAAAAUGCAACAAAGUAAAUUAUCACGUCAAACUCAAGGAUAAAACUAAUGGGAAUAUAUAGUAGUUGAGUGAAUAAACUCUCUUAAUGGUCUUGACUAUUUUCUAAUGGUUGGCUCGGUUGCUGCAGUAUUUGCUACAACACUGGGCAAAAUCCUUAUGUAUCCUCAGCCGUCGCAUGUUAGAUAUCUUAUAUUUAUAUGCAACCUAACAGUGAUUAGUUGCUAUGCCAACAUAAGAUAUAGCAUUACACGCUUAGGUUCUAUUUACCCUACAAGGUGAAUCCUUAUGUCUAGUUCAUCACUAAUCUUAAAUUAAGCAUGGCCCUUUGGGACUCAAGUAAAACUCAAUCCGGGAAACUCGAUUUAAGAUCAAGUAUUGUUCUGAUAUGUUCCAAUAAGAUAGGCCCUUUUGCGGCUCUUCCUAACUUGAAUCAUUAAAUGGGUGAUCAACCAAAAUAAUGAAUAAAAAUAAAUACUAUCAAAACAAACUGCUACAGCAAACAUUCAGCAACACAUAUAUUCAGUCAAUAAACCAUCAAGAUUGUUUAUCACUCAACCACAAAUAAAUUUAGUUCAUGGUUUGUAAAAGAAAAAUAAAGAACAAAGUUUCAGCCAUGAAACACAUCCCCAUAAAUAAAUAGAAAACGAGAAAGCAAGAGAAGAAUAAGAAUGAUUGAGCUCCCAAUUGAUUUCUGUAAAUUCUCCUCUUGUGUGGCCCUUAAUCUCUCUCUUGAAUCUUGUUUUUCUUUUGUUUCUUUGUGUUUUUCUCCUUGGGUGACGGCUCUCUCAAUCCUUAUGAUGUGUGCUUAUUUUAUAGUUGAAAAUUAGGGUAAACGGAAGCCUAGGGCGCGCAUAAGUCAGAUUAGGAAACUGCAGAUCACAAUUCUGCAAGUAUCCCGCACGAAAUUUUCUCUGUCGUUGUUCCAAGAUUGCUACAGCAAUGGCUACAGUAAUGGUUGCUACAGCAACGGCUACAACAACUGCACUGUUCCAGAUUUAUUUCAAUUCUUUUAUAGCCAUGUUCUUUCCUUAUUUUUGCAAGCCUAUUGCAUAGCAUUCCUUCCAUGAAUUAUAAGCUUCUGGAAACCUACAAUUAUGCACACAAUUUAAGCACAAAUUACUUUAAAUCGAGCAAAACUUAUUAAGAUGGACUAAAAUGAUUAUUUAUGUAAAAUGUAAUAAAAAUGCAAUAGAAACACGUAAUUUACUCUCUAAGUAGUAUUGAUUUAAGUCUAAAAGUGCCAUGAUAACUCUCAUUUCAUAGAGUUAUCAAUUGUCUUAAAAUUUACAAAUGGACAAAAGAUGUUAGAUAACUUGCUUAAUUCAUAAAAAUGUGUGUUUGACAAAGGAGGUAUUGGCUAUAAGCCUAAUUUGAAACAAAAGUAUUAUAAGAACUACUUUGUGAAGAAUACCUCCAUUAAUGAUCAAAUUGUAUGUCAUUAUUGCAAUCAAAAUGGUCAUAUGAGUUUUAGAUGUCCAGUUAAGAAAAAUGUAUAUUAUGGAGUAAAAUGUAUUUGGGUUCCGAAAGGAACCAAAUCUAACACUCAAGGACCCAAGAGUAUUUGGGUACCAAAAUGCACAACUUGAAUAUUUUUUUUGUAGGUACCACAAUCAAGGAAUGGCGGAGAGUUCCUUGAUAAAAGAUUAUGAGGAUAAUCACUUGAUCAUGGUGUAAGCAAAAAUGAUGAGACAAUAUGAUUUAAUUGUUUUGGUAACAAUUAUUUCCUUAUUGAUUAGAAGUGAUGGUCUUUUAAUCUUAGUAAGUAUUUAAUAAUUCAUUUGGUAACAUAACAUUAAGUGCAUUAACACAAUGUGGAUAAACUUAUCUUGCCUAUUUAUUAUGUUGAGUGGAUCAUAAUAAAUGGCUAAUAGCUUGAAUUUGCGAAAGUAUGCUUGUAUGUUUACAUGAUGGAAUUAUCAUUGUGUAUAACAUUGAGUGAUUUAUCAUGAGGCAUUGGUUUGAUUUUGAUGAUUGUAUGGUCUUUGAUUUCAUCUUCUUAAUUGUCUAUCAUCAUUGUCCAUCUCUUAUGUAUGUGUAAAUUCAUAUGCCAUUAAUUGUGUUAUAUCAUUUAUAAAAUUUGUACAAAUGACUUAUUGCACUUAUGAAUUUGAUCACUUGUUCUUUACUUAUAAUGAUGGCUUUUCUAAAUAGGUAUGUUGAUUUUGAUGAUCUAUAUAUUGUCAUUAUGUGCUUAUGUUUUACUUAAGUUUUUAUGAUAAAGAAUGUGCAUUGAUGAUUACAUUGUAUUUGAUGAAACUUUGAUCUUAUGCAAUCUAUGAAUAGUGAAUGGAUGCAUUUUUUGUACUUUAUUGACGUAUUGUUAAAUAUGCAUUACUUGCUUUAAAUGAUAUCAAAAGGGGGAGAAAUACAUGAUCAUUGAGAUCUUGGCGCAUAUGAGAGUGUAAGUUAUAUUGAAAUAUCACAUUAGAUCCUUAAUGUGUUUAAUUUUUUUUAAAAAUGUGAUUAUUAUUUAUGGAGCUUGAAUGGUUGAUAAUAUGUUCUUAUAACUUUUGCAUGUCAAUUGGGUAAACAAAUCAAAACCUCUUUGCAAAGAACAAUUUUCAAAAAUUCGGCAUGAACUUGGGAUGAUGAAAUUUAUUAAUAUCUCUAAUCAUGUUAUUAAUACUAUUAAAAUUGAUUUCUUGAUGAUUUUGAUUAUUGAUGAUUAUAUGUGUGUUGCUUGAUGAAUUGAUGGAGUUUUUGGCUUGUUAUAAAUGUUUAAGCUUAUAUGGAAGCGUUUUUAACCAUGUUGUGUAUUUGAGGAUUUGUUCAUUUUUAAGGGGGACUUUGUCGAAAUUUUUACUCGCACAAAAUGGGUAAUAUCUUCAUCGAAUUAUUUUUUUAUGAUCUUGUUUCGAUUGCAUCUAUCUAUCUUUUUUUUUUUUUGUUUUUAUGAUGAAUGUGGAGAUAAAUAUGAUAUGUUUUCGGAUAAAAUCAUUUUUGGUUAAAAUUUUAAAUUGGCCAUAUAUUUAGGGGGAGCAUACAAUGUGAUUUUGGAUAAUAUGCAUUUUGAACUUUUUGGUUGUCCAAAAGGAGAGACAAAGUAAUAUAUCAUUUUGAUGUUGUCAAAAGGAGGAGAAUAAUAUACACUUUGAGUAUUGUUUUAAUGAUUGAUAUGUGAUUAUGGUGAUGAUUUUGAUGAUUUUGGGAUAUAAUGAUGAUUUGACUACAUGGUUAUUUUAUAUGAUAAUUUUAUGUUAUGAGUUGUUGAUUUGGUAAUUGAUGGAAUAAUGGUUCAUGAUCUUUUUAUGGUUGGUGGUUUAUAUGAUGAUUUAUGAUAAUUUGAGAGUGAUAUUACUAAACUUGUAUUUGAGGUGAUGCUUGUUGUUAGGGGGAGAUUCUGUCGAAAUUUCUACUCAGACAACAUGGGUAACAAAUUUGCUACUCUUUUUCUUUUUCACUACAUUUUCUUUUUGAUGAUGAAGGGGGAGCAGAAUACAUGUUUUUAACAUUGUAAAAAUUUUAACUCUCUCUUUUCCAUUAAGUUUUCUUUUUGAUGGUGAAGGGGGAGAAGAAUACAUGUAUUUAAAUUUGUUAAUUUAGUAAAUUGGCAAAUUGUAAAUGGAGCUUACAUUUAGGUGGAGCAAUUUGUGGAAUCAUUCUAUAAAUACAUUCAAAGUUUGUCAUCAUCAAAAAAGGGGAGAUUGUUAGCACACAUGCAUCCAUAAUGUUGAUUUUGAUGAUAACAAACAAGAUUAAGAAUGAUUAAGUUUUUAAAAGCUCAAAUUAUUUUAAAUAAAUCAUUAUUUUCAUAAUAUAAAGGUUUUAUACUUAAUGGAAAAAUGAUUUUAUGAAAUUGGUUGUUUUCAAUUAAUGGUUUAAAUUGAAAAAAUUUUGAAAAUCUGGAAAUGGACUUAUUUGUAAAGUUUUAUGACGAUUUGGGCCAUAGUAUAAUUAUAGAAAGUUUUGGGGUAAAACUAUAAUUUUAGAAAAUAAUUUCACUGUAGCGAUCACUGUAGCAAACGGCUAACCGUUUACUGAAAAUGGCUAACCGAUAAUUUCUAGAAAGUAUAUUUUGCAAAGUAUUGUUAAAAUAAUGAUUGUGGAAAAUAACGGUGAACUGUUUAAUGAAAACGGUGAACUGAUUAUUUCCAUAUUGCUAACCUUGAACCGUUUAGUGAGAACGGGUAAGCUAAAUUUAUUUUACAGAUCUCUGAAAAUUAACGGUGAACCGCUAGUGACAAACGGUCAACCGUUUAUUUGAAAUUCAGCUCAACGGUAACUUUGACCAGAAUAAACGGUUAACCGUUUACAGUUAAUGGCGAUCCAUUUAUGAGUAGAUAGUCAAUAACGGCUAGUUUUUCAGCUCCAACUAUAAAUAAGCUCAAUCCAAUUCAAACAAGGAGAAUUCCAACGAUCAUCAUUGAGCAAAAUAUUGAGAAUACAAUUUUCAUUGAGCUUUAAAUCCUUGUAUUCAUCUUAUUCAUUCACACAUUGAGCUUUCAUUUGUGAUCAAACACAUUGUGUGAGAGAAAUUCAUUUGUAAUCCUUUUUUGUAAAAUCAAGUUAAAAGAUUGUAAGUGUUGGGAUACACUUGGGUUAAGAGAUUGGGGAUAAUCUCUUGUUGUGAAGGUCCAUUGACACCUUGGAAGUCAAUUGUAAGCAUUUGAAGCAUUAGAGGCUUGCUUAGUGAAAUCCUCAAGCCCGGUGAGCUUGGAGGCGUGGACGUAGGCGGGGAUUGCUGAACCACGUAAAAAUCAUUGUGUUUGUUUUCUCUUCCCUUAAUCUUUUUAUUGUGCUUGAUUGAUUUAUUUGUUAUUACUUUAAAUCCAUCUUAGAUUUGCAUUGAGUUUUAUUUUAAAAUUGAAUAAUUUUUAAUAUCCCAAUUCACCCCUCUCUUGGGUUGCAUAACUAGAACUUCAUAGUAUUUAUACAUCAACGACUAACUCUUCUCCAGUCGGUGAGUUAGACAAACUGCCCAAAGGUUUUAGGGCUCUUGGGAUGAUGCCCUAACACUUGGUUUCCUCUGACAAAAGCAGCUUCUGAGACCAAUUUUUAUAACCCUCGGUUACCUCCUCCAUACACCAAGUAUAAUUUUCUCUAUGCUAUGCUUCGACCAAGAUCUAUGGUUGCCUCAACGAACUCUUUAUGUUUGCCAUAGUUAAAUCCAGAAAGCACACAAAUGUUCUUGAAUUGUCUAUUGGGAGUAGCUGCCAUUGGGAUACUUCUCAAAAACAAUUUGUGAGUGCUUGACAAAAAAUCAUAUUUAAUAAUCUUGGUGACAGUGGGUCACAGCUGUGUGUGAGGUAACAUAUCAGUGUCAAAUAACGCGUAAAGCACAUGGCUCGCGAGUAAAAAAGGAAACAAUAAAAAGAAAAAGAAACAAUGAUAAAAUAAAAUUAUUAAAGACAAUAAUACAAAUGAUAAAGCAACAGUGAAAUAAAAUAAUAACAGUGAAGUAAAAGGAUAUUUAUAGGUAGUUGCGACUGUGGCUCACAUCUUCCUGUGGUUUUACAUACAGAAACGGCUUGAACGCCCUCUAUGGGUCACGGAUAGGCUUCCCAUCCAGUUUUCUUAUAAACUGGCAAAAAAGGUCGUUUAUAGUCGGAUUCCCGAGACUAUAUCGUGCAUGCUCUUUCUGAAAUAAUGGCCAUAACUGGAGAAUCGCUCCUUGCACAUAUCCACUGGGAUGCGUUUCAAGAGACAAAAUGAUAUCAUUCAAUGACUCCUUAUUCAAGCCAUCCCUAAUGAAUUGAAUCUUAUCUUCCCUGUUAUCAUAUACCAUUCCUAAAGAACAUGGUUUUUUAUCGCAAGUCAUUCUGGCACACUUAUGACAGGCAACAUAAAUUCUUCGAGCUCUUCGUUUUCUUGCAUAAUUUCCUUUACCACAACCAGGCAUAUAUGCAAUAAAUUUUGGAGGUAACUCACCUGCCGAUUGUACUUUAGCCUCGAUUAACCAACAGAUGUUAGCAGGUAUGUUAUUCCUCAUGAGCAAUCACAUGCGUUUGGACCGAGCUUUAUAGAUUGUAAGAAGGGAAUUCUGAAGAAGUGAAGGGAAUCAAUUGUGAAGCUUUGCUAAAAUCUCAUUUAUGUCCAUACCUUCGCCUCCGAAUAUCAGUUAUUAUGGGAAACUGAAGUAAUCGACUUGAUUGUCACGGAGUAUCGUUAUUGAAUUCACCGGGGUAGCAAACUAAAGCACACAAACAAAGAAAAACAAACUAAAACACAUGAAGAAAAUUACAAUCGUCCUCUUAUUGAAUUUACCUCAAGCUCCAACUGGAUGUUGUAGACACUUCUCUCAAUGUCUCUGAGUUGGCUUUCUAAAUCCUCAACAUAGGAUACUAACUCUGGUGGUUGCAGAGCCCAAGUACGAUGUGUUUUACAAAAUCGAAUCUGCCUUUUGAGAUGAGAUUUUACACGUUGAAGUGGUUUAAGAAUGUCCAGGAGGAACUGUUUAGCUAUGGCACUCAUGAUUAACAAUGAUAAGAGAAAACUUAAUGGUUAAACAAACACACUUAUGCAAAAGUAAUUUCAAUUAGCAAAAGAAUAAUAGAAAGAAAGAAAGAAAAAAAAUCAAAUCAACGAAAAGAAAGAAAAAAAAACUCAAUUCAAAUCUGGUGGGUCACUCAAAUUUAUUUCGGUGUCCUCUCCAUGUAGUUGGUACUCUAGAUAUGGAUUUAAUCUUUGACCAUUAACUUUAAACGUGACACCGUUCUUUGGGUCCUUAAUUUCAAUUACCCCAUGUGAAAAAACAUUAUGAACAAUAAAGGGGCCAGACCAUCGAGAGUGUAACUUACCUGGGAAUAAGUGCAAGUGAGAAUUGAAUAAAAGCACUUUCUGACCUAGAGUGAAAGAUUUUCUCAUAAUUUGCUUGUCAUGGAAGACUUUCAUUUGCUGUUUGUAAAUUUUGGUAUUUUUGUAUGCAUCAUUGCAAAUUUCUUCAAGUUCUGCCAGUUGUAAUCUUCUUUCUGAGCUAGCUUGGUGCAUGUCAAAGUUGAAUUUCUUGAUGGCCCAAUAUGCACGAUGCUCGAGUUCCAUAGGUAGGUGGCAAUCUUUUCCAUACACUAGCCUGUAGGGUAACAUCCCAAUCGGGGUCUUGAAAGCCGUUCUAUAUGCCCAUAAUGCAUCAUCAAGUCUUAAUGACUAAUAUUUUCUAUCUGGCCUCACCAUCUUUUCUAAUAUGUGCUUUAUUUCUCGAUUAGAGGUCUCAACUUGGCCACUGGUUUGCGGAUGAUAUGGGGUCGCCACUUUGUGAGUGAUUGAAUACUUUGUCAAAAGAGCUUUGAAUGCUUUGUUACAAAAGUGGGCACCACCAUCACUGAUUAUCGCUCGAGGGAAUCCAAAGCGUGAAACAAUGUUGCUUUUCAAAAAUCCUAUCACCACCUUGUGAUCAUUGGUUCUACAUGGAAUUACUUAUACCCAUUUCGAUACGUAGUCAACAACAACCAAUAUUUAUUGAUGGCCAAAAGAAGGGGGAAAGGGUCCCAUGAAGUCGAUACCCCAUACAUAAAAAAUCUCAACCACUAAAAUUGGAUUUAGUGGCAUCAUAUUCUUUCGUGUAAUGCUCCCCAUUUGUUGACACCUAUCACAUGAAGAACAAAAAGUGUAAGCGUCUCGAAAUAUAGUUAGCCAAUAGAAACCACAUUGUAAAACUUUAGUCGCUGUUUUCUUAGCACUAAAAUGGCCUCCACAAGCUUGUUCAUGGCAGAAUGAAAGAAUAUUCUAAAUUUUACUUUCUGGGACACAUCGUCUAACAAUUUGAUCUGCACAAUACUUGAACAAAUAAGGGUCAUCCCAAAAGAAAUUCUUUAUUUCCGCAAAAAAUUUAGUCUUAUCUUGCUUAGUCCAAUGCUCUGGAAGUUGACCUGUAACAAGAUAAUUAACGAUAUCAGCAUACCACGGUAAUACUUCCACACUCAUCAAUUGUUCAUCUGGGAAUGAAUCAUUCAAUGUUAAUGGUUCUGUAAUUAUGUCAAAAUGAAGACGAGAGAGAUGUCUGCCACAACAUUUUCUAUGCCUUUCUUAUCUUUAAAUUCCAAGUCGAAUUCCUACAAAAGUAACACCCAACAAAUUAAUCUAACUUUUGCAUCUUUCUUUGUAAGAAGAUAUUUAAGAGCAGCAUGAUCUGUGAACACAAUUAUUUUACAACCAAUGGGAUAAGAGUGAACUUUUUCCAAUGCAAACACUACUGCUAGCAUUUCUUUUUCAGUAGUUGAAUAGUUCAACUGUGCAUCAUUCAAUGUCAUACUAGUAUAGUAAAUAACAUGGAAAAUUCGAUCAACUCUUUGUCCUAAUACUGCUUUUACUGCAUAAUUAGAUGCAUCACACAUGAGUUCAAAUGGUAAGCUCUAAUUUGGGGGCUGAAUGAUGGGUGAUGAUGUCAACAACUGCUUUAAUUUUUCAAAUGCCAUAAGACAUGAAUCAUUAAAGAUAAAAGGUACAUAUUUAGUAAGUAGAUUGCAUAAGGGUCUAGAAACUUUACUAAAAUCUUUAAUGAAACGUCUAUAAAAAUCAGCAUGCCUAAGGAAAGAUCUUACUUCUCUGACUGUUUUAGGUGGAGGAAGAUUAGAAAUGAGAUCCUCCUUGGCUUUGUCAAUCCCAAUACCUUUGCUCGAAAUGAUGUGACCGAGAACAAUACCUUAUUUUACCAUAAAAUGACACUUCUCCCAAUUUAAGACUAAGUUCUUCUCGAUACAUCUCUACAGAACUAGUGUUAGAUGAUGUAAACAUUGAACAAAUGAAUCACCAAAAACAGAAAAGUCAUCCAUAAAGACUUCAAGGAAUCGUUCAACCAUAUCAGAAAAAAUACUCAACAUGCAUCGUUGAAAUAUAGCAGGUGAAUUACAUAAUCCAAAUGGCAUUCUCCUAUAUGCAAAAGUGCCAAAAGGGCAAGUGAAAGUAAUUUUCUUUUCAUUUUUUAGUGCUAUGGGAUUCUGAUUAUAUCCUGAGUAGCCAUCUAGAAAGCAAUAAAAUUCAUGGCCUGCUAAUCUAUCAAGCAUUUGAUCGAUAAAUGGUAAAGGAAAAUGGUCUUUACGUAUGACAGAAUUCAACUUUCUAAAAUCAAUGCAUACACACCAUCCUGUAGUCACUUUAGUGGGUAUCAAUUAAUUAUCAACAUAGGUAACUACUGUGACUCCUGACUUUUUGGGGACAACUUGCACAUGGCUGACCCAUGAACUAUCAGAAAUGGGGUAAAUGAUACAUGCAUCUAAUAGCUUAGGAACUUCAGUUCUAAUAACUUCUUUCAUGUUAGGAUUUAACCGACAUUGUAUUUCCCUAGUAGGUUUAGCAUUUUCAUCAAGGUAAAUGUAAUGCAUGCAGUCUACUGGGUUUAUACCUUUUUAUGUCUGCUAUGGUCCAUCCUAAUGCUCCUUUGUGCUCUUUUAAAACAUCCAACAACUUACCUUUUUGUUCGUCAUUUAGGGAUGAUGAGAUGAUUACCGGUAGAGUGCUUUCUUCUCCCAAAAAUGCAUAUUCCAAAGUGUUGGGUAAUGGUUUAAGCUCGAGUUUCGGUGGUGAUUCUGAUGAUGGGAUGAUUUUCUUUUCUGAUGGUGCUAGUUGUUCAACUCUUGACUUCUAUUUAUUGGUAUCCAUGGAUGGUGCUGAGUCAAGUAGAGCAUUGACCUCAUCGACUGAUAUGUCAAUAUCAAAAUCCAAACCAAAGUGAGUUAAACAUGUUUGUAAAUGAUCAUCACUAAGGUUUGAAAGAAAAGUAUUAUCAACUAAUACUUCUAUUAAAUCCACAUCAAUAAUUUCAUCAUCUGCAUUGUGAGGUUGUUUGGCAAUGUUGAAGAUGUUUAGCUCCAUAGUCAUGUUGCCAAAGGACAACUACAUAUUUCCAGUUUUACAUUGAAUGUGAGCAUCCGCAGUUGCCAAGAAAGGUCAGCCUAGGAUAAUAGGGAUGUGCUUCCUUGAAUCCUGGAUUGGUUGAGUAUCAAUUACAAUGAAAUCAACAGGAAAAUAAAAUUUAUCUACCUGGAUAAGCACAUCCUCUACAAUACCACGAGGUAUUUUUGUGGACCGAUCUGCAAGCUGUAACACCACUGGAGUUGGGUGUAAUUCUCCCAGUCCAAUUUUCACAAACUGAAUAAGGCAACAAAUUUACACUAGCUCCAAAAUCCAACAAAGCAUUCUCAAUUAUUUGGUUCCCUAUACUACAUGAGAUAGUGAGGGAGUAUGGGUCUUUGCAUUUCAGAGGAAUUUUGUGUUGGAGUAUAGAACUAACGUUUUCUGUUAAAAAUGUCUUCUUUUGAAAAUAAAUGUUUCUCUUUUUAGGACAAAGGUCUUUAAGAAACUUGGCAUAAGAUGAAACUUAUUUUAUAGCAUCAAGUAAAGGGAUGUUAACACUUACCUGUUUGAAGAUUUCAAGAAUCUCACCUGUGGAUUUUCCUUUCUUUCCUUUAGCUAACUUCUGAGGAAAUGGAGCUUUGGGAACGUAUUCUCGUGGGUUAGUUUCUUUUUUCUCCUCCGAUGGUGAGUCCUCAACAUUCACAGGUACAACCUUCAAUUAUCGGUUUGACUUCUUUAAUUUCUGAACUUGACUCGCCAAUGUGAACCUUAUUCACUCCUUUAAUUCUUUUAGUAUUCCUGAGUGAUCGACUCCGUUGUUGGGAAUUAUCCGCUUGUCGCUGGAAGAAUUCCCAAAUCUCUGAUGCACUUUUUGACAUUAGCUCUCCUCCACUUGUUGCCAUUAGCCAUUCUUGCACAUGCGGUAAUAAUCCCUCCAAAAAGUAUUGGCAUUGGUACCAUUUCUUGUACCCAUGAUGUGGACACUUCAAAAGUAGCCUAUUGAAUCGCCUCCAUGUUUCGAAAAACUGCUCGUCAUCUCUCUGGGUAAACUCUAAAAUUUCCCUGCGAAUAGUAUUGGUUUUAUGCACUGGGAAAUAUUUAUUCAAAAAUUUUGUUACCAUUUGUUCCUAUGAUGUAAUGCUAUUAGUAGGCAAUGUAUUGAGCCAUGAACGAGCUCUAUCAUUUAAAGAAAAUAGGAAUAGUCUAAGUUUUACAUCAUCAUCUGAAAAUUUCUCAUAUUUAAAUGUUUGACAAACAGCAUGAAAAUCAUUCAAAUGAUUAUAUGGGUCCUCAUUUUCUAGGCCAUAGAAUGUCGGGAGACAAUUUAGCACACUAGGUUUUAGUUCAAAACUCCUAGCAGUUACAUUUGGGUAUCUUAUGCAUGAUGUGCUCAAAUUAGCUAAGGGACUGAAAUAGUCCUUAAAUGGCCUCUCUGGUGGUGCUUGUUGUUGUUGCAAAUCCAUUUCACUUUUAUAUUUAAUUAUAACGUGUUUGUGUGUGCGAAGUGUUUUUUCAAGUUCAAGGUCUAUAGGCUCAAGAUUAGGUAAUAAUGACCUUCGACCAUGCAUGUAAUGAAUACAAAAAAAAUGAGAACAAAAUUAAUAAAAAUAAACAAGAAAGAGAAAUUACGGUACUAACCUUAUCACGCAGUUACAACCUUUCUAUAAAAAAACACACUUAAAAAAAAUACGUGAAAUAAAUUAACUAAAAAUAAAUUAAUAAGAUAAACAAAAAAUUACAAAGAAAAAUAAAUUAAAAAUUAAAUUACAGAAUUUUAAAGAAGAGAAAAAGAAAAGAAAUUCUUACCUCUAAAUAUAGAUUCACUUUUUUUUUCUUUUUUUUUUAUAAAAAAAAUUACAAGAAAACAAUUAAAAGAAAUUAUUCACAAUACUUAAUUCUACGAAUUAAAAUAACUUACCUUCCCGGCAACAGUGCCAAAAACUUGUUGUGCAAAUUUUAUUGAACUCGCAAGUGCACGAAUCUACUGUAGAAUAGAUCAAUGGUGACGAGUGUCGAUCCCACGAGGAGGUGAAUUUUUAUUGUGUGUAGAAUUAAUUUUUCUAAAUGGGUGGUUGGAUUUGUGGUGAAAGUAACUUAGAUUAUCCUAAAAUUUGAAUUAAAAUGAUGAGAAUAAAUUGAAGCGAAAUCUAUUGAAAUGACGCACUUGGGUAUCUAGAUCCGUAUCAACAUGCACCAUGGGCUAAAUAUUUCUUAUUAGUGCCAAUUAAAUCAUGAGGGGGGAAUCCACAUCUCAUGAACCACACUCUAAUCAAUAUGGUGCUAAGGGCUUAUUGUGCCAAAUAAUAAUAACCUUGUACUAGGGAGCCGGUGAAACCAGGGCGGUAUCUAGACAAAAUUAUUAUUAUUUAUCGACGAGAAGUCAAAACAUCCACAAAAACUAUAGGGGAAGAGAAAAUAAAUUUACCAAAUAAAGUUCAUGACACAUGUUGAGACUUCACCUUCAACCCAAGCUUGAAAGAAAAUUAGCUACUCAUAAUUGAACUAGAGGCAAAAUGGAAAUUUAUUAAAAUACGUAGAAAAUACAAGAUGGAGAAGGAAUUACAGAAAAUAGAGCCCAAAAAUGGAUUCAGAGAUAUCUAAUUAGGGGGGGAAGCCCUUUUUUUAUAGAUACAUUGAGUAAAUCAUGGCCAUCAGAUUAAAAACAGGUUGGACGCUCAGGAUUGCGCCACGUCAUCAGUCAACAUUACGCGGUUUGACCAUGCGGUUUGAACAGUGACACGGUUUGACCACGCGUUUGAAUAGUCAACUGGCUGGAACAGUGACGCGGUUUGGUUGAAAAUAAUCCUAUGUAUAUGCAUGUAUCGUACGCGCGAUUUUUGGUCCACUAAUAUGCUGCCACAUCACCGAUCAACAGUGUAUAUAAAUUUUGUCCAAUAGAAUCGUGACACCUCAUCAGUCAAUGCCACAUCAUCUGUCAAUGCCACGUCAUCAUUUCGUAUGUGUGAAUAGUGUCAUGAACAGUAACAUGGAUAGUAUCGUACAUGCGAAUAGUGUCGUACAUGUGAACAGUGACAUUUUUCUUUUUAUGCUCCUCCUAAGGUUUUCGACUGUCCUGAGUUCAAAAGUGAUGUAUGUUUUUCCAUCUGAUUUCUCGUUCAUUGUAAAAUGACCAUGAUGCCCUGAAAAUACAUAAAAUACUUAAUUAAAAUAAAACACACGUAAUUAAAUCACAAGAAGCUUAAAUACAUAAAAGUAAGGGUGUUAGUAAGACUUGAAAUGUAAAAUGACGAUUUUCUCCUUUAUAAAUAUACAUUUUCUAACACUCAACAGUGGCUACUAAAGUGACAAUGUACACAAACCAUGCAGCCAUCAAGUACCUGAUCUCAAAGAAGGAUGCUAAACCUAGAUUAAUAAGAUGGGUCUUAUUGCUUUAGGAGUUUGAUUUGGAAAUUAAAGAUAGAAAGGAGAUUGAGAAUCAAGUAGCAGACAAUCUGUCUAGGCUAGAAGCAGACACAAGCACAUUGACAAAAAAAGACAUCACUGAAAUUUUUCUUGAUGAGCAACUGUUAGUAAUACAACAAGCACAGAUGCUGCAUCAAUCAAGCUUUCCAUGGUAUGCAGAUUUUGCUAACUACUUAGUGAGUGGAUUGCUACCACUUGAGUUGAAGUUUUAGCAGAAAAAGAAAUUUCUCGAUGAUGUUAAAAGCUACCAGUGUGAUGACCCAUAUUUGUAUAAGUUAUGCUCAGAUCAAGUAAUAAGAAGAUGUGCUUCAGAGGAAGAAAUUCCUCAUAUACUGGAAUCAUGCCAUGCUGCAGCAUAUGGAGGACAUUUUGGUGGUCACAGAACAGCUACUAAGGUUCUGCAAUCAGGUUAUUACUGGCCUUAUAUUUUUAAAGAUGCUUAUGAGUUUGCUAAAUGUUGUGACAGGUGUCCAAGGACAAGAAACAAAAUGCAUAAACAUGAAAUGCCAUUGACAAACAUUCUGGAAGUGGAAAUUUUGAUGUAUGGGGAAUAGACUUUAUAGGUCCUUUUCCACCAUCCUUUGGAAACUUAUAUAUCCUGGUUGCUGUGGAUUAUGUCUCCAAAUGGGUAGAAGCUGCAACAUUACUUAUAAACGAUGCUAGAGCAGUAGUGAACUUCCUCCAGAAAAAUAUCUUUUCCAGGUUUGGCACUCCACGAGCAAUUAUUAGUGAUGAGGGUACUCAUUUUUGCAACAAAGUAUUUGCUGCAGCUAUGGUAAAAUAUGGAGUUAGGCAUAAAGUAGCAACAACAUAUCACCCACAAUCCAAUGGCCAGGCAGAAGUGUCCAAUAGAGAGAUUAAGAAGAUCUUAGAAAAAGUGGUGAACCCAUCAAGGAAGGAUUGGUCCUUGCGUUUACAUGACUCCCUAUGGGCCUAUAGAACAACAUACAAAACACCACUUGACAUGUCUCCCUACUGAAUUAUGUAUGGGAAAGCUUGUCGCUUGUCACUUGCCACUUGAGCUAGAGCACAAAGCAUACUGGGCACUGAAGCAAUUAAAUUGGGAUAUACAUGCUGCAGCAGAGCAAAGAAAACUUCAAUCAUGUGAGCUGGAUGAAUUACGUAUGUUCUCAUAUGAAAAUGCAAGAAUUUAUAAAGAGAGAACAAAGCACUGGCAUGACAAACAGAUCCAACACAGGAAAUUAAUCCCUGGUCAACUAGUGCUGCUCCAUAGUACAAGGUUAAGGCUAUUUCCAGGGAAACUGAAAUCCCGAUGGUCUGGACCCUUCAAGCUGCUCAGAAUUUAUCCUCAUGGGGCUGUUGAUCUCUUAGAUGAAAAGACAGGCCAAGAAUUCAAAGUCAAUGGACACAGAGUUAAGCAUUACAUGCAUUCAGUUGCAGAUUGUUCAAAGGAGGUCUUACUCCUUAAAAAACCAAGUUUAUGAGCACUCAUGUAAGGUCAGGCUGAAGGACCUUAAAUCAAGCGCUCAAUGGGAGGCAACCCAUUACGGAGGCAGUCACUUCAGAUGAGAUGGAUCCUCCUUGGUUUUGUUAAAUACUUUUCCUUUUAUUUUAUUUUAAUUUUUUAUUAUUGUUUAUCGUUAUUUAUUUUUAUUUCCCUUAUUUAGGAUUGUUUAACUUUUAUUUUCUUCUUGUUGUUUUGUUUAAUUUAAGAUUGAUUUUAUUUAUUUGUGAAUUUCUCAAGAAAAAUGUGUGUGACAGAUGGAUUCCAUAUUAACAAAUUGGAGAUGUAAUGUUAAUAUAUUGCAUAGGCAAACUAUGUGUCAGCAGUUAUUUGAGGAGAGUUUGUAACCGUUGCUAGAGCAUACAAUUGGGUGCUGUAGCAACAGAUAUUACCGUUACAGUAAUUUCAUCACGGAGCCUCCCACUUUACCGUUGGAGAUAAUAAGUGACAGAUGGUUGGGAGGAUUUGGAUAGAAAUUGAGGAAGAAUAUCCCUUAAAUUAAUGCACUAAUUUCUCUUACCUAUUUUUAUGGGAUAUGCUUAAUAAAUUUAAAAAGAAUUCCUCCUUAAUUUAUCUCUUUUACCAGAUUUGUCUUCAUUGAAAUUCCACCUAUAUAAGGGAGUUACUGUGCUUAGUGACCACUGACACUAUUUUCCCACUCCUUCGCAGUUACAACUCCAAUACUUCUUAACUUCUUCUCCUCAUUUUACUCUUGGGCAUAUUACCAUCAAAUUCCUACUGCUAUAGCAAUGCCAAGGUACAAAAAGACAGCCAGCUGAUUAAAAGAUCCCUCACGAUUCCAAAGUUACCAUGCAGAAGAAAAAUAUGAAGAAUUCAUUGAACCACGAAUGGAAGAAAAAGGGUUUCAGUUCCCACUUCAAUCCAUAGGAAUUGUGCAAACAUUAUACAAUGCUGCAGCGAAGCGCGGGUGGCUAGAGUUCUGUGACCACCCUCGAGACCCUGUGUUGCCAGUAAUGAAAGAAUUUUACGCCAAUUUGGUAAGCCCUGGUCAGCACAAUAUUUGGGUAAGAAACUCGCUUGUUCCAUUAGAUUCUCGAGUUAUAAAUGCUUUCUAUAAUUUACCUGCUGAAAUUAAUUGCGCGUAUGCCAAGUUACUUGACAAAUUAACCCUGCAAAGAUGGAACAAAAUUUUCACAACACUUAUUGUAAAGGGUGCAACUUGGGCUAAUGAAGAAGGGCGGGUGAUUAAUAGGAUAGAUUUGACACUCAUUGCCAAGGUGUGGGUGAAAUUUCUAAAAUCCAGACUUAUACUGACCACCCACACCACCACUGUUUCUUAAGAAAGGUUAAUAUUGUUGUACAUAAUUGUUAGAGAGCUUCCCAUAGAUGUGGGAAGCAUUAUCGAAAAAGAAAUUCGAGAUUGUGCCAUGAAAAACCACAAAGCAACUGCCUUGCUAUACCUCUUGAAGGAUCACCUAAAAUUAAUUCCUUAGGAUGAGAAGAAACAUACCUCCACUCCUUGGGGAGUGUUUGAGAAAUACCUUCUUGUUGCUCCAUAUUUGUUUGUUCUUCUUGUCUAUCCUCUUGAUUUUCUUGUGGUGCAUUCUCUUGAUUCUCUUUUGAUGAUUCUUCUUGUAACUCUCCAUCUGCAUCAUCAUUAACAACUCUUUUCUCCGCAGAGGAGGGGUUAGAUUCAUCAAAUGUAACAUGCAUGGAUUCUUCCACAACUAAAGUUCUUUUGUUAUAAACUCUAUAAGCUUUGCUUGAGUUUGAAUACCCGAGGAAGAUGCCAAUAUCCGAUUUUGGAUCAAAUUUACCAAGAUUAUCUUUUGUGUUUAAAAUAAAACAUUUGCAUCCAAAAACUUUGAAAUAACCAAUGUUGGGUUUUCUAUCUUUCCAAAGCUCAUAGGGAGUUUUAUUGAGAUGAGGUCUAAUCAACACCCGAUUUAAAACAUAACAAGCGGUGUUGAUGGCUUCGGCCCAAAAAUAUUUUGGUAAUGCAUUUUCAUUUAACAUAGUCCUAGCCAUUUCUUGAAUAUACCUAUUCUUUCUCUCAACAACUCCAUUUUGUUGUGGAGUCCUAGGUGAUGAAAAUUGAUGCUCAAUGCCAAAAUCAUUACAAAAAUUUUCAAAUGCAUGAUUUUCAAACUCUCCACCAUGAUCACUUCUAAUACAAGUAAUAGAAUAACCCUUUUCAUUUUGAACCUUUUUACAGAAAAUUCUAAAUGCAUCAAUGACAUCAUCCUUAUUAGCUAAGAAUAAUACUCAUGUGUAUCUAGAAUAAUCAUCUACAAUUACAAAAGCAUAGAAUUUGCCACUUAAACUAGCAUAUCUAGAAGGUUCAAACAAGUCUAUGUGAAGUAAUUGAAGAGGUUUUGAGGUAGAGAUAUGAUUCUUGUUUUUUAAAGAGGUUUUGAUUUGUUUUCCAAAUUGACAAGCUUCACAAAUUCUAUCCUUUUGAAAACCAAUUUUUGGAAGAUCUUUAACUAAAUCAUUUUUUGAAAUUUUUGAAAUUAAAUCCAUGCUUGCAUUUCCUAGUCUUCUAUGCCAUAGCCAACCAUCAUCAUGCAAUGCCGAAAAACAUUUAUCAUGAGUAGAUGCACACUCUAUAUCAAUCGUGUAAACAUUGCCACAUCUAUUUCCCAUAAAUAAAAUUUUCCCAUCACAAGCAUUCUCAAUAACACAUCUUGAUUUAUCAAAAGCAACUUUAUAACCAUUGUCACAUAGUUGACUAAUGCUAAUCAAAUUGUGUUUCAAAUUUUCAACCAAACACACAUUUUCAAUACGAGUUGAAGAAACUUUACCAACAUUACCAAUUCCGAGAAUUUUUCCUUUUGAGUUAUCUCCAAAGGAUACAUCUCCACCAUUUUCGAUUUUGGUGAAACUUGAGAACCAUGCAUAGUUUUCGGUCAUAUGCCUAGAACAUCCGCUAUCCAAGUACCAUUUAUUUUUCUUUUUCUUCAAGCCCUACAAAGAAAAUCUUAUGUCUUAGUUACCCAAACAUUUUUUGGUCCUUGAGCGUUAGCAACGGUUUUUUUUGGAACCCAAAUACAUUUGACACCAUAAUAUGCAUUCCUUUUCACGGGAUAUCUAUAUUUCAUGUGACCAUUUUUAUUACAAUAAUGACAAAUAAUCUUAUGAUCACUUGUGGAGGUAGCUUUAACAAAAUAAUUCUUAUAAUACUUUUGCUUCAAGUUAGGCUUAUACCCAAGUCCUCCUUUAUCAAAAACAUAUUUUUGAGAGUUAAGCAUGUUAUCCAACAUCUUUUGCCCAUUUGUAAAUUUUAGAACAACAUUACUAAGUUCAAUAUUCUUUUUCUUGAGCAUUUCAUUUUCCUUUUUCAAAUCAUCUACAUGUGACUCUAAAUGCUCAUGUGAAGUGCUAGGUUUUUCAUUUGAUAAUGCAACUCUAUUAUGCAAGGUUUUAUUCUCUAAUUCUAAUCCUUUAAUCUUCUCAUUCAAUGACUCAUUGCAUUUUUGCAUGGCAUCCUUUUCAUUUGUAAAUUCUAGCAAUUUCUUUUUAAGGCAUGCAUUCUUUUUACCAAUUUUCAUUAACUCAUCAUGCAUUUCUUUCAAAGCAUCAUACAAUUCAUCAUAGGUUGGAUCACUUACCUCAUUGAGAUCAUCAUCAUCUCCUAUUGCCAUAAGUGCUAGGUUUGAUACUUCUUGCGAUUCUUCUUCAUCGCUUGAAUCUUCAUCGCUAUCAUCCCAAGUAGCAACCAUAGCUUUCUUCUUGAGUUUGUUGAGAAGUGGGCAUUCCGAUCUUAUAUGGCCGAGCUUUUUGCAUUCAUAGCAUAUGAUUACCUCUUUCUUCUCCUUUUGGUUUUUGAAGUUUCUAAAUUUUCUUUGGUCACCGGUUUUCUUGAAAAAUUUUCUGAACCUCCUUGCUAGCAUAGCCAACUCCUCAUCAUCCGGCUCACUUUCUCCAUCACUCUCAUAUUUUGUGGCUUUGAGUGCAAUGUUUUUCUUCUUUUCCUCAUUUCCUCUUUCGGUUGCCAAAUCUUCCUUGUAAGAAAUAAGAGAAUCAAUUAAAUCAUCAAUAGGUAAGAUAUUCAAAUCUUUAGCUUUCCUCAAUGACAGUCCUUUUUGGUCUCCAUUUCUUAGGUAAUGACCUAAUGAUUUUCUUAACUUUCUCGCUAUUUGAAAAUGUCUUUUCUAGGGCUCCUAGAGUGUUUACUAUGUCCGUAAAUCUAGUAUACAUAGAGUACACACUCUCAUUUUGUUCUAUUUGGAACAAUUUAUAUUGCCGAGUGUACCUACUAAUUUUAGACUCUUUCACUUGAUUCGUGCCUUUAUAAACAACUUCAAGUUUGUGCCAAAUUUCAUUAGCACUUUCACAACUAGACACUCUAUGAAACUCUUUCUUAUCGAGUGCACAAAACAAAGCAUUCAUGGCUUUGGAAUUUAGAGAAGCUUUUCUCUUUUCCAAUUCAUUCCAUUCCCGUGAAGGUUUUGGAAUGUCUUCCCCGAAUUCAUUUUUAGGCAAAGGCAUAAAUGGACCAUCACAUACAACUUCCCAAAUUUCAUAAUCUAGUGCUUGUAAAUAAAUUCUCAUCCUAGUUUUCCAAUACGGGUAGUCAUUUCUGUCAAAGAACGAUGGCCUAGUUGUGGAUUGUCCUUCCCUAAAGGUUGAAUCAUUUUGGGUUGCCAUGGAUCUUUUACUCUAGACGGUUAAGUCCUAACAAGAGAACCAAGCUCUGAUACCAAAUGAAAUGCAAGUAACGCAACCCAAGAGGGGGGUGAAUUGGGUUUUUAAAAAUAAUGUAAUACGAUUCGCACAAUAAAUCAACCUAACGCCUUAAUGAAAUAGAGAACAAUAAAUUCAAACAAGCGUAAAAAUAAAAGAGCAAGGGAAGAGAAAAACAAACACGCGGAUUUUUACGUGGUUCGGCAAUUCCCGCCUACGUCCACGCUCCAAGCCAACCAAGCUUGAGGAUUUCACUAUCCAAGCCUCCCAAGGCUUCAAGUUUUUACAAUUGACUUCCAAGGUGUCAAUGAACCUUUACAACCAAGAGAUUAUCUCCCCAAUCUCUUCACCCCAAGUGUUUCCCAUACUUACACACUCACAAUUUGAUAAGAAAUGAAAAUUACAACAAAAACUCUCUUUAAGAGUGGAUAUGCAACUAAUAGCUCAAUAAUGAUUCAAUCAAUGAUGAUUUGCGUUUUGGAAGCUCAAUAUAUGUUGUAUGAUCUUAUAUUUACUUGCAUUAGUCCUUAGAAUGAAGUUUGAGUUGAGUUUUUAUAGUGAAAGCCCGAAAACUAGCCGUUAUAGGCAAAUUCCCAUGCCCAAGCGGUUAGUCGCUUGAUUAUCUAGCUAGCCGCUCAGGAACAGUGAUAUUACCGUUAUUUUUGAAUUUUUGCUACAGUAACACUGUUCACUAAAAUUACACUUUGGCCCAAAACUUUCUAUAAUUAUACUAUGGCCUAAAACGUCAUAAAACUUUGUAAAUAGGUCUAAUUUCAAAACUUCCUAAGGAUAGUUGUCUUUCCCAAAUUUUUUGAAAUUAUGAUAUGGCCCCAAAGAUUUUAUUAUUUCGCACAAAGGUCCUUUUACCCAUAUUUUUUAAAGUUCUCAAAACCUUUCACUUUAGUCCAAAAUAUUCAUAAAUUAUAGUAUGGCCCAAAACAUUUCAAAUGUUUGUAAAAACGUCCAACUCCGAAAUUUAAUACUUAUUAAAAUCAAAGAUUUCAAAUCUUAGCAUUUAAGUCCAAAUUACUUAAAUCCACAAAAUACUUUACUUUAUAAAAAUAAAAUCUUUUAGUUUAUGAAAAGUAUUUAAUUAAAUCAUGCAUCAAUUAAAUCAUACCGGCUUUACAAGAAUUUAUCGCACUAAUUUAUUCGUUGAGCUCUAAACUUUAUUCUUGAUUUCUCCGUUUGUCCGUUGAGUGUCUUGAGCUUGAUUUCACUUGAUUCACUUGCAUAAAUAUUACCCUUCAAAAACUAGUGAAAAUGUGAAAUACAAUAUCUAUUAAAUCGCUUAAUACAUAUGUUUGUUAUCAUCAAAAUUACAUUAUGAGUAGCCCUUUAGGCUAACAAAGAUACCAGGCUCCACUGCUUUGAACUUCAGCUGCAGCUACAUAUGCACCCUUUUGUUAUUUCCUUCUCUUUAGUUAUUGCACGUAGUUUUUCUUGAAUCUGUGCCAACACUCAGCUGCUAUGUGCCCUAUUUUCCAGUAGAUUUGACAUGGUCCUUUGGGAUCUGAACCACUAUCAUCAGCCACUGCUUUUCCUUUUCCCUUGUCUUGAGGGUUCUGGUUGACCUGGUUGUUUGUAGGAUUGUUUCCAAGGCUUCUAAAGACUAUUCUAGGCAACUGUUGAUGGGUAGCUCUCUCACUGUUGUUCCAGCUUCUUCUCUCAUUCCUCAUUUGUGUAUAGUUUGCUUCAAUGAUCCCUGAGCUCAAGUUUUGUUUGGUUCUGUUCUCUUGGCUCAGCAACAUACCAUAUAGUAUGUAUGUCAUAUAGUCUGAGACUGAGGGACUCUCCUGCAUUGAGUUGAUGUUAGUAACCACUGAAUCAUAUUUUGUCCCCAACCGAGCCAGCACACACAUAAUGAAAUCAUCAUCAUCAUAUCGUUCCCUGUAGCUCUAAGUGAGUUCAAUAAGGUAUAAUAUUCUUGCUCUUGUUCUAGCACCAAAUUGGUUAGCUAGAGUUGUCCAUACCUCACAGGAAGUAGAAUAAUCUACUACAGUGCCUAAAACCCCUUCACUGAGUGAUGACAAUAGCCAACUUAGUAAGAAAUGGUCUUGUUUCUUCCAAAUCUGAUAUUCAGGGUUAGGUGUAGUUAUGGUGGUUCGAUUAGGUCCAGGGUUCAUAAAAACUUUAGGAGGGCAGGCAUGGGUACCAUCAAUAAACCCCUCAAGCUCAUUUGCUAUAAUGCUGGAAAUCAAGUGAUUUCCAGAGCAUGAAGUUACUUUGAGUUAGUUUGAUCGGAGUAGUAAAGACAUAAGUGUUGCUAGUGAUGUGCUGGGUGGGUGAUGCACUCAUUUGUGUUGUGUUUCUAUCAUUAAUGUAACACCCCAAAUCUAACACGUGCGGAGCACGUGAAGAAGGAGGUUACUUACAAAUCAUAAUCUUUACUAGGGGUGGGCAAAAUCGGAUUCGGGUCGGGUUCGGGUCAACCCGAUCGGGUUUCGGGUUAUUCGGGUUGUGCAAACAUUGAUUCGAAUACAACCCGAACUUACAACUCGACCCGAUCCGAUCCGAUAUAUAUUCGGAUCGGGUCAAAAAUCGGGUUGAAUUUGGGUUGAAUCGGUUCGGAUAAGAAAUGGAUCAUAUUGAAUUCGGGUCAAGUUAAACCAAUUCGGGUUGAUGAAAACGGGUCAAUUCAAAACAUAUAUACUAAUACACCAUGAAAGCUUCAAAAUUCAAAACACAUAAGGGACUAAGGGAGAAACUCGGGUCGGGUUGGAGCUUGAGCCUUGGAGCAGCAGAUCGGCGGUUGGGUUUUCGGCAGCAGAUCGGUGGCUGAGUUUUCGGCAGCAGAUCGGUGGGCGUGCAGCAGCAGCUUGCACACGGUUGGACGCGCAGCAGUUUCCUCGCGAUGGCUGGACGCAGCACGGCUGCAGCAGAUCGUGGACGCAGCAGUAGUUGGCUGGACGCAACACGGCAGCAGCAUGACAACAGCACGGCAACAGCAGAUCGCUGACGCAGCAGCAGAUGGCCGGACUCGCAACACGGCAGCAGCAGAUUGCGGGAAGGAGAGAAUGUUUUCUUGCUUCUUGAGGGUGGGUUCACGGGUUGGGUGUUGUGAUUUUUUUGUUUUUGUGUGUUUUGUGUUUGUGUAAACUGUAAAGUGUAACCUUUUGAGUAUGUGAUUUCAUUGAUUUGUGUGAUUAUGUGUGGUGUGCUGUGUGCCGUGUGCAUGUGUUUGGCCAUAUAUAUAUAUAUAUUUUUAAAGCAACCCGAUCGGGUUUUCGGAUCGGAUCGGGUUUUAUCCGAUCCGAUCACAACCCGAUCGGGUUUGCAAUAUUUCAUCCGAUCAGGUUUGCAAUAUUUCAUCCGAUCGGGUUAUAUUAACAACCCGAUCCAAUCCGAACCCGAAAUUUUUCGGGUCGGAUUGGGUCGGGUAUUUUGCCCACCCCUAAUCUUUACUCAUAAGUUUCAAACUGAAAUACCUCCAAUUCUUAUUCAAAUAAAUCCACAAAUUCACACGUCUAAUACUAAAUAAUCUCUCCCGAGGACAUAAAAAUAAUAACAAAAGUCUCAAACUCCAAAUUACACGUUCAUAAUAGAAAUAACUAAAUAGAAACACGAGUCUAUUCCUCCUCUUAUUCAAAUGGCAAACGGAAACGGAAAAUUACUACUUCAAAGCUAAGCGCACCUCUCAAAAGAAACUUAAUCUGCAAAAAGUAAUGACGAGGGAUGAGCCGUUAACUCGGUAAGUAAAACCAUUCCUAACACACUAGGCCUAUUGAUACCAAAAAUAUUGCAAGCCUUCUUUUAAUUAAAACAUAUAUUAUAAUCCAUGAAUUUUCAUAAAACGAUAUAUCACGAUAACAUAACAUAAAUUCUUAAUAAUUUAGAAUAUUCAAAAGCAUAUUUACUUACGAAGCAAAUCAUAUAAUACGUAUACAGAAAACAAAAGGUUAGCUCAUGUCACAUAGUGUUACCUAUAGUCCCGGUGACCUGGCUAGAAACAGAAUUAGAAUAUCGUGUGCACACUCAGAACAGAAACCCAGUACUGGUCCAGACAGAUAUAUCAUAUAUUACGAUCAGAAUCAGAAUCAGAAUUAGAAUAACUAUGGACAAUGAGCCAAAACAUUAGGAAUCUCAUACAAUCAUCAAUAAUUGAAAUCAAACAUGGGUACAAAAUAUUUGUAUCAAAUUCAUAAAAGUCCAUAUCAAUAAUUUAGGCUUGCAUAAUAUUUUAAAGAUAAAAUCAUAAAAGGUUGUCAUGUCAUAAAAUAAUUUACAUAUUAAAAAGCAUUUAUAAAAUACUUUGUUAAAAAGAAUUUAGGUUUGAAAACAUUUACAUAAAACUAAUUUUGUUAUCAAAAUCAAUUAAUCCUUUAAGUAGUAUAAAAACAUUUAUACUUAUAAUAAUAAUAUCAGAAUACUUAUACAUAUCCAGUAUACUAGGAAUGAAGUUACUUACCUCGACAAAUGAAUUUGAAUUAACACACCUCUAAGCUUCUAAGAGCCUCAAUCACCUUUAAUACCUUAAACAAAUACAAGAUAUGACAAUUAAUAACUUAUUCUAAGAAUCUGAUUUUCUAAUUCAUAUCCGUACAGGUCUGAUUCUCAUAAUUUUAACUCUUAAUCUAAAACUCAGAAUGAUAUAAUAUUCUAUGUAACUAUUCUGGAAAUCCAUGAAUACCCCAUGUAAAAUUUUCAAGAGGAUCCGACAUCAAAAACAUUUUCAAAACUAUUUAUUUCUCAACAAUUUCGAAACUGUUUUCACAUAACCUUAACCAAACAGAACGGAUUCUGUGAUUUUUAUAAACUAAAAUACUAAUCAGAAAAUUAUGAAAUUAAAACUGGGAAUCCUAGACACAUAUUUUAACCUACAUAUAAACUUUCAGAAUUUUCUGAGUUCAGUUGGUGGUACAAAUAAUCUUGUGAAUCCGAUCGUAAUGCUGGAAUCGUAGUUUUCCAGUGCAGCGGUUUCUAUUUCGAAAAUACAUAUAAAAUUGAAAACGAAGUCGAAUUUAAUGAAAGAAAAUUUAAUCAAGAAGCCCUACAUGUCUAGUUUCCAGAAAUAUAAAUUUUAUAAGAACACUCAUUCAGAAAAUAUAGGUUUAAAUUCGAGAUACUCAUGCUAUCCAGAAUUAUCCUGUGCCUAAUACGUCAAGGAUUGAUUAACUAAACUCAUAAUAAAUUAAAAACCCUAAACAAAGCCUAAAUACAUUCUAAAUCAUGAAUUAUGAUCUAUAACCAUCUAGAAUCGUGCCAAUAUAAAUCUUAGAUAGAGUGAUUAGAAAUCUGUUGAGAAUAGGGAGAAUAACUUACUCGUCGCUUUGAUUCUCUCCUAAACAAAGGUAUGAAUCCUAAGAUUUGGGUAGAAGCGUAAAGAGCAGCAGAGAAGAAGAAUAAACGUCGUGGACUUAGGGUUAUGGAAGAGAAAAAAGUAUGAAUUUAUAGGGAGUCUUAAGAAACCCUAUUUAAUUAGGAAAAAUAACCCUUUUCCAAAACUAUCUCAUAAAUAACCUCUAUUUAUAAUUUAGUAUACCUUUCUUAAUAAGGGUUAUAGGCCACUCAUAAUUAUCAAUGGAAGCCCAAUUUCCAUAAUUUAAUAUUAUGGAAAUUUGUGGCGUUACAAUUAAGACCUGGAUUUUGCAGCUCAGUAUUUUGUGAUGAGUUUUGGUUUUGGUUUUGAUUUAAGUCAUCUAGUUGAUCGCUUGAAUCAACCUGCGUUGGAUUUAUAUUUGUUUCAUUGUCACUGCUGCUUGCCAUAGCUCAAAGUUGGCUCUGAUACCAACUUAAAUUCUUAAGAAUUGAUUUCAAUAAUGCAAGCAGGGUGUAAUAACCAAGCCUCUUGUCUUAUUGCUGACUUGAAUGAAUGAAAUACAGAGCCAUACUGGUUUAUAUAGAGACAAAGUGACAAUGACAGCUAGCAUAGGGGUAUUACAUGGAAAUAAAUAAAAAAUGAACCGUGAGAAUAGCAAUCAUGAGCCAAUCAUAUUACGCUUCUAGAAGGUUUAGCUUCUCCAUGCUCAUGUGCUAAUUUUCUUUAGCAUAACAGUUUUGCCAGCUCAAUAAAUCUGACUCAUCUUCCAUAUCAGCUGGCUGCAAAUCAGAGUAGCUUAGGUGGCAUGCCAACUUGGCUUCAAGGUGAACCUUUGACCCUUCACAGCUGCUGCUUUCAACAAGACUUAAAUAAAAAUUUAAAUGUUGGGAUAUCUAGUAUCACUCAAUCACAAUAAACAAUAACCAAUUCAAAUUGAAACGGCAAUAUUGUAUUUUCUUUAAUUAAUUAUGAUGCAAAAGCAAAUUUUUAUGCUUGGGUUUUUACUUCUUGAUUUUGAUUGGAAAAAUUUCUGAGACAAAGAAGUGUUUUGGAUAAGUUUUUCGGGAUUGAAACCACAAAUUGGUAGAGGAAAUUAAUUUUGGACAAAUUUUUCUGAUAUUGUAGGACCUUCUAGUUGGAGUAGUGAUGGCUUUGUCUUCAUUUUUGGUUCCUUUUGUGUCGGCGGCCCCUUACUAUUCUCUUGACCCUGAGUUUGAGAUAGAAAUUUAUCAACCCCAACCCCACAUCCACUAACAAGUUGAUUGAAACAAUUACUCUUUUAAUUAAGAGGACCCAAAUGAGUUAGGUUUCAGUUCUCAUCAUUUGUCUAUUAUUUCUUUGAAACAUUUAUUUUGAGCGUUACUGAUCUUAAUUAUCUGUAUUUCUCCAAUUGUUGAAGAAUUUCAAGUGGCCACUUUUUUCUCCUUUUUAUAUAUGUUUAUUUUUUGGAGUGAUCAAAAGGGUGCAAAAUCAAGUAUUCGCUGGUCUGUAGCUUAGCCAACGAUGGCUGAUCCACACAGUUGAAUAUAUGAUACUAUUAGCUCUCAAAAUCUUUCUUAUUUGAGAACAUAAAUUGCCCAUUAAAGUUAAACUCUGUUACCCAGCUCCAUGCACAUCAUUAAAUGUUUAGAUAGUUUUACAAAAUGAUAACAGCAUGCCAGAACUUGAUGUUGUCGUAUUCGACAUUUUCGAACAUUACGUUUUUAUUGAAUAAUUUAAAUGGCUAGUAAAUGUAGAGUUCGUGAGUUUAAAUCUGAAUCAAAUCUAUUAAGACUGAUUUUUUUUUUUUGUGUAUUCGUACUACUAAUGCAGGGGAUUAUUUACUCUACUCAUAUUAGUGACUGAGAUGUUCACCUCCAUCCAAUUAGAGAAACAGUGACUGGGUUCCUAUAAGGGGACUCUAACCAUAUUGUGAGACUACCAGUUCACCACUCAGACCAAAAAUCUUUGUAAUUAAAUCCAAAGGUGAAGAUCUAUGCUUAUUAUCUAUUUAACAGUUAAUAUAUAAUUAUUUAUUUAAAUUUCAAGAGCUACGCUUGUAACUAAGUCAAAUUGUGAUGAAACCAACCUUACAUCUGUAUAUUACUCAUCUACUCUAACCUUUUUUAACUUUAUAUACUUUUUUUAAUGUUAUUUACUUUUUUUUUGGCUUUUUCCUCUCUGAAAAAAGAGAUAAGGGUUUAGAGUUGAAAAUAUCUUAAAAAUGAAACAAUAAUUUACCUAAUUUUUUGAAGCUAACUGCCAAAGAUGUUCUAUUAGACAAUGAAAUCGUAGUUAUAUACAUUAUAAAUGAUAUUUUUUGUGGAACGAGAUUGUCAUUCAACAUUUUAAAAUAUGAAAACAUGUGGAAGAUGGUUAUAAAUUGAUUGAAUGAAAAUAUUUCAAUGAAGCUUUAAAAAUUUGGUACUUGUUAUCUUGUCGAAAGUUUUCCAAAUUAUUGGAACUUAGUCCCUCCUGGUACUGCCGCUGCUUCUACAUGAAAGUCAUUUAAGUUUGCAUUAGCUGCCUAUAGCUUGAAUAACAAUUUUACUCAGGAAUUGUUCUAAAUGAACUUCCCUACAUGUUUGUUCUCAUAUGACCCAGAAUACUGCUAUGACAAUUGUAUAGGAAAUUAUUCAACUGGCCGGGUUACUACUCUACAUCCCCACCAAACUUUAAACAGUCUACAUUGUGGAAAGAAACCCAUUUCGCUACUAGGCUUUUAAUGAGGCUAAUUUCUCUGAAUAUGGAUGAAGUAGAUUUCUAAGCUAAUGUUUGGCAGAUCUCUGGGCGAUACUACAAAGUGCAUGUACAUUGAGUCUUAAUAAAUAUAAAAGAUUCUCUGAUAUGAUUCAAAACAUCACUACAUGCAUGAGUUAAUAAGAAACAAUAUCAUAAGAUUAUUUAUGUAUCACAAUUUGUAGUUGUACCCUCUAUAAUGAAAUUGAAGGUGCAAUCAGCAAGUGAAAUGAAGCAAGAAAUGUCCACGCAUGAGGCAGUUUUUCUAGAAGAUUGAUACUUCUUCAACUAGCAAUGCAUACCAAUCCAAAGCUAGCCAAACCACAACUGCUGGUCCAGGGCUUAAAUGGAGUACUUCUAAGCAUAAAAUAGUAACUAAAACACAAACUAUAUAAAUAUAUACACACACAUACCAGAAAAUUCAAAAAAUAGAGAAAGGAGUACAACUAUUCCAGUUUGUAGACAAUAUUGCAAUCAUGGCAUCAGUUGUAGCAAAUCCUUGAAAUCUACUAAACAAAACAAUGCUCUGCCUCAUGAAUCAAUGUUGAAUUACAGUUGAAAUUGAAAGUCUAGAAGGUGCUGUUUCCCUCUUCGAUUUUGCCUACACAAGUAAAGGGAAAUAAGAAUCAUAAAUGAAAAUCAGCAUUUAUAGUUCUAAUUAUUAGAUAGAUGUAGAAUGUUCUUUCUUUGUUUCUCCGCUGCAAUGUGCAAUCCCACUUUGUUUGGCUACUCCAAUCGAGUCUAUGUUGAGACAUAAUUUUGACAUUAGAAGCAACCGCAACUAGUUUGGCAUUUGUACGACCCUUUGAAGGUUUUACAAUAGUUGUAAAUCUACUGAGAAAGUAGAAAAAAAGGGCAUAUAAAAUUAGGCAACUAAAGUAUGAGUCAUCAGAUAUGAUUAAAACUCACCCAAUUGAAUCCAUCAGAUUCCGUAAGGAUAUAAUUGGAUGUCAUAACGCCACCCCAUAUCCUCAAAAGUCCGUAGCCGUUGUCUCAACUCUGUCUGAGGCCAAUGUAAGUCCAAUUUGCACAAGCUCUUUAUGCACCAUAGCUCCUCUGGAAGUUUUAUCAAGUAAGCACAGGGGUUGACAACUCAGCUUUCAAGUUUUGACAUUGCUCCUGACCCCAUCGUCCACUCAUCUAGCCAAUACAUUGAUUUCAGGUGCAAUACCUUAAGUUCCGGGAAGCCACCAGAGCCAACACAAGCCAUCUUUCUUCCUAAAUACGAGUUCUGCUUCAGUUUCAGCAGUUGAAGGUGUGGAAGCUUUUCUAGUGUCGGCAUGGGGUCCUCCUUUAGCUCAGUAUUUGAUAAGCAUAGUUGGGUUAGACUUAGAGGAAACUGGUAUUCAGACAGGACCAUCCAUGAGAGCUGCCCCAUCUCGGUAUUCACCAGCUUCAAGCAUUUAAGUUUAUGGAGUUCGCAUAGGCUUUUGGAAACCCCAGAAUGAUAGCAACUCAAAUCUCCAGAUAUUCGAAGAGUUUGAACAUUCGGUAGUCUGCCCAAAAUAUCUGGAGUACAACUAUUAGGGUUUAAGGUCGAUAUGAAAAUGAGAUUUUUCAAAGAGCUAGAAUAAUUUUCUGGAGGUGCGGGCAGAGUGAUAGAACCAAAGUUUAGAUGCAUGAGUUUUUGCAUCUUCCAAAUAUCCUCUGGUGUUUGAUCUACGUAGCUACAUGGCAUUUCUAGUGUCUGAAGGUUUAAAAGGGUGCAUGGCAGUGAAGGGAGACAUUAUAGUGAUGGGAUAUUCAAUUUCAAAUACUUCAAAUGGAAUAAAUUCUCUAAUCCGGGUGGAUAUUGGUCGGGAACUGGAAAACCCAUGUUCAAUACCCGAAGGUGUUUGAACUUUUUCCAAAAAUUCUCCCAAUUUGUCAGAGCAAGAUGUUGGCUUUUUGAACUGUGAUACAGAAAAGAUUGAAGAUACAUGUCAGAAUGCUCUAAGGAAAAGAACUCAAUCAGAUCUUCCAAAAUGAGGUACCGUUUAGCAUUUCCCAGUGAUAUCUCUUCCAAGUUGGAGUACAGUUUAACAAAUCCGAUCUUUUCUGCCACCCAGCGUAACGCAGCAUAUACAUAACUUGGAACGUAACACGCUUUAAUUGUGCCGCCGGCUCUUAUCUUAUCCACUUGAAUUAAUCCGCUAUUUCUUAAUUCUUUCAAGUACUCUUCGACCAUUCCCUCACUGUUGUAAUUGCCCGGUAUCACACCUUCAGCUAUCCACAACUGACAUAAUUGCCUGGUAGAUAUCUCAAUGGUUGGAGGGAAGACACACAAAUAGAUGCAGCAGACUUUCAAGUGAAAAGGCAACUCCCACACAGAAUGAAUUUGACUCCAAAUUGUCUGAAUCGCUUUCUGUCCAAUAUAAUUUUCUAAUGGCGUAUUUCCAUAGUGUAGGAUGAAAAAUUGCCAGGCUUCAUACUUUAUUCUAAUCAAUGGUCCUCCAACAAGAACUGAAUCAGGCUGGAUCUUUUCUCCGUUUUGCAAUUCGAACCAAAAAAGCGUUAUCAGUACUCUGCUUCCAUUCUGAUUAUCAGGAAGAAAUUCUACAAGAUCAUUCCAUAUCUAUCUAACUGUCAUCGAAGACGUCAUCAAGCACAAUAAAGUACUUCUUGUCUGUUAGGUAAUCUCGAAGAAUAGAUUUCUUCAAUUGAUAAUCUUCACCGAUAAUUACACUAACCCGAGAUGGAGGCAUCACAGACUUGAUUAUGUCAUCCAACAUCUUGCCAAAAUCGUAGGCUAUAGAAAC